GGAGGAAAACCUAUGGAUAGUUUAAGAUUAAAUGAAGAAAAUUCGCUGCUGUGUUUCUUCUAACACCCCCAGCAUUGCCUACAUUGUCUGCUGCUAAGUUGAGGCCAAACUUUUCACGUUGUAAACAAUGCAAUCCCUGUUUUUAGCAAGAAAAAGGAGAUGGGGACAGUGUACAGUGUAAUAGUCACGGCCUGCACAAAUGAGCUCAUAAAACAUAGGGGUAUACUAAACCUAUCGAAACCGGAAAAAAAAAUGCGUAUUCAUGAAGUCAGCCUAUAUGAACUUCAUCAACUCAACGGAACAGUGAAGUGCAGAAAACAACACUGUACAAUGAAUUGUGAUUUCAGGUGAUGAAAAUAACCCCUUGAAAUAUCAAUCAAAUGGAUGCUUUGGAGUGUAGGAGAUACUCUCGGUCAAGAUUGCAAACAAAGAACUGCAUAAGUUAAAAUCAAGAACCAUAUAACAGAUCCAAAACAAUGGUUUCGGCUUCUAUGUAAAUCACGUGAAGAAUAUUGAUUUUAUUCCAGGAUCCUUUGUUGCACCAAAGUAGUUUCCUACCUCUGGCGCAACGAUAAAGAUGGCAUCUUGGGUAGAAGGCAUUCCUACAGAAGAAUCAUUCCUAAGACCCAAAACAAAGACUGAAAUUUCAAGCAAUCAGAACAAACAAUCCAAAAACUUAAGUUUAAGGAAGUCUCGAUGUAAGAUUUAUAUCACACCAUUUUAUGCUAUUAAUUAAUUUUAAUUAGAUAAGAAAAUAGGAUGGAGAGAUUGAACAUGUUGUCAAGAUUCAAAUUUAUAACUGUUUAAUAAAAAAAAUCUCAAGUUGGAUAAAAUCUAAAAUGAAAUUUUUAUUGUUCUCUGACAUGUCCAGUAAACUGUUUUUCCAAAACUAUAAGCACCUAACAUUUUUUAUGUCGCCUAAUCCUAUAUUCUUUUUAAUGAAUUCUAGCUCCCAUCUCUAUAUAAAAGCUUCGCAGAAUUACUCAUAACUUUCAACACAUUUAAAGUCAUAAAAUAGACACAUUGAAAUACAAAUCUUCCAACAAACAUACCUUACAGCUAGAAAGAAGAUUGGAAGGCAACGACAGAGGAGAGCAUGUUUAUAGCAGCAUCUGACAUAAUGUUUCGCUGUGUCUUUGACGGAUGCAUAUCAGUAGACAACAUGGAGAUUGAGCGAAGGCCUUACCAUCGCAAUUGCAGCUGUGCACUGCAUAAGAUGGAAGGUGGUAGUUCCACUGGUUUUCCUCUACCAAGAAACAUGUUUUAUCCGAAGAAACAGUCAUGGAGACGUUGUUCCUUGUCCCUAGCAACUCCAAGUAUCCUACUGGCUUAUCAACUAAAAGUAAAUUCUUUUAGUUACACAAACGUUAACGUUCUAAUCUUUGUAUUUCAAAAAUAUAUCUUGUUCAUGAAGUUUUUAUUCGUCUCAAACUUACAGUAUGAAAUUCAAAAGAAGACGAGGUCUUGACCAGCUCUCUCUCUCUCACAUGAUUGGAAAGAAAAUUCCCUAAUCAGAUAAAUAUAAUUACAGAUCACUAUUGCUUCUUUUGAUAAAUAAGAUCAGAUAAAUGUCUUUCUUGACUACUCCGCAUGCUCCAGUUACUUCCGGCCUGAUCGGACUCUCUCCAACAUCUUUCCACCCUCUGCUCGGACUCAGUUCCCCUAGGCCGCCUCGUCCUUGCCCUCUAUGGCCAUUGGGCCCCUCACUGUCUCCAACUUCAAAACAAUGUGCACUUCCUCAUCUUACAAGAACACUCUAGUCCUUAAAACCUUUCCGGGCCAGUUCUUUUCUUUAAUCUCUUUUGUUGAGUUGUUAGUAAUAUUUUACUUUGAUUUGCUUUCUUUGGUUUGGUUAAUUUUUGCUAUUUUUAUAGAAUUAAGAACCUCUUACUUUAUUUGCUUUUCUGGGUUUGAUUUCUCCUUGUUGUUGAUUUGGGUAGGCAAACAUAUUCACUAUCCUAAUUAGAAGAACUAAAUGUGAUAAAGCUUAGCGUUAGCUAUAAAUGAAUCUUGAGGUUACACAAUGCAUAAAAGAAUUCUUGAAAGAAACUGCCGGUGAUAUGUUAUCAAUUAAUUCCGAAUCUGAUAACUUCCAUUACUAAUUAAAAGCUUUUGCAGAAACGCUUGAAGAAAUUAUGGUAUUCCAUCUCCAUUUUUCUUUUAAAUUCUCAGCCGCUCUCACAUUGCAUCACCAAAUCCACACCUAUCUUCUCCGCGCCUUACUGGGAAGAAGAUCCAAUUUCGAUACUAACCAUGUCGAACGAAGUUCAAGUAAUUGCUCGUGUCUUGCUAUGGGCAGCAUGUAGCACCCUGUUGGUCCAAUCGGGGUUAGCUCAGCUGCCACUAUUGCCUAAGAUACCCGGCCUGCCCGAUAUUACACUACCUCCGAUUCCAGGCCUACCUUUACUUCCAGGUUUGCCUCAGAUUCCCGGCCUGCCCAAAAUCCCACUACCUCCGAUUCCAGGCCUACCUUUAAUUCCAGGUUUGCCCCAGAUUCCGGGGCUGCCUUUACUUCCUCCACUGCCUCAGAUUCCAGGCCUACCUUCAAUUCCAGGUCUGACCUCGGUACCGGGGCCGCCUCCACGAUCCCAAAUCCCAGGCGGCCCUCCACGAUCCCAGAUCCCAGGCAGGCCUUUACUUCCAGGUCCACCCCAGGUUCCGGGGCUGCCUCCACCCCCUCCACCACCCCAAAUUCCGGGUGUUCCAACUCCUGGAACUCCAGUAGGCAUAGCCAAUGCUGGACACCAGUAGCCAAUGUACCAGGACGUGUUGUGGAAAUUACACCUCUCCUUAACGGUCAAAUAAGCACUCUGGUAUCGGUUUGUUGCAGAGCUUUAAUUCUAUAAAUGACAUUUGUAUUCCGAAAUUGUUUCCUUUAAAUCCAAUCUCCCCUGCUGUUUUAACUCAAUUUUAUCCUCGGUGUUGAUGGUGUUUCAAUAAUUCAAAAUAAUGCAAAAGUUUACUAAUUUGCCGUGAUUCGACCAACUUCUGAUAAUUUUAUAAUUUGUAGAAAAUGAGAAGAUAAGAGGGAAUACGGAAUGAUACUCAACAAGGGGUCUAAAAGUACUGCAAAACCAUACUUCCGAGUUUUGGAUAUUCAGCAUAUAUGUUAAUUAACCUUUAAUUAGUAACCUUUUCUUAGAACAAUUCCACACCUAUAGAUUCAAUUACACCUUUAAUGAUUUUGUAGAGUUAGUAUCAUUUUACAUCGAAAACAACAAUUUUUAAUUUUUAACAAUUAACAAUUAACAAGACCAAAUGUCAUUUAUAUUUUCUUAUCAAUUAACAAUUUCCCUGGAUAUUGAAAGAUUCUCAUAUUAAGGCAGCCAAACCAAACUAAUAAGUCAACUCUCAUAUAAAAACAAUAAAAAAAAAUCAAAUUAAAAAAAAAGAGCAUGAACUUUUUCCCUGAUCAAGCAAAUAAGUCUCUGAUAAUGUCAGGCUUGUAGAUGACAAUAUAUAUAUAUAUAUAUAUAUAUAUAUAUAUAUAGAGAGAGAGAGAGUUAAUUUAGGAUUUAACCGAUUUGAUUCUUGAUGGUUUUAAAAAAAUUCAAUCCAGUUUUAUAUUGUCAAUCUAGAUGAUUAAUCUACAACCUAAUUUAUCUGAUGAAAAUUCAAUUUAAUUUUGUAAAAAUAUAAAUUUUAAAAUAACAUUAUUUUAAUUUUUUAAAAUAAAAUUAGUUCACAUGCUCAACCUAUAGCUUGGAAUUAGAAUGUGUUUGCUUUUAAGAUAACUUUUGUGAUUGUGUUCGUGGUUGUGAUUUAAAAAAAAUAAGUUUAAAAAAAAUGUGAUUAGGUAUGGUUAGUUGUAUUCAAAUACAUGUUUGGUAAAAAUUAUGGUUAAGGUUUAUGUGCAACAAAAAAACAUAUAUAAAAUGUUUGGUUGUGGUUGCUUUUCAAAAGUACGUUUUACUUGGAAAUACAUCAAAAUAAUUUUUUUAUUUUAUAAAAAUUAUUUUUGAUAUCAGUACAUUAAAAUAAUAUGAAAAUACAAAAAACAAAUCUGGAGUCAAGAAAAAAAUAAAAAAAAAUUAAAUUUUAAAAAAAGUGCUUUUGAAACACAAAAACAAACAAAAUUUUACAAAACUCAGUUAAAAAAACAUGUAAAAAUAUAUUCAUAAAAACUACAUUUCAAACUUAAUUUUUAAUAAACCCUGCAAUAUAAAAUAUAAUUUAAUAUAUUAUCAAACACUUAAUUGCAUUGUUUACGCUACAAACACAAAAGCUACAACUAAACAAACUGACCCUUAACCGUAUUAUGAACUUUGCUCGUGGUAAAACGCCUAUUGGUUGAUGAUCCAUGUUACGAGGAGUUAUCGUCGCCAAUCCCAAGUUUUGUGACAGACCCGAGUAUUUUACCAUCGAACUUGCAUUUUUUUUAUUUAUCCUGAAAAUACUUGCCUGGUCGGUAAUUGACUAAAAAACCUAAUAAGAAAAUCAUACAGAUUAACAAAAAAUUAAUAAAACCUUUCAACCAUAAAACCUUUUUCCAAAUAAACAUUGAAUGCAAAACAAUUUUUUCACAUUGAUUCAAUUCUCAUUUUUAAAUUAUAUGCGGGCAGAAUACUCUUUUAAUUUUUUUCACAAUAAAAUUACUUAGCCAUCCCUAACAUCAAAACUGAUGUCUAGGAUCUCUUUUAUCUUUUCAAUUCUUCUAGAUUAAUAAAAUUAUUUAAUUACUUUUAGAGAAAAAUCUACCAAAGUAUCUUACAUAGGUUUUUUUUUAUUAAUGUCAAGUUCACUCACCACAUUUUGUAUUUUGUCAAAUAUUAAUAACUAAUAAAAUAACCGCUGCACGCUCUAGCAAGUAGGCAUCCCCAACACCAUUCAAGCAACACAUAUAAGGUUGUAUGGUGACCAAACACUAUCUAUUAAGUGACAUUUAAAUUGUCUCGACGUCCAUUCUAUGAUGAGGUGGCGUGUAUUGUUAACACCCAUUUAGUUUGGCAUCAAUAAUUUUUCGUUUCUCUCUUCUUUAAUAUCUACUCUUGCCCCUUCAAAAAUUUAAAGCAACCAUUCAAUUUAUUAUUUCUUUAUACUUGGUUCAUGUUUUUUUAUUACUAUUUAUUUUAUUUAGAAUGAUUUAUAAAAUUAAAAUUCUUUUUUUAUUUCAUCCCCUUUUAGUUUUGUCGUCUUUCAAGUUUAGUCCUUAUUAUUUUGAUUUUUAUUUGUUUUGUUUGAGUUAGUUUUUUAAAUUGAUUUUCUUACAAUUUCAUCAUUCUGAAGUUUUUUUUCUAUCAAAUUUGAUCCACGUUCUUUUAUUUCUAUUUUUUUACUUUGUAAUUUUUUAAAAUUGAUUUUUUCUCAUUUUUAUUUUUCAACAUUAAAUUUAUUGAAAAUUGAGUUUCUUUAUUAAUUAUAGAUCUAGCAUCUUACGGGUUGCGGGUUUUAUAAAUUAUCCUAAGUUUAGGAAGUUCACCUAAGUUUUGUUUUUCUUUAAAGCUCGUGUUUUUUUUUUUUAGUUUUAUCCUUCAUUAUUUAUUCAAUUGAAGAUUAUACCAUGUUACUUUUAUUUAUUUUCUCUCUAUAGGAUUUUUCAUAAUUUUAAAAAAUGAAUCGGGUUAUCUUGGCUCGUUUUAUUUGUUGUUCUUUGUUGAAUUUACUUUGAAAAAAUUUUUAAAUUGGUAUUUUUUUUAUUUCAUACUUCAAUAUUAGAUUGAUUGAGAAAUACUUUUCUUUUUUAGUUCCACCCUCUCUCUCUCUCUCUCUCUCUCUCUCUCUCUCUCUCUCUCUCUCUCUCUCUAUAUAUAUAUAUAUAUAUAUAUAUAUAUAUAUAUAUAUUGAGCUUUGUGAUUUUUUUUAAUUUUCUUUCUAUUAGUUUAUCUCGAUCUCAUUACUUAAAUUAUGAGGUUGGCCGAUUGCUUGAGUUGGCCUAGGUUUUUAUUAGGAUCGCUUUCUUAAAAUUUAAUAUUUGUUAUAUUUCUUCCUUUAGCAUUGAGUUGUUUUGGAUUUCAGCUUUUGUAAUCUUGUAUGAUUUGCCCUCAAUUGAGUUAUUUUAUUCACAUGAUUCAAGUCACAAAUAGCAGUUGUUUUAUCUUUUUUUUACUCUAUGUUAUCUUGUUCCAAUUUCAUGAUCUGUCUUAUACAUUUAACAUACUAACUAGAUUGGUUAAAAUCAUGUUCAAAUCAAUUUUUUUAUUUGAUUGAAGAGAAUCUUAGGUUGGUCACUUGUUUUUUAUUUAUUUGUUUCGAAGACCUAUUUUAUUGCAGGCCCCGAUAAUUUAUUUUGUUUAAAUUAAUCAAAUUAACUAUGUUAUCUUUUCUCUUAUCAUAGUUUAGUUUUUGCUCCAAGUCUCAUUUUUCUUGAUUUUUUUUAAAACACGCUUGUAUAGUAGGAGUUUUGUUUUUACCCGAAAUUUUUUUUUUUUUUGCCAGAUGCCUUGCGGGCACAUAAAUCCAAGUCCAUCCUAAGACUAACUGCCCUUAACAUAGGGGGACCACGCUAACAGAGGCUCUUAAUAAGAGGGGACCAUUCUGUACGUCAGGGUCCAGUUCGGAAAGACACCAGACAUCGUCAGCUCUUUGAUUGGCUGGGCCUGCAUGGCUGCAUACCUCCCCUCCUUAUCCACCCACCGCAGGGGAGGACCACCCUCCUCCCCUUCCCUCCCUCCGCAACCUAACGCCUAAAGCCUAAAAGACCGCUCGAGACAGCGGACAAAAAAAAAGGGGUCAUAUCCUAACUGGUCCCCACCUUAGCUUCAACUCACAAGUAUACCAAUCUAGAUGGUCUGAUUCCUCUGGCUCGUUCUCCCAUGAUGUCCCCACUUUUGUGGUCCAUGAAACCUUGGUUUUACACGUGUCCUUCCUUAGAGCAGUCCGAUUGUUGUUGUAGUUGCUGUCGACACAAAAACUACUGUGUAAAACUUGACUUCCAAAUUCUAAUACUUCAUCGUAUACGUGUCAUCAAAUCUGGCCGUUAAAACACCCCUCUCUAAAAGUCCACCCAAGAACAAGCCGUUGGCUAUGGCCAGCCCUCAUAUUUCUCUAUAGUUUCGGUUUAGUCUCUGUGUUUGGAUUAUUUCGAAUCUACCACCUAACUUGAACCAAUCUUUCAAUUUGGGUCUCUUGUAGCUAACUAAUUAUCAAUAGAAUGUAGUAAUGUUGUUUAUAGGCUUAAGAAUGUUCGAAGCACCAUGCAUGUGGAACUCUUUUUUAUGUUUCAUGUUUUUUCAAUUCCAUUACAGGGUAAGACAUGAUAAAAUAUACUAUCAGCUUAUGAUAAUUCGAUUAUAUUUAUGAUGCAAAUCUUAUUUUUUUAAUUCAAAAAGUAUUAUAUUUUCUUGCUGUUUAGAGGAUUAAAUUACAAUGCUUAUAAUUAAUAAAUUCUCAUGGUUUUUAUUUGAGAUUGAUGGAGUAUCAUAUCAAUAGAAUAUAAGUGUAAGAUUUUAUACUCUUUUUUUUUGUGUGUUUACAAACAAUUGGUAUUUCAUAAUUAAUUUUUAUGAUUAAGAUCAAUAUUUUUUUUUAUUUACUCUUACUUGAACAAAGACAAAUUAUUCAUGUCAAGAAAGUUUUUAAAAAUUCAUGAGAAUUGUACUUUUCGUGCAUUUGAAUCUAGAUGGUUGAAGAGAGGGUAGGGGUCUUAUUGGGUUAAGGUCAUGACUGCGAGAACUGUUUUGAAAGAUAAAGGACUAAGUUGUAGUUGACCCCAAAAAAAACAAAAAGGCUUCCACUUUCUCCUCCAUUUUCUUCUUCUUGUUCAUGCUUUCACUCCACUUCAUGUCCUCCUUCCAUCAAAAAACACACACACCCACUUUUCUUUCUUUCCCACAUCUCCCUCUCCCUGUCUCUCUUGUCUUCGUGUUGAAAUGAAAACCCACUUCUAAUGGCUUUUGAAGACCACCACCAUAUACCACAAGAAAUGGCUUUUCAGCUACAACACCACCACCUCUCAGCCUCGUCUUCCACCGGUCCCCCAUGGCUAAGCAACGCGGUCCUCCGUAGGAACGGCGACUUUAUAACCAUCGAAAAAACCGAAAACACCACCAACAAUGGAAGUGAAGAGGAGUUGGUAGAUUCUGUUAGUGAUAACUGGGAGAGAGCUAAAUGCAAAGCUGAGAUAUUAGGGCAUCCUUUUUAUGAACAAUUAUUGGCUGCACACGUGGCUUGUUUAAGGAUUGCAACGCCAGUUGACCAGUUGGCUAGGAUUGAUACACAGUUGGCUCGGUCUCAAGAUGUUAUUGCUAAGUAUUCUGGUGUUGGUUGUGGCCAUGUUGUUGACGAGAAAGAACUUGAUCAGUUCAUGGUAAUUACUAGUAUCUUUUUAAUGUUUUCUUCAUUAUAUGUCGUUUUUUUGUGUUCUUUAAUCUUUUUCUCUCCUGUCUGCUUGUUUUUUGUUGAAUUUGAGCGAGCUCAAGUUUGGAUUUUUUGUAUGAGAUAUUCAUGUUUAUGCUUGAUUGGUUAAUUAACGAUCCUUAAUUUUUGAGAUUUAUCUUAAAGAAACUUUUUGUUUUAUUUUUUGACGGAUGCUUACUGUACUUGUUAAAAUUCCAUAUAUGAAAUGACACCGAAACUUCCUUCUCUUCCCUUUUGCCUGUACCUUAUUUUGUCCAUUUGGGAGAGUGAGUUAAGAAGAAACCCUUUUGAUAUAUGUGAAAGUGAACAGGUUCUAAGUGGAUAAAUGGUACUUUUGAUGUGAAUCAUGUACUGGUUUAUAACUGUUUUUGCAUCAGUGGAGGAACCAAUUAUGUUGUUUUGGAAGCACAUGAAAAUAAUUGAAACUUUUGGAGUGCUUUGGAGAAUCUCUUUGGUGAUGGUUUUGUAUCACUUAUCCACUCGUUCACAGGGAUUAAUCCUCCUUGCGUUAUGGAAUUUGUUCUGACAUGAAGAAAGUUUCUGGCCAAGUGUCUAUCUUAUUGUUCUCCAAAUUACAUGCAUUGAUUUUGAUCCGUCAAUUUCAUUGCCUGUUCAUGUACGAAACAACCUUUUUCCUUUAGUAUAUGAUUCUGUUAUGUUGCUAAAUGCUUACUGACAAUUGCUUGAGCUCCACUAAGGCGACAAGUGGAGAUUAGUGUCUUGAUAGAUAGAGUGAGUUGACAUAUAGCAAUAAGGCUGGGAAUAUCAAGUCACAUUACGAAUUACAAAACUAGUUGAUCAUCAUGGAUUAUGAAAAAAUUCAUUUUGUCAAGUAAUGAGAAACUCCCAGAAAUUUUGGAUUGUUUUGGCAUUGAUUUCUUCUUUACCACAUGAAACAUUAAAGAAGUUCAUGAGGAUGAACAGUAUAACUGCUGAUUAUUGCUCAAUCAACUUGAUAAUGCAUUUAUGUACCAUAAAAAAUUCUUAUUAAAAAAAGCUUUGAUGGUGUUCGGCGCUAAAAUAUUUAAGAGAGAUAGGGAUUCAAGACUAUUUUAGAUUCGAAUAAAUUUUUAACUGGAGAUUGAUCUCUUGAUAGAUAGAGCGAUUGACAUGAUUUAUCUUUUUUUUUUCAAAUAAAAUAAAAUAAUAAUAAUGGAUGCUCUUAUAGUGAGGAGACAUGUAGGCAAUAAGGUUGGAGAUAACAAUUCAAGUUCCAAACUUAUGUUACAAAACUAGCUGUUCAUGAUAGAUUACGGAAUAAUUCUUAUCGUCAAGUAAUAUGUAAUUUCCAGAAAACUUGGAUAUUGGAUUGCUUUGGCAUUGAUUUCUUCUUAACGAUAUAACUCAUUUAAGAAGUUUGUGGGGAUGAAUGAGAAAACUGAGUGAUGGUAGCUCUAUCGGCUUGGGAAUGCAUUAUUUCGCAUAAAAUACUCUCUUUGAAAAAGCUUAUGAUGGUGAUUCAUAGCUAAAAUAUUUUAAAAAAAUAGAAAAUCAAGAAUAUUUUAGAUUGAAUUUAAUAUUUUCUGAAGGGGUCAUGUGAUGAUACAGGUGAUUCACAAUUGAUAAAAGUUUUUCACUUUAGCUGUUCAUUACUGAUGUGUAUUAAAUAAGGAUUAUAUGAAAACUUUCAGCGUGGCUAUAUUUGGUUUCUGCAUGGGUAUAUAUGCAUGUGAAUUACAAGUGUGCAUUUGCUGCAAUCUGAUAAUUAAUAAGACAGUUUUAUUAAUAUUUAAAUAUUUACAUUCAUGAUGUUAUCAAUUAUGUCAUUUUCAUUUUCCUUUUUUCAUUCCUUCUAUCAUAUGUGUUGUCAGUUUUGUUUUCUUCCAUCUGAAUCUCCUUUUUUGCCCUUCUUUUUAUUUGUACCUUGUGAUGCAGACACAUUACGCUCUACUUCUCUGUUCCUUCAAAGACCAAUUGCAGCAACAUGUCCGUGUUCAUGCUAUGGAGGCAGUAAUGGCUUGCUGGGAACUUGAACAAUCUCUACAAAGUUUGACUGGUAUUUAGCCCUUCUAUCAAAAGGAAAAGAAAACAUAAAACAUAGGGAUUGCUGGUCUACAUAGUGGAAAGUGAAAUGAGUUGUUAGUAAUUCUUUGCAUGUCGGUAAUCAAGCUGCUUCCUUCUUGCUGUUUUAUCUUUUGUUCAUUCAUCUUGCAGAUCCACAAUCUGUGCUGUUACUUUUGUGUCACAUAAGUUGUCUUACUUCUGUGUCAAUGUUACCAUACUUGAUCCAUGCUGUUUAACCUUUUCCUUUGCGAAGAUAAAUUUGGAUGAUUGAUUUCUGAAUACCCAAAUAUAUUCAUCUUGUUCUAUAUUGAGAGUACAUUUUACUCGUUUGUUUUUAAUGUUGGAGUUAAACACUUUCAUCAAUAAGAAAUCAAAGUUAAACCAUGGCCAAUGUUAGCCAAUCCCUGAGCCAACUGUGCCUUACCUGCUUAGAGAGCCCGAGGGUUUAACCAUCGGGACAGCCUACCUCCCUUUCUGUAUCCCCACUGUAACUGUCUAAAUCUAAAACAGAGAACAAGGGAAAAAUCCAUUUAGUUUCUUACAUAAUUGCUGCAAUUGAACUGCUACAUAGUUACAACUGCAUCAUUGCUUAGAACUAUUUCGAUGAUAUUCUGCAUUUACCCUAGUUAAAAUUGGAAUUCCUGCCUAAGCUUAGAACUAAACCACGGUGCAUGACAGGCGUAUCUCCUGGGGAAGGCACUGGUGCAACUAUGUCUGAUGACGAAGAUGACCAAGCAGAAAGUGAUACCAACUUUAAUGAUGGAAACCUUGAUGGGUUGGAUACCAUGGGAUUUGGUCCUCUAGUCCCCACUGAAACUGAGAGGUCCUUGAUGGAGCGUGUAAGGCAAGAAUUGAAGCACGAGUUCAAACAGGUAAUGAUGCAUAAAAUUCUAUGGUAAAUUACUGGGUGAAAAUGGUGAGCUAAGCAACUUUAUCCUGUUUAGGAUUACAAAGAGAAAAUUGUGGACAUUAGAGAGGAAAUUCUACGUAAGAGAAGAGCAGGGAAACUGCCAGGUGAUACCACUUCCCACUUAAAAGCAUGGUGGCAAACACAUUCCAAGUGGCCGUACCCAUCUGUAAGUAUGAGAUGAUUUCCUAACCAUAUGCUGUUAAUAUUUUGUUGCCAGAUCCUCAAACUGUUUGCUCCAAAUUACUUUUCAGGAGGAAGACAAAGCAAGAUUGGUGCAGGAAACUGGGUUGCAGUUAAAGCAGAUAAAUAAUUGGUUCAUAAACCAAAGGAAAAGGAACUGGCACAGCAGCCCUUCAGGAUCUACCUCGAAGAGCAAACGAAAGAAGUAAGCUGACUAUUAUAUGUUUCUCUGUGAACAUUGGCUUCUUCAAGAACAUAAAGCAUUUCAUAUAAAUGGAAAGACUUGAAGGUAGACUGCUAUUGUUGCCUUCGUGUACAUACCUGGGAAGAGCAUCAGAACACAUUUGGGGCCAUUGGAAUCAACAAGAAUUAAGGGUAGAUAUAUUCUGUUUGGAUAUGCUCAUACUGGAAAGCUCAUCUUUUCUUUGAAAGUGGGUGCUAUUCAAUAUGUAGAGAUGGGCUAAACUCAUUUUCCAGUUGAGAAGUGUGCUAUGAUGGCAUACUGCUACAAUAGAUGUCCUAGUUUAUAAACAUAUGAGAUUGGAAGUGUUAGUUUGGAUAGCUUCCUUCUGUGCCAUGGGCCUGUAAUUUUGCAAUUAUUGGUUUAUGUUCAAUAUUUGUGAUAAGGUAAUGUAAUUAUAUCCUUUUCAGUGUACACAUUCCAAACCAUUCAAUCACAACUUUUCCCUUACUCAAAAAACAUGCAAGGGUUGCUGUUUGUUCGUUGAAACUCGAACAUCUAGUGAGUAAAGUCUGUCGUGCAAAAGGGAUUUCUCACAAUGUACUCCUACGUAAUGUGGAUAGUCUGUUUAAAACUCGACCAGGAAGGAUUGCUUCCAAUGGUUAAGAGCAUAGUGACUGUAAGAAAACCAUUACACGCUUUUGUGAAAACGGGGUAGAAAAGGGUACUGGCCUGGAAUAUUUACUCAAGGGAGACAAGGAUUGUUGCUGUAGCUCAAGGAAUAAGGGGGAUCGUAAAUGAAUAAGAUAGACCAAUUGCUCAAGGAAGAACAAAGAAUCUUGAAAGAAAGAAACCAAAAUCUAUUAGGGUUUUCGAGCUUAGAACAAUAGAAAGCAAGCCUCUGCUCUAACUUGGCCUAUCAUUUGGAAAUGGUAACCCAUUAUGUCAAUAGAGCUCGCUAGCUACUUCAUAGUUGGUAGGAAAUAUGGACGAGGGUGAGAAGCGUGGCUGGGAAGAAAGUGAGUGAUGGAAACAGGAACGCGUAAUCUUUUUUCGUGUUUGGUAGAAAGGCAAAGUGAACAAGUAAUCUCUAGCAGAAAAAAAAUCGAUGGAUUUGGAAGGAAAAUCUGCGAGUUAAUGUUCCUACCCAAGUAGCCAAAUUAAUCUAUUUCUUGAUAUAUUUAAUUCUUCCUCCAAAUUCAUUGCAUGCUGAUUAUUUUAAGAAUAGUUAAAAAACUUGGUCUGACAUGGUAGAUCAAUCAGGUGAUUUAAACCGAUCCAAGUUCAGUUUCAUUUCGAACAUGAUUUUUUUAACUAAAACAACGGGCAAUUCAUUUUUUGUUUUGUUUUUUUUUAAAAAAAACAUACCAAUAUUGUUUUGAUAAAAAAAAAUAGAUUAAGCUGACAAUCUGUUCUAGAAGGUCUGCUGGAAUAUCUAGUUUGAUUGGUUCAGAACAUCCUUUUUCUUCCUUUCAUUUCUUAGCAAUCCAGCCACGUCAUAUUUUAUUUUGAUUUAAAAUUUUGUAGUCUUUAGUCUUAUCUUUGACUGUAGUUUCCAAAAUGACUGCAAACCAGAUCAUCGUCCUGUUUGUUGAAUACAAAACAAGAGCACGCCCACAAUCAAAUAAUCAUAGAAAUUAGUAGUAAUGAAAAGAGGAUUAAUGGUAAUGAAAUGGAAAAAUGGAGAAUUUGAAGGAAACCAAGCACGUUGUGGGCAGUGAAAAUUAACAACAAACACAUGCUAGAAAACAAAAGGCUAUACAGAGAUGCCAGCGCCAUGCCAAUCAUCAAAAAAUCCAAGAAUCAAAACAACCUGUAUAUAUUCCUUCACAACCCGUUUCGACGAGCCUCUUGAUCUUCAGAAGAAGCAGCAGCAAACCUUGAUGAGAAACCAGGAAUCAAACAAUCAUCCUCUUCCCUAUCAAAGUUAAGAGCAUAGCUUUCAGCAUCAUAUUGAGACUGAUUAUUCCUUUGUUUCUUCUUCUUGAUAUAUGCGCUGAUCUUUCUAAUGAAUGUCUUCCACUUUGGCCCUGCCAAAACCUCUGAAGCCUCCUUCACUUUCUUCAGUUUCCUCACCAACCAUGGAUCACUAGAGUCACCAUUCUGGUUCAAAACAUCAUAUUCACGUUCAUUGUUUCGCCGCGAGUUGAAAUUGAAGAGUCCAAAACAACAGCAACCAUUAGCUGAAUAGGCCUCUUGUUCAUAAUCAUCAAGGCGAUCGUAUCCUUGUUGUUCAUGUGACAUUCUUGGUGAACCGAUGGGGCUCAUGAAAGUUACAUGCGGUUUGGCCAUGUGUGUAUGUGCGUGUGUGUGAGAGAGAGAGAUACAAAGAAUAAAACGGACGGGGAGUCUGGAUUGGGAAGAAGAGGGUCUUAAUACGGAGAAGCCAUGGAAGGAAGUUGAAGGGAAAUGGGCAAGGAAGUGUCAAGGAAAUGGAGAAUUUAAGCUGACGAUUUUUCUAAAUGGAAAAGCCAACAGGAAUACGAUGCUUGUUGGGAAAAUGACAUUUGACUAAGCUUACAUGGCUCUCUAUGAUUGGUGCUUUUGUGAGGAACCUAGUAAUAUAAUGGCGGCUAUAAGCGAAACACGGUUUCUUAAACGAGUUAGCCACACGCUUGCAAAACGAUGGCAACAUAGAACUUCCAUGCAACAAUCAAGAAACACAGCCACAAAACUUGUCUUCUUUUUCUCGUCACUCACAUUCCAAAUGUUUCUACAUGGUAACAUUUAUUUACCAAAGAGGAUGAUUGGAAAUAUUGGAAAUAACGCCUUUGAUUAUUAUAAAAACAAUGCCUUUGAUUCUCAUAAAAAUACAGGACCUAUCAGAGCGUUGAAUCACCUUCUUCGAGAUUACAAUUUCGAGUAUACUGAAUAAUUGCUCGAAAGAACAUCAAAACGAGGAUAAUUAUAUUUAGGUGAAUAAUAGCGGAAAAGGGCACCGAUCAUCAUCAUAUCCAUGAAGUAUAGGUUCUCAAGGUUCGUCCAAAUCUUGCCAAAAAAAGAACCAAGCCUCCUUAUCUUUGCAGAAGGCACAUAUAAUUCCUUCAGUCGAAUGGUGCGUCGUAGGCAGCAAACCUUUUUCAUAUAAGAAUCCACGGAUUCUCCACUACGAAUCUAUGAUACGGCUACCCUGGAUGUCUGUGUUGUUACAUCAUAUUUCAGUGCCAUCACUGCAAUUUUUUCUGCUAAAGGCCACUGAAAACUUUUUUCCCUUCAAUUGGGAGAUUGUAAAGUUUCAGGAAGAUGCUAUUGAAAAUUGGGAGACUGUAAAGUUUCAGGAAGAUGCUAUUGAAAGCUUGAUGUACAAAAUAGACGUAUCAAGGUCCAACUAUAUACUACAGCUGAUACUUCAACUCUCCAUACACUGGUGCUUGCUUACGCCACAGAAAUAACAAGUCAUUCUGGACUGACUGGUAAGAUUUCUGGGAAAUGAUAUUUGCAUUAUUGAAAGAAAGAAUGCAUGUAUCAAGAUCAGUGAAAGACAUGCCGCAGAAAAUCCAGCCUGCAUUCUUGUGAUGGUGGGUGGGAAAACGAAAAAAUGAAAGGCAUUACAAAAGUACAAAUAAAUUGCACCUCACUUGAAUCAAAACUGCUAUGAAAUGUUAAUAAUAAACAAUUUUUUUUAAAAAAAAAAAAACGUAAAAACUAACUGGACAAAUUCUAAAAACCGUGAUUCAAAAAAGAAAGAAAGACCUUGCCUGUGCUACAUUCAAGUAAAAUACAUGUCUUUCAACAACUGAGGAAGCAACACAUUCCCCAGGACACGAAGGAGAGACGACAGAACAGCUUGCGUGAAAUCAUUUUUGAACCUGGUACUGUGUUGAAGGGGGCUGCUGUGAUGGGUUUUGCCCUCUGGGAGGAAUCUUUGCUACCAUUGCACGCAAAUCAUUUGCAAUUUCAGUGAAGCUUGGUCUGUCUGAUGGCUCAGAAGACCAGCAUCUCUCCAUCAAUGAUCUCCACUCUGGGUCACAAGUCUCUGGCACUGGUGGCCGCAAGGUAUUGCUCACAAUACCACCUGAUUAGCAUUUUGACGGGGCAAUAAUCAGUGAAACACAUACUUGAGCCUAUUUAAGUAAAUGCCACAUGAUUAUUUUUGGUACAACUAAAACCUCACCUAUAAUAGCCCCGUAGUGCAAGUCGGAGUAUGGUUCUUCCCCAGUCAGAAGUUCCCACAACACGAUACCAAAUGAGAACACGUCGACCUAUAUUAAAGAAGAGAAUUGAAGCGCAAGCUCAUCUAGUGAGAAAAAAGAGAGACUAUUUAUAUGCAAGAUGGUAUCAAACGACAAAUGGAAGCACCUUUUCAGAGACAAGACUACUGCUUCCAUUCAGAAGCUCCGGUGCCAUCCAUGGAAGUGUUCCCCGCACACCACCUGAGAUAAGUGUUUGGCAUUUCACCUUAGACAGGCCCAAAUCACCGACCUGGUGCAGAAGCAGAAGUGAAAAGCCAAUUCAAUAAAUUUGCUAUUGAAAACAAAAUACAGAAUUCUCAGGUUCAACAUUACAUGCAGGGACCUGCAGAUUAUAUGCAUCAAUGCAAUCAUAGAACUUAAAUUUGAAAUCAAAAGUUUUUACUGAUUGUCAUACAUGGAGGCUCAAAAUUUAGUAAACUACUAGUGAGCAUUUGGAAAUGGAAUUCUAUUCCCAAAGGCAAAUGCAAAUUUCCUCUUCAGAUAUGGUUUUAUAAGCAUUUGAGUCUGUGAUAACUUCUAUCAAUGACAAAAGCAGAGGCUUCUGGAAUUCAGGACUAACAAUAGAAACAAUAAUCAUAUCUGCCAUAACUAAUAAUUAAAAGAAUAACUUAGAAAACUAAACAGAUCAAAAGAAAACUGACAAGGAUGGAAAAAAAGCGCGAGUACUAUUUCCUAUUUCACAAAUUUGAUCAACACUAUGUGGGGUAACAAGAUACAGACUGGGGAAAUAAAAUCCACUAAUCCACUCAAGUUAUGAUAACAACUGGACAAAAGAGAGCUCAAAUCAACUACAUAGACAUUUCAUUCACAUCUCACUUAAGAGAAUAUCAGCGACAAAUUCUGUUGACAAGAUAUCAGCAUUCAGCACGUGCUUGAAAAUAUAUAUCAGCAUCAAUUACUGUUGAGAUGAUAACAUUACCUCUCUUUUCACAUGGCUAUUAAGUACUGUAAUAAUGUCAUUUGUAAGUUAAAUCUGACGUGAAUCCAUUUGAAAACACUCCCAUAACCUCAAUGCCAUAUUCACCCCUAAACCAUUCUAUGGAAUACCCCAUAAUUCAGAAGUAUUCUGGCAACAGCUCUAAAGUGUUCCACCUAAAAGACUGGAUUAAUUAGCCUGGAGUAUGGAAGAACUUAUUUUAGCCAGAUACCCACAUUUUGCCUUAGCAGGGUGAGAUAAAACUCUAAAUGCGACAACCAAAUUUUCUAGAUCAUUUAGGCAUGGAGAAGAUUUCUCCAAAUACUAAAAUCAUCAAAAGGAGGAUGCCGACAGAAAUAAACCCACAAUCGAUAUGCAUAUCAGAGAGUUCAUUACUUGAUGUAAGAAUGAAGGGGAGGUAAAAGCCCCUCUUCCUCCAGAUUGGGUCACUAACCUUGCAUAUUGGCCGGUGAGGAUCUCGAAGAUUAACAAGUAAAUUGUCACUCUUCAGAUCGAAGUGCACUACAUUCUUUCCAUGCAAGUAUCCCAUUCCAAAGGCCACAUCCAUGGCAAUCAAGAGACGCUUACGCUUGUCAAGGUUCCUGCUAAAAAGAAAUUAUAAAAUAAAUUUCACUUUCAAAGCGGGGAAUGAAAUAAAAUGGAGAGAUACAGGUUCAUGAAAAAGGAACUACAAAAUAACCUCUCAUUUUUCUGCAAAGCAUUUCUUAAAGAACCAUUAACCAUGAACUCUGUCACUGUUGCCACAGAACCUCCAAGGCCAUCAUCAACAACACCAUAAAAAGCAACCACAUUUGGAUGGUGCAGAUCAGCAAGCUUAAUUGCCUCGUUCCAGAAGUCAUCUCUCUGAUUUGAACAUAUGGUGCAGACAGUUAGCAAGUCAUAACACAUGAACAACAUCAACAAAAUCAAAGUUUAACAGGUGCGAUGGGACAAUGAGAAAAACAAAAACAAACCAUGCGUUCUUGUUCAGAAGGUUUCCCAGCGAAACACCUAUCAUUGAUUCGUUUGAUUGCUACAUCAGUACCCCUCCACUUCCCAUGAUAAACAGUGCCAAAGGUGCCAGAACCCAAUUCCUGCAGCUCUUCAAGGUCACUGUUCUUUAUAAUCUGCUAGACAACAACCAGAGGCGUGCUUAAAAUUGACAAACACACAUAUAUAAUUACAGGAAGAAGAAAAUAGUCAACUCUUUCAACCUGCAAGCGACCACGGCCUUCCGAUACAGGAAAACCAAAAUUCACCUUAUCAGGCAGUUUGUUCUUCAUGUCCUGAGUAAAUAAAGUAAGAAAAUAUAGGGAUAAAGGAACAGUCAGAUAAAUGCACCAUAGACGGCAACAUGAAAAAAGAAAUGCCAAUUGAUAAACAUGAAUGUGCUCCCACACAAAUGCAACGAAAACAGAAUGGAUUAAGCACCUCAAGUUUAGCUUUGUGCUGCAUUUCUACACUUUCAUUUGAAUCUUCUUUUUCUUGAUUUGGUUCAUAAGCAGGUUCAUUUCUUUCUGACACGUUUUGUUCAGGAUUAGAAGUAUCUGACUGGAAAACAGAAGCAGCUACACCCUCAGCUACAGCCUUGAGUUCUUGCCUGAUGAGUUCCUCUGCUGAACCUUCAACCAUGAAACAAAAAAUGCUAAGAAACUAAAUUCUCAGUGUAAGAGAAUAUUUGAUUUUAUCCAGAUAAACACAAACAUAACAAAUAAUUAUUGGAGUUAUCCAGUUGUAAGCAUGUGUAAGAACACAAAAUAAGAAGCUUCUGACCUUUGGAUGAUUGAGCACGUUCUAAAUCCUUGUUUGAAUUGCUCAGUGGCUUGGAAACUCCAUCCUCCAACAGCACACCUGUGAUUAAGUCCACCUCACCAGAAUGGUUCUCAAUGAAAGGGUCCCUAGUAGUAAAGGCUUCUUUUUUUGUUGCAAUCUUGUUGGGUCUAGGUGGAGGAAACUGAUUAUCAUGCCUUGAUUUCCAAGGAUCCUGGCUGCUGAAGAGUGAGUUUGAAAAGUCCUGAGCAUUGCCAACUCCACCAGAUGGCGAUAGGGAAGAUGGCAUAUUACCAGUUGAUGAUAAAGCUUCCACGUCGCUGGGGACAACCUUUGAAUGCAGUUGUGAAUCAUUCUUCCAUUCAGCAAAAGGUGGGAUUCUGUCAUUUACAAAGGCAGGCUCAACACCAGAGAAUGCAGGGAUUCCAUAACUAACUUCAGCAGAAUCCAAGGCAGGAACUCCAAUCUUGGGCUGCGGGUGUGAUGCUUUAUUACCCAAAAUAGGUGGUUGUGCAACCUCAUGUAAUUCCAUUGGUUGAGAAAUAUGCAAGUAAGAAACCUCUGUAGAAGCAGGCAACAUUUCAAACUGCUUAAUAUGAUUUGAUUCAAGAACCACCUGUGGUUUGUUAAAAGUAUUAUCUAGAAGCACCUCCCUCCCAGCAAUUUUCUGGGUUUUAUGAUCCAAGAUUUCUUCCUUUUUAAAUUUAUCAACAGGUGACUUUUUCUGAUAAUUGUUAACAUUAAUUUCAGGGGGGCGUAUAUGGAGAGCUUCCAUCAUCCCAUCAACUGGUCUCAGCUGCUCACAAGAUAUGUAAGAGUCUAGAGCAUCUUCUUGGGAAACAACACCAGGAAGCUUGCCAUAGUAUUCUUUUGGAGAUUCUUGAACUAGGUGUUCAGAAGCUUGAAUAGGUACAGCAACAGCAUGAGGGGCAUCACUGUUAGCAGGUUUACUCAGUAAAACCUGUGGUUGCAUUGACACUGAAUGCUGCUGGAUACAAUCUUCCAUGCGAGACGCAGGAAUUCCACCUGCGAACAUGCCAUAAGGAGACUGUACAUCACCUGGUAAACCUAUCAUGCCAUAGGGAGCUGAAAUCUUAGGUUGACCAGAAUUGUCAGUUUUCAAGAAAGUUCUCUCAUUUUCAUGAGGUGCCUCAAGAUUCUGAGAGGACACAAUUGCUUCCGACUGCGGUGUUCCGAUAUGACUAUGAACUGCAGGUUGGGCACCAGCACCUUGUUCCAUAAUGCGUUCUCCCGAGGCACCAGUUAUCAUAACCCUGUUCAUAGGGGGGGCUUUCAUGGUAUCUUCUAAACGAAGACUAUGAUUAAGUGAGUUUGAAUAGCUCAUUCCAGAUUCUCUUGGGGCCGGUACCAAAGGAUCUGAAUGUGCAUGAGGCAGUGCUUUCUGACACAUAUAACAGUCCUCCAUUCUUGGAAUUUUCUCAGGGAAAAGUACCUGUUGAUGAGACACUGACCCAUCAGAGUAGACAACAGGCUCUGGCUGAGGAACUUGUGUCCAGCCAUAGCCUCCAACAACUGCAGGAGGAAGUUGAGCCCGAUAUGCAUUGUAGCUUGAGUCAACAGGAACCUGAACAAUCCUUGUUCCAAAUGCAUUUUCUUCAGGAUAGUGCUCCAAGCGAGUUUGUUGGGGUUGAAUCAAUGGUUGAACCACAUUUGGCCUUAUAGCCAUAUGAGAACCUGAGGGUGUCAUAGUCAUAUGCACUGCAGGAACAUAUUGAAGUGAAGUAGCACCUGCAUUACUCUCAUGAAAAUGCUGUUGGGUGAAUAUGGGCCCCGGAGUUCCAAGCACAUGAUUAUUUGGAAAACCCAUGAGGGGAGGAACAUGCCUAUAAUCUGCCUGAUUCAUAUUUUCUUGACGAGGAUCUACAUACGCCCGCGAUUGAGGUGCAUGUGGUAGAAUGCCUGACCCAACUUGCUGGAAAUCAUGGACCCUAUGCUGCGGCUGUGCAGUAACAGGAACGGACCUCUCAAAUUCAACCUCAGGCUGAGAACAUGAAGUCUGCGGAGGACCGGACUUAGCCAAUGGAAUCCCCAAUGGAACUGCAGAUACACCUGCAUAAGCUGGGGGGUUGGUAUCUGCAAAGACUAGUUUUGGAGUAGAAUCAUGAGAAGCAUCCAAAUUAUCCCCAGGGGAUAACAGGCUGGUAGAUGGUGACCAAGUCACAUCCCCUUGACCAGGACCUGAGCUCUCAACAGCCUCAGUCCCACUAAAAUCAGAGUUUUGCGUUGAAGUUACACUCGCCAUACUCCCCUUCCUAGUGAUACGACCACCGCCAUCCACAACCCCAUUUACUGCAUCAAAAUAUCUCUGCCCGCUAUCAUGUAAAUCUCCAAAUUGGACUGAACCAGAAGCAUCGAGCUGUGAAUCCGAAAACAAAAACACCCUUAACUUAGCUGACCCAUCUGAAGACCUCUCAAGCAACUUCUCAUAUUCCUCCAUCAUAUUAUCAAGAUCAUCAGCACAUGAAACAGACACCAAUGCAUCAAGGUCCUCAUCAGGAAGCUGGUAUUUAAUAACAACAGGCUGCUGAUAUGUAUCCAUCAUCUUCCGCUGCAGCUCAUUAAUGCUCACAUCUCUCCUCACACUAAUAAUCCUUGUUUGCCCUCCAGCAUAUCUCAACGUACCAUCACUUGGUCUUGGCAAAAUCUUCCCCCCAAAACUACACAAAAACUUCACUUUCUUCCCCGACACUGAAUCAUCCCCACCAUCUUCACUCCCAUGGUCAGCCCCACCACUAGCGUGACUCCCCAAAUUGGUAUUACAACCCAGCCCCGUAUUUACUGCCUCAAUGCUCCCAUUAACAUUAACCCGAUUCCCAAAAUUGGGUGAAGAACCAGAUCCCAACACCAUAUCAUUUCCGGCACGAUCAACAGCAUUACCAACUAUCCUGUUCCCCAAAUUAGGAUUAUAACCAAACGGAACACCAGAACCAUUUGCACCCACGUUCAUACUCCCAACCGACACGGGAACCGGCAUGAGUGGGGCCCACGGGGCAGCCCCGGAAUAAGCAUUCCCAUAUCCUAAACCUACAAAACCAGCAUCAGACACCGAUGCCGGAUAGAUAACAGGAAUAGAACCUUCUGGGCUGGCAAAAAACUCAUGUUUUCUACCAGCUGUUACUGGUGUAGUGACAGAACUACUAGUAGCACUAGCAAUAGCAGCCACAAUGCGGGGCUCUUCAGGUAUGGUUCUAGCUAUGUUUAAUGGCCUUGUAUCUUUUGGUGUUGGGGUCUGAUCAAAAGCCAUAAAUAAACUUAAAAUUGAAGAGAUAAAAAAUCAAUCUUUAUUCACAAACUUAGGGUUUCCCAAAUGGGUUUUCCUCUACACAUUCACUACUCUCAUAAACCCUCACAAGAUUUUGCAAAGACAGGGACAGACAUAAAUAACCCAAAGACAGAGUCAAACAAAGAGAAAGAGAGAGACCAAGUUACCAGAUUUGAACGGUGACUACCAAGGAUAGAUAAGAAUAAGAAAAGAUGACACAUAUAACAGCAGCUGAGUCGGUGCAGCAGCAGCAGCUGAGUCGGUGCAGCAGCAGCAGCAGAAUUUGAAAAGAGCUUAGCCAAAUUCAGGGCUUUGUUUGGAAGAGGGUGAAUCGUAUUAUUUUAUUUCUCUGUGUUUUGUUCUGUGCAAUCGGUAAUGGGACUGGUCGUUUUGGUUUUGAUCUUGUUGUGUUUUCUUUAUUAUGACUUAGGUUUUAAGGAAGGAAGGAGAGGGAGAGAGGGAUUUCGGCAACGAGGCACGUGGACCGUUUCAUGCAGGUUGAGUUAGAGGUCAAAUGUAUGUGUUCUGUACGUUUGUUUGCUUGCCUUUUUGAGUGGGAAAUUGGAAAGUGACGAGAUUGAGUGAGAGAGACUUGAGAGAGAGAGAGAGAGAGAUUCAAGGGAAGGUGCGGGAUGGCAGGAUCUACCUAUAUUCUACUAAAAAAAAAUUAAAAAAUAAAUUCACAUCUAUAAAAUAUAAAAUAAAAGAAAAGAAAACAUAUAUAUUUAUUGUUGAGUCAAUCUAUUAAAACUGGUUUAAGUGUGUGUUUUGGUUAAUCAAACUAAUGAAGUGUUGUUGUUAAUCAAACUAAUGUCCGUAUUAUUUUAUUUGAAAAAGAAAUUAAUGUCAUUUUAUAAUUAAUAAAAAUAAAAUAAAAUUUGCUUGCAAACCAAACUAAAUUAAAUCGAGUUGAUGGGCGUUUCAUUCACGAAUAUUUUGAGUGUAGCGAGAGAGAAAAUUAUGGUAUUUCACGGCUUUGUACUUAGAAUAAAAAAACAAACUAGAUAGGUACCUUCACUUCCGCACGUCUUUUAUAAUUAUUAUCAUUUAUAGAUAAUGCAUGUAGAAAAAUAAAUAAAUUAUAUAUAUAUAUAUAUAUAUAUAUAUAUAUAUAUAUAUAUUAUUGUAAUUCACUGCGUACUUUCUUGAUUUGUCUAUUCAAAGGUUGGUGGUGUUUCGCAUCAUUUUUUCUAUUUUAUAUUGGUUUUUAAAAAAACUUUUUCUACAAAGAAAAAAAUAUUUAUUAAUAUUCAAUUGUCAUGUAAAAAAUAAAUUGAAAAACAAUAUGGUUUGACCCGUUUACCAUGGCUGCGUAAAUUAAAAAACGGAGUAAUGAAUAUUGAUCAUAAAUGGUUAAUUUGGGCCCACUUCUUAGUUUAUCUAUACCUGACUUUCAACUCCUCAUGACCAUUUAUCUCAUUCCACGCUACAUUACAGAUCGAUUUAUUUUUUACAAUAUAAAAAAUAUGCUAGGAUGGUAUAAAUAUUUUUUUAAAAAAAAAGUAAAACAAGAACGAGACUCCAGACACUAUCUCAAUUAGAUUUAAUAAACUCUGCUAGAUUAAAAUUAUAUUUAAUAAUUCUGAUUAAUUUAAUAAUAUGAAUAAAAAUACAACAAUAAAAAAUAAAAUAAUUAAAAAAUAAUAAUUAAAAAGUUUAAAAAGACCCAACCCAGGCCCGUUCAGGUUUGCACGUCAAAUAUACGACUUAAAUUACUAAACAACCAAAUAUUGGAUGAAACUAAAAAAAAUAAUUAUUUUUAAAAAACCAACGAAACAAAAUUUGAGUCAAAUAAUGUUUACCUGUUAACCCCGCGAUCAUGAGUAUAAAAUUAGAAAAACCCCAUAAUAAAAGCACGAAGAUCAAUUCUCAAUUAAGUAAAUAUUAAACAAUGAAAUUGAAAUAAUUUUUUUUUAAAAAAUCAAAUGCUAGAGAAAAAAUCAAAUGAUAAUGCAAUAAACUCAUAGAAAGUAAAAUAGAAAAGAUUUAAAGUUCGAUUUAUAGUAAACAAAAUAUUAAAGGAUAAAAUCAAAGAAAAAUUAAUCCAAAAAAGGUCAAAAAACCCUAACCUAAGUCCACCCGGGUCAGCAUGAAAAACCUGUGACCUAGUUGUGAUAUUGGGGUAAUCCUAUCAAAAAUAAAUUGAAUAAACUUUAAAGUUUAAUUAUCAAACAAUUUAAUAUUAAAGAGUAAGAUAACUCGGGUUCUUUUUAAAAUUAUUGAAAAAUCUAAUGGAAAGAAAAUUUAAAAAACAACAGGGUCCAAAUUCCAAUUAAAUAGGUAUUGAAUAAUGAAACUAAAAAAAACAAAAGCUUAAAAAAAAUCAAAAAAAUUUAGAUAAAAUUCUUAAAUCUGAGUUAAUUUCUCAAAUUUUCAACCAGAUGUAACCCAUUUUUUUUAUUUUAUUCAGUAAAAAAAAUAUUAUUAAAAAUCACGUCCACAACAAUUAAAGCAUGAAAAUUAAAAAUAUAAAUUUAUAAAUCAUUACAUCAUACGAUAAUAAAACAUAAAAAGAAUCAAAAUGAUAAUCUACACAUGAAAUGAUAUACAUGCAUUAAUAAAAAAAUCUGAAUCGGGUCCAAGUCGAUGAUGGAAAUCACUCUCAUUCCAUCCCAACCUUAACAAAACCAAAUUUGAUUUUACCAUAUAUGAUUUGACGUUAGUCAAAUCAAGUUAAAACUCAACCUAACUAAAUUAAAUUAAUUUUUAUAGACUGAAAUUACUAUUUUUAAUACAAGUUAAACUCAAAAUUGUUCGUAUAAUAUAUUGAUUUGAUAUUUAUAUUCUGUAUAUUUCUUUUGAUUUGUUAUAUUCCUUAAUGAUAUUUUUUUGGCUUAUUAUGUCUCUUGAGUUAAAUAGUUAUUAAAUCAUAAUUAGUUGCAAGCACAUGAAAUAUUUUUUAUAUGACAAGUGUAUAAGAAAAUUAUUUUUUAGUGAAAAUUCUCUUCAACAAAAGAACAACAAAAAUGAAAAAAAUAUAUAAUAUUAAGAAAAAAAACACUUAAAAGUGAUUUUUAAUGGAAAAUAUAUUAAAAUAAUAUUUUUUUUACAUUGGCACAUCAAAAUUAUAAAAAACACCUAAAAACCAUUAAUUUAAUGUUUAUUAUUUUUAGGUAAAAAAUAAUUUAAAAAACAUAUUGAAAAGUGGAUUGAACCACAUUACCAAAUAGAGAUUUGAUUAAAUAGUUCUUUUUUCAUCUUAGAUGCAAACUGAUUAUUUUGAAUGUGCCUGUUAGGGGUUUUGGCCUUUUGGAAGGGAAAGUUGUUUGUCGAGUUUUCUUAAAGAUGACUACGAGCGUGUUUGACAGUGUGGUUGCGAGUACUUUUCAAAUAACUUUUCGUGCCAAAAUGCAUGUCAAUGAUGUUUUUUUCAUUUUUAAAAAAUCAUUUUUGACAUCAGCACAUCAAAACAAUCCAAAACAUACAAAUCAUAUUAAAUUUUAGCAAAAAAAAAAAAAUUCAAUUUUUUUGGGAACGCAGCCGCGUUCCCAAACGUUCCCUACAUCGGUUGCUUGCUAAGAUGAGUGAAAGAGAAACUAAGUGCAUGUUUAGAAGUGCAAUAGCUUCUCUUUUUAAAUGCUUUUCAAAAUUGUUUUUUUUAAUAAGUUAAAAUGAUUUUUUUUUGAAUUUUUUAUUUUUAACAAUAACAUAAAAAACUAUUAAAAAACACUAAAAAAACUUUAGUGACAGUUUUAAAAUAAACUCAAACACAAUUUCAAUUGUGAUGUCAAACGAUCAUUAAAGUUGGUGGUGUGAUGUCGCAAUGACUGAGAUAAAAGAAGGAUUGAUGGUGGUGACUGCUACUUUAGUGGCCAUGGUCAAGGCAACAAUGUGUGUGAGAAGGUGAGGAAUGGAGUUGUGAUUGAAUUCGUGUGUGUUUAUUAUUAUAGUGCAAAGUGUUAUUUACUUGAAAAUGGUUUUUUUAUGUUUUUUUUUAAUUUUCAUUAUUAACACAUUAAAACCAAAAAAAAAAUACUAAGAAAGCAUCAAUUUGAUGCUUUUUUAAAAAGUAAAAUUCAUUUUUAAAACGCAUAAGAAAAGACAAAAAACUAUCUCAUUCUCAAACACUCCUGAAGAAGAAGAAAAGGUUGUGACAAUGGUUGUGGGCUGUUUUGGAUAGCUUAAACAAUGUGGAGAGACAUUAAGAGUUUUUACUUUUUUUCAUCAUUUUUUUUUGAAGAAAUUCAUAUAAAAAUAAUUUUUUUUAUUUUGUUUGUGAUGUUAUAAUUUUAUUUUUAAUAUAAUACGUGCAUUUAUUUUUGUUCUUCCCCUCCCCUCCCAAGAGGUUCAAUUAAUGAAAGUCAUAGACUAACAAAAUUGCUCUCUAUUUCAUUAAUUAUAAGUAAAUCUAAAAGGUUUGGGGAAGCUAACGUGCAUAUAAUACAUUGUGGAUUCUUUUAUAUGGACUAUUUACAAUGCCUUUUUUUAUCUUUUUUUUUAUUUAGAUCUUAUUGGACUAAAUUGUAGGUCAAUUAAGGCUAAUUUAUCAGGGAAAUAAGAGAUUGAAAGUCAGGGGACUAAAAUGAAAAAAAAGAUGAAAUGAAUGAUUUUUUAGAAUUUUAGGGUGAAAAAUCUAUUUUUCACUCAAAAACAAAACCAAUAAAAGAUAUUUUUUUUUAAUUCUUUUUUGAUAUUAUUGUUUUUUCAAUUUCAUUAUUUGACAACUGAUUUAUUGAAAUUUAGACUUUGUGGUUUUUCCAAGUUCAAUGUUUUUUAUUAGAUGACUUGCGUCACAAGUUUUAUAAGCUAACACAGGUUUACAUUGUUCUUUUUUGUUUUUUUAUCUCAAUACUCAGCAUUUUUUUAAAAAUAGAAUUCAUGGUUUAAUUUGUUUAUUUUUUUAUAGGGUUAUCCCGAUCUCAUAACCUGACUUAUGUGUUUAGCGGGUUAACCCGAGUGGACUCACUCUUUUUUUAAUUAUUAUUUUUUGUUCUUUUUAUCCGUUAAUCUUAUUGAUUUUUUUUAAAAGAAAUUUAUUAUUCAAUAUUUGAUUUGUUGAGAAUUUACCUUCAUGAUUUUUUCUUAUGUGGUGCUUCUGAUCAAAUAUCGUGGUACAAAGAUUGACAUCAAUUUUUUUUUUUUACUUAUUUUUUCAUUCAACAUUGAUUUUUUAAGAAUUGCAUCAAAUGAUUUUUUUUGUUUUACUUUCUGUCGUGUUAUCUGGAUCUCAUUACUUGAUCCGUAGAUUUAACGGGUUGACUCGAUUGGCUCAGACUUUUUUUUGGCUUAUAAUUACUUUUUUUUAACCAUUAUGUAUGUUUUAUUUUUUUUUUAAUUUUAUCUUUCAACAUUUGAUAGUUAAAUAUUAGACUUCAAGGUUUUUUCAAAUUUGUUGCUUCUAGUCAAAUGAUCAGCGUCACAGGCUUAACAGAUUAACACGAGUUGAUAAUUUUUUUAGCUUAUUUUUUUUUUUAUCAUUCAACUUUAGUUUUUUUAUUAAAUAUUGGUUUUUCCCCUUCUUUAAAAAGCAAUUGCGUAGCGUAGCCUAAACAUAAUUGUUUUUCUUAAUUUUCUUUUCCAACAUGUGGUAUGUUCAUGUGGUAGAACAUGGGUCACACACCUAAUUCAAUUCUAUUCCUAAACAAAUUUAGAUCCCAUAAUUCACAAUAAUUUUAUUUAAUCAAUUAUACUUAGUAGUUUUCAACAUCAAGCAAUACUAAGCUCGAAAUAAUCCCUUAAAAUAUAUAGAAAAAAUGCCAUUUUUAAUUAACAAGUGAUCAUAAUGGAGUAGGCAUAUAUUAGGAGUCACAUCUAGUUACAAUUUUGUGACUGAAGAGACAAAAACAAAUUAAAGGAGACAAAUGAGAUAUCUCUCAGUGCUUUUUAUUUAAAAAAUACAGAAAUUUAUUACAAAAUUUUUAUGUAGACAAAUUUAUUACAUGGCUUCAAUGCUCUUAUUUAAAAAAUAUAAAAAUUCACUACAAAAUUAUAAACAAAUUUAUUUUAUAUCUUCAUCUUUAUAUACGUUUUUAUUUUUUCUUUCUUGAAACAUUAACAAAACACACCUUUAUGAGUUUUCUUAUAACGUUAUAUUAUUAUAUAGUGAAUCGCUUACAUUUAAUAACUAAUUUUUUUUAAGAACAUGAUUUCAUUAGAGAGAAUCUCUCGAUAGAAUUAAUAUUAAUUUUAAAAAAUAACAAUACUCCCUGCGACUCGGAGAUUUUCCUGAUGAUGUUGCAACUAGAAGAUUUUGGGAAAAAUAAUGAAAUUAGUGUUGUGUUGUGCAAUGGAAAGCCAUGAAUGAAUGAUAAAGUAUGUAUGUAAUAUGCAUAGGUGCAUGGUGGUUAGCAGGAACAAUUUUGUAUUCAGUUUGUUCGUGCUACUUUGUUGAAAAUUAUUAAAUUAUAUUUUCUCUAUUUAAUUUGUUUGUUUAAUUACUUUUGAUCUUCCUAAUGGAUUACAAGUCAAGAGUAGGUAAAACCAGGGAGACAAACAGCAAAUAAAUUUAAGGUCUUUUCAGAAUCCUUUACAGAAACAUCCAACAAUGGAGGACAAGCUAAGGAUCUCAAUUUUAGUUGGUGCAAAUUGGAAGAUAAUCAUAAAGUGCAAGAAUUCCUGACUUUCUUGGUGAGGCAGUGUCGAAUGCGCGUGAAUCUUUGAAAAAACAAUAGGGAUAAAGUGGAAAAGGAAAAAUCAAACUGAAGUAGACCUGACGUAUGAUUUUUUUUUAAUGAUCCAAAGAACAUUAAAGUUUGGUUAAUUAAAUUAAUUAAAGUGAAAAAUGAAAUGGGAUAUUCUCUCUUUCAGUAAACUGCUGUUUGUUUCCUCCACCACAAGAAACUUCGUUUCCCUACUGGUCAAAUCUGUUCAAUAUUUUGUUUCAAUAUAGUAUUAUUAUCUCUAGAUAAGUUUUCGGACUCCAUUAUCACCUUUAUCCUUUAUAUAUAUAUAUAUAUAUAUAUAUAUAUAUAUAUAUAUAUAUAUAUAUAAAGUUUUCGUAGUUUGGAUUUUGUGAUCGCAAAAUAUAUCCCUUCCUUGAGUAAAAAAAUAGUAACCCUCUUGGAUUUAUCACUGUUUUCUCCUGGUAAAACCUUAAUUUAUUCGCUUUAGAUAUGGGGAAAGUACUGUUGAUCUUCAUUAGCAGGAUUAAAAUUAUGUCAUGAGAUUAAAAUCUUACUAACAAUCCAGGAUUAAUUAAUAGAGGACAUAAAACAAAUUGAUAUAUACUAUAAUAUUUAAUAAUCUAAAAUCAAGAAGGAAUGCAUGCUGGAAGUUUACUACGAAAAAGAUUUUCCAACCACCAAAAUCUUGCAGACCCAUGCCGUGGACCAGAAGGUGAGCCUAUUAUGUGGGGUACGUGGUGUUCCCUAAAUCCAUAAAUGAUGUGGAAUUCUAACGUACGUGUUUAUCAUUUCUUCAGGUUGCUGCACGUCGGCUCUCCGGGAUGGUGUGGUGCACUUCUCUGGAUGGAGCUAUGGAAAUCCACCACUCCAUGCAGGGUUAAAUUUCAACGGGAUUAUACUCCAGCAUCCAUAGGCAUAUAUCCUUGCAAGAAAAUGCUCUAAUAUGAUCAUUAAUACUGGAAUAGCACUGGCCACUCCUGCAGUACUGGACCAUCAAAUAGUAUGGCGAGCGUUAAUUAGCUUUGCUAAAGGCACAACAACGACGGAAUACACGACGGUACUGUCACCAAAUACAUCAGCUAGCGACUCCACGUACACCGACAAGUAUAUAUGAUAGUAACAAUUACCCUAUGGCAAGAUGUGUCACUGUGGACUCCUAGCUACGAUAUCAGCAACGGUGUUGUUUUCAAUUUACGCAAUUCAUUGAUAGAAAUCACUGGAAAAUUCUCUCAUUCGUUAUGAAGCUAUGGGAAUCUUUCAGUAGAUUCAUUAAUUAGAUAAGGAAAAAAAACCUUUUUGACUCCCAGAAUUUGAUAAACGUAACCGAUCAGUGAAGGCAUCUAAUAUUUCCCAAUUUCCAUGCCCUUGUGGGGUCUCUGGCACGUUAGCCUGGCUACCAGUAUCGCAGUCAACACAAAGGAUAUUGUCAUGCAGAGACUUGGGGUUGGGGGUAGGGAAAAUCCCUUGCUUUUGCUUCCUACCAUACCUUGUGGGCUGUUUGAACUUUUGAACGUUUUGAUUUCUUGAUUUGGUCUCGCAAGUGGAUAAAUCGGGACCCUGAAAUCAUGGAAUUCAGUGGUAAUUAAGAUCCGUGACCAAGUCAAUGGACGGCAUAAAAUUUUGGAUAAAAGAGCUAUAUCCUAAUGGCAGAAUCUAGCCACAGCAAAAGAUAGCAAGUACUAUAUAAAAAGAACACCAAUUAUGGCAUUUUAACAUGAUCACCAUAGUUGGAAAGAUAUGAUAAUCAACACUUAUUGAGCAACUUUUGUAGUACGCAGCAUGUGUAGUGUUUCCAGAAUCUAUAGCAAUGAUGAUUCAUGGGAUAAAGGUUUACGCGUUUUAUGCUUCCACUUUGCAAAAUUAUUUAUGAUCACGGGAUUGAUCUGAUAUCGACCUAUGAUGCAACUAUUGAAUCAUUUCAUAUCUUCUUUGCCACUAUCCUUUUGGUUUUGUAGUUUUCCGGUGUAGUGAUCCCAGCUAAGUUUUACAGCAAAUCAAGUAAAAAUUAAUAUAAUUAAGUUUAGUUAAUUUCACAAGUUAAUUCAAUUAAUUCAAUCAAAAUUUAAAAGAAAUAUGGGUUUGAUUUCCUAGUUUUUUUAAAAAAAAUUUAUUAGAAAAAUAUUAAAAUAACUAAAUUUAAAUUUACUUGAAUCAAUUUAGAUUAAUCUAUUUAAUUUAUAACCCGAAUCUUAAUCCAAUAAGAGCCAGAGCAAGAUUUAAUAAACAUACCACUUCCUUAACAAUUGAUUGUUGGAUCUUAUAGCAAUAUUUUCGUCUGUAACCAAAGAAAGAAAUAUCUUUCUUAAUAGUUUUUAAUUUACGAUCAAAACUGUCAAACAUCCAUUAUUGAAAUAAAAAAAUGUCAUCACUGUGCAAAAACAAAUAAUUAUUUUUCUAUUUUUGUUGGUGAUCAUGUAUAUAUAGUGGCAACAAACUAGCUAGCACGCUGUGUUUUAUGUGAAUUUUUUUUUCUACUAUGAAGGAACCCCAUGGCCAUGGACGUCCAAGUGGCAUCUCAACAUUUGUAAGGAAAGAGGUGUCGGCCUCAUGGCUACCAAAAGCAGUUCCAAAUGGACGGCAUGGCCAUGGUCCGUAAGGCCUCUCACCAUUUGUAAGGAAAGAGCUGUCUGUGUCUCUCUCUUUAUGACACUGUCAAAAUCCUGUAAUGUUGUCACGAAAUGACUGCUUUCUAACGACUAGGACCUCUCCAUUUUGUCUUGUCUCAGGAACAUUUCUGCGUUUAUAACGAGGAAGUUGGCCAUCAGAUCUCUCCUUUUGCCAACCAGAACCUGAAAGGAUUCUGUAUAUUCUAAAUUAAAGACAAAUUUCAUAUUCGAUUCUGGUGUUUGUAAUAAUAUGCUAAGCAUUGAAAAGUAAAGAUUCUCACAUUUUCUUUCAUUAUAUCUCAUAUUACUUGAUGAAAUUAAACAGAAAAAAAGGGGUGUAAAGUUUGAAAAAUCAAUGAUUCAUGGAAAAGCUUCUCCAUGUUAGACCCAUCAGGCCUAAAUCUCUUCAGUAGGGCUUAGUUGUGGCUGAAAAAUGUAUAUACCUAAAGUUUUGGGUUAACUUUUCUCUUCGAGCCCAAUAAGCUUGAAAAAUGAUGGCCCAAAUACAUCAUUAACAGAAGUAAACUCAAGAGUCCAUCAUCCCUAGAAGCAAGGCUAAAAUGGCAAAGGAUUUAGGGCUUUAGUUAGAGUUGAUUUGAAUGUUUUAUACUUUUAGUUAUAAAUAUAUUAAAAUAAUAUAUUUUUUAAUUUUUAAAAUUUAUUUUUAACAUCAAAACUAUAUAAAAAUAUAAAAUUUUUGUUUUUAAAAAAUACUUUACAUCACAAAAACAAAUGAGAUGCCUUAAUGGUGUUUUAGACUUUCUACUAAUUUUUUUUUUUUUUUUUUAUCAUAGAGUUCUGCCACGUAAAAGAAGAAAAGAACUUGCAACUUUCAAUAUUGACAGCAAUCCUGUUGACGACUAGCAAGUUCCUUUCUUCUUUUGUUUUUUUGGCAAGGCAACUCAGUGAGUUGCAUAAGAAAUCUCGAAGGUCAUAUGAGAUUUCCUGCCAUACUAUGGGCCACCCAAUCUUCCGUAUUACAUGGUUUGUGGUUCAAAUGGGAGUCUGCAAAAAAAUUAAUUUUUUUUACUUAAAAUUAUUAUUAUUUUUAAAUAAUUUUGAUGUAUUGAUGUUAAAAAUAAAUUUUAAAAAAUAAAAAAAUAUUAUUUUAAUAUAUUUCUAAAAAAACAUUUUAAAAAUAACCCUAUCAUACUUCUAAUCUUUAUAAUAAUGUUUUCAAAAUCAAUUGUUUCGGAUCUGGGUUGUUUUGAAUUUUGAUUGUGGUGAGGCAUGAAAUUUGGAUUCUUAUACAAAACCUGCUAGAGUCUACCUUGCCCAAACCCUCUCCGCAUCCCAAGUCGCCUACUAUUGGUAUACCAAUUAUGCUGAUACACUGAUCAAGAAACUAUGACAGUGCAAAAAAUAAUCAAUGAAUGACAGUUAUGUAUGCUUGCAACUCAAUCAUUUCUUCUUCCUCUGCUCUCCAGUACGAGCCAUCUCCUGCAAAACCGAGUUGCAGAAAUGUUCAUCUUCUUUUUUGAAAAAGAAAACUCCCAUAAAUGUUAUCACAAAGGAUUGAUAUGGUAAAACAGUAAGCGACUUGCCAUGCGUCCUCUCUUGAUGAACUAGUUGUGUAUUUCUUUUUCAGUGGAUUGGCCACUCACCCCUUCUUAGUGGAUUGAUAGCCUAUCGAUCCUCCUGAAUCGGUCGUCCAUCCCUCUUCUACGGGUUGACCAUGUGUUCCUCUCAGUGGACCAGCCAUGUGUCUCUCCUCCAUGGAUUAACCAUGCAUCCCCUGAACUGGUCGUUUAUCCCUCCGACGAACUUAUGAUGUGUCUCUUCUCAAUAACCAAUCGUGCAUCCCCUCUCAUCGGACUAAUCAUGCGUUCCUCGUCAAGUCUUGUACUCUUGAUCAGGGAUGGACGAGCAGCACACCCCUACUAGAUAUGGACAGCAUAUAUUAAACAUAUCUGUUCUUGAGUCACCAACGUGCCAAGGAGACAAAUAAUGUUUGCCAUGAACAUCAUCUUGUGUCCAGUACACUGUCAUCCUCUAAAUUUGACCAUACAGUCACUUCUUACAAAAAGCAAAGCCCGUACCUUGAAGAUUAGCUUUACAGUAGUUCCAUUUAUCUUACGGGAUCGUGUUCUUUAGUUUAAAAUUGCAUACCUUACGCAAAUCAUCACCUUUUCACUUAAUCUACAACGAACUGAUCACAAGACUAAAAAAAUUAAUGAUCUUGAGUCUCGAGGUUAUGGGCCUCCCUUGAUCUCCCAAUCUCAUUCUUUUUGUACUUCUUCCACCACCUUUUUUCUCAAGCUUUGCUCUUCAUAUAUCUCUUAAAUCUUUUUUUCCUCCAUCAUCAAUGCCAGCUUAAACAAUGGAGGAUCUCUUAUCAUUUCAAGGAAUUUUCCUUUGUUUCGCAAGUCUUUCUUUGUAUAAAAGCUCCAAUUUUUCUGCGGUUCUAGUCUACAAGCACUCACAAUGGAGGUUUUUAUACAACCUCAUCAUACUAUUUUCAGAACUGGAUCAUUAUAACUUGACCUUAACUUUAACCCGCCAGGUUCGAAUUAUAGGUAUAAGAGUUUUUUUUUUCCUCGCAAGAGAAAAAAUUCAACUAUUAUUAUAGAUUUACAUACAUGUCUAUGAAUUAUAAAUAUAAUAAGAAAGCUAAAACAGAAGGGAAAAAUAUUGUGGCUAUAGGUUCGGUUUACUAUUCAUCGCUUGUAAUUAUAUUUUUAUCUUUCUAAAAAAAAUCAAUGAACUUGUCUCUUAAAAAUAAUUUGAUCUUUGCAUAUAAUUUAUUAAUUAUUAUAAAAUUAUCUAAAGAUAACUGGAUCUUUUUAUAUUUUUUUACGCAGUUAAAUUAUGAAUUUAUGUGGAAACCAUACAAACAGUUCGUCGACUUGAAUCAAUAAACUAACAUUGCAUCUGGUGAAAUGAAACUCAUAAAAUAGCUUCAUUUACUCCAAAAAAGUUUAUAUCAUCUUCAUUAAAAAACGAAAGAAAAAGGGACAAAUUACUCCUCUUGGGAUUAAUUCCGUCAUGGGUAUGAAAAAUUUAUAUAUGAGUUUACAUUGAAUAUUUCUACUUCACAAUUUGAGACGAAACCCCCCCUCAACUCCACUAUAACUAGGCAUUAAUCGCUCAUUUUUUAUUUAAUUUAAUUUAUUUUUUUUGCCUUGAGAAGCAUAUAUUGCCUCAAAUUGAACGAAAUAAAAUAACAGGAAAGGGUUAAAAAUCAAACCAACCUUAAUUUGAAUAGCCUGUCAAAAUACAUUCAUCUACCCGUAGAUAUAUAUAUCAAUAUCUCUAGUUGGUGAAGGAGGCAGCCUUGAAGAAAAAUCCAUCAAACGAGAAUCACAACUACGAGUACCAUCAUCAUUUCCUUUACCUUCAUCAAAAUUCAAGGCAUAACUCGUAGCAUCAUAGUGAAAAUUCGCUGACAUAGUAUGACGUCUCCUAUGCCCACGACCAUGUCUAUGUCCAUGCUUCCCUAUACACGACAAAUAACUCGUCUUAUUACCCCUAAUAUCCCCAUGGGAUUCAGCAUUCAUCGCCUCUUGCACCGCAUAACGAUCAUGCUUCUGAUGAAUAUGUUUCUCCGAGUUAUUAAAUGUGACAUGAUGAUGGUGGUGGUGAUUGUGUUUUUGGAAGGAACAUAAUGUAGAUUUCAGCUUGUGUUUCAGAGAUGAAGAGGACGGAGAAUUAGGUUCGCUUAUUGAUGCCAUUAUGCUUUUGUGUGAGAGAAAGAUAGGAGAGGAAUAUAAAUCUUUUUUGCUUUUUUUUAGUAUUUAUAAGUGCUAUUGGUGCGGGGAGGUGGGAGCUAUCUAUAUUGAGAUUUGGAGGUUGAGGGGAAAUGUGAGAUCGUGAAGAAAUGAGGCUCUCUAGUGGUUGUUGUUGCCUGAUUUGGGGAGAUAUGGAGGAUUUUAUUUUAUUCUUCUUCUUUUUUUGCUCGAUGGGUUCAAAGUGCAUAUAGUAAACAAUUCAUUACCUAUACUUUGCAAAGUCUCCUUUUAAACCCCUAUAGAUUUAAACUCUUCGUUUUGAAUUUCUGUACAUUUAAGUAAUUAAUAGAUCACUUUUCAAGAGUGGAGUGACCUCAAAUAAAAUUAAAAAUAUGCUAAAAAAUAAUAUAAAUUAUAUUUUAGAAAUUAUAUUUUGAAGUCACAUCUAAAAAUUUAAGUUAUUUGAUUGAAUUCGUUAUUUAAUAUGGUAUCAUAUCUUUGUCGAUCAAGUAGUCAUGAUUUCGAAUCCCAUAAUUUUUAUUUUAUUUGAUAAAAAUUAAACAUAAAAUAAUGUAAGCUUAUGUAAAUUUCAAGCUCGAAGAAUUUUUAUUUGAAAAUGUAUGCUAGAGAAUAAUAUAAAACUAUUAUCGGGAUCUCAAAAAAACUAGAUGUAACUAGAUAUAACUCCUCUCUGUUUUUAUCACAAAAUUAAAGGCAUAUGAUAGAGCUUUUUAAAAAAAAAAAUUAAAAACCUUUUUUCCAAAUUGAUUAAUACAGUAAUAAAAAAAUAAAAAUGUAUUUUAUAUUUUAAGGGCCGCAUAGCAUGCAAAAUUACUGAGCUGAAGGGAUAUCAUGCAGGAGGAGUACAUAAUCUUUAUUUUAUCCCUCCAGUUUCUCUUAUGUUAUAUUUUGUAUCGGUAAACUACAAUAUAUAUAUAUAUAUAUAUAUAUAUAUAUAUAUAUUUUUUUUUUUAUCUCUGAGAGAAAGAAACCACAAGAAUGUGUUUUACUGCUGAAUUCGUUAAGAAUUCUAUAAUCUAAUUAUAUUUUAGGAGAACCUAAAUUAAUUUCCCUAACAUAAUCUAAAAAUAAUUUAAUUAACUUUGAUGGUAAUUAUUAAUGGAAAUAAAAAUAAAAAAGUUACUACUUCAAAUCCAAUACUAUCCCAUGAUUUGUUUUUUCUUUUUGAUGAUAAUUCUACUCAAUUUCAUUACAUCCUUUUGCUUUUAUUUCAUUAUAAAUUCCAUAUUUUCCAUUCAGCAGUUCACUCUGCUUAACUAAAUUAUAAUUUGCAAGUUACAUUUUCCUCUCACAAUUUCGCCCUAAUUAUUUAUAAUAAAUAAAAUCCGAUACCAAGCUUAUGUUUAUCUGAAAUAUUCUCCAAACUUACUAAAAAGGAAUAAUAUUUCCAACUUCAAAAAUCAUAAUCAAUUAAAAUAUUUAUUACGAAUAAUAAAUAUUCCACAACUUGCUCAUUCAAGAUUGAAUAUAUUUCCCAAAUAGAAUCCACUUUAUUAAGGUCAAAUUAGAUAAGAACCACCAAUACUAUAUUGUUCUGAGUAUUAAUGAGUUUUUUUUAAUUGGUUUUUUUAAAAAUAUAUUAAAAUAAUAUUUUUAUUUUAUUUUUUUAACUAAAAACAAACAGUGCCGAAGGUUAAAUCAAGUCUCGUCAGUUUUGUCCCUCACAAUUCACGAAGACACAUUGUUGUCUUCCUACGUGGGUUCUUGGGCCCCCAUUUCUAUACCCAAAAAAUCUAACAUAUUUUGACGAAAGAUGAGCCGGUCGGUAUCGCUAGCUGCCAAGUCUUGGAUGGCACCCAGCCUCUAUGAAUCAUGGCAGUCGUGACGACUAGUUCCUCACGAUUAUCAUUUAUGAAUUAAAUAAACCAUAUGUUUUAUCAAUUGGAUCUUAUAUUUUCAUCUGGGAAGUUUCAUUCACAGUAGGAAUUUAAAGCCAAUUACAAAUGCAACACUGUGGAAUACAAAAAUGGCAAAAUUGACAUUUUACAUUUCACUUUGAGGACUAAAUGCAAAAUAUCAAAAAUUAUGGAGCUUCGGUUGUCCCUUUUACCACUGAUUUCAGUUUGUCUCAGAGCAGUAAAAAGAACAAAGAAAAAAAUUGAAAUCUCAUUGCAUGGGAAUUUUUUUUUUAAAAAAAAUACAUUGUUAAGGUCUCUUCAUAUUUCAACAAGGUUACUUAGAUUAGAUUGUAGGUUUGACACGAUGAAUACUCGGGCUUGACAAUGUCAACUAUCUAGGUAAUUUAAAAGCAAACAUUGCUUGGGCCAACCCUUGGGUCACCAGAGCAUUAACUCAAUCUAUUUGAUCGGGUUUGAUAAUUAUGCCAACCUUAUUUUCAUAAAAACAGAAAUCCAAGCUUUUUUUUUUUGCCCCAAAUACCCUAUUUUCAUAAUUAGUAAAUAGAUAUGACUUAUGAAAUCAUUGUUAAGGCUACGUUGUGGGUCGAAUUAAUUUUUUUCAAUGUCAAAAAAUAUUUAGGUGUUGUUAAUGUGUUUGUAGCAAAAAAAAAAUUAAACUAUAUUGGAAUUGACUUGAUGUGACAUGAUCAACUUGGCAAAUACAAAGACAACCUGAAUGACAGAUAAAAAUAUAGUUUGACUAAAAAAAUCAAGACAAUAUCUUUUUUAAAAUAUUGAAGCGACAAUAUAUUAAAUUAACUCGGGUUAACCAGUUAAAUCGAUUACCCAGGUCAUAAGACCCUAAUAACCUUAUAGAAAGCAAAUUAAAAAAAAAUCAUUAAACCCAAAUCCCAAUCAACCCAAUGUUAAAGGAUGAAAUUGUAAAUAAAAUUUAAUUAAAAAACGAGAUGAUUCAACUCGGGUUAACCCGUCAAACUUGGAUCAUGAGACAAGAAUAACCUCAUAGAAAUUAAAUUGAAACAAAUUAUAAAACUCAAUUCACAAUCACCCAAAUAUUUAGGGGAUUAAAAAAUAAAUCAAUUAAAAAAAAACACAAAACCUCACCCGAGUCAAAACACCACCUGAGUCAACCGACUAAACCGGUGACCGGGUCAUGAGAGCAUGAUAACCUUAUAGAACACAAACAAAAAAAAAUUAUGAAACCUAAUUCAUUCAAUCCAAUAUUGAAAAAUAAAAUUAAAAAAAAAAACUUGAGUCAAUCGACCAAACCUAUGACUCGGAUCACAAGACCGUGAUAACCUUAUAGAACGCAAAUCAAAGUAGAUUAUAAAAGAUUAAUUUCCAAUCAACCCAAUAUUGAAGGAUGAAAUUUUAAAAAAUCAACUAAAAAGGACAAAAACAAAUUGAUUCAAACGGUUUAACCCACGACCUGGGUCAUAACCAAAGUAGAUUAUAAAGCUUAAUUUUCAAUUAACUCAAUAUUGAAGGAUGAGAUUUUAAAAAAAUAUCAACUAAAAAGAAUUUUUUUUUUUAUUCAAGCGGUUUAACCCACGACCCGAGUUAUAACCAAAGUAGACUAUAAAGUUUAAUUUUCAAUUAAUCCAAUUUUAAAAGAUGAGAUUUUUUUUUAAAAAUCAACUAAAAAGGACAAAAAAAAACUUGAUUCGAGUGGUUUAACAUACGACUUAGAUCAUAAGACCGUGAUAACUCAUAAAAAGUAAAUAAAAAAAAUUAUGAAGUUCAAUUCACAGUUCACUUAAUGUUGAUGGAUUAGAUUGGAAAAAAAUCAAAUAAAAAAAUAAUAAAAAUAACAUGAAUCAAUCUGAGUUAACCUGUUAAAUUCAGGUCAAGUGACGGGAUAACUCCAUAGAAAGAAAAUAAAAAAAAUUAUAAAGUUCAAUUCUUAAUAUUCAAUUAAAGAACAACAAAAAAAAAACAACUUAACCUGACUAACCCGUAAAACUCCUGAUCAUGAUCAUGAAAUCGAGAUAACUACAUAAAAAACAAAUCAAAAUAAAUUAUGAAUUCUAAUACUCAAUAACCACAAUGUUAAAAUUAAAAAAAAAACAUAUAUAUUAAUAAUUAACUAGUAAUAACCAUCUUCACUUACCUUCAAAAUAUUUAAAAGUACAUAUCAAUUGACCAAGAAUUCUAGACCCAUAUUGCCCAAACUUUACCCAUUUCUUCAGCAAGAACUUUAUAUAUAUAUAUAUAUAUAUAUAUAUAUAUAUAUAUAUAUAUAUAUAUAUAUAUAUAUAACCGACAGGUACCUUAUAGAAAGCAGAAGGAGAUUUUUCUCAAAAAGAAAAAAAGCAAGUCAGGUGGCUAUAUUUUGUCAAAUAGUGAACGAUUCAUGCAUAUGUCAUGACUUUAUAUAUCAAUUGAAGGGCCUGUAAUGGCAACUGGAAAGAUGGUGCGAUCUGCCCAUUUGGGGCCAUCAGAACUUUCUAAUAGUUCAUACACUUUAUAUUUUAUUUGAUGCACUAAUACAUUGUCUCAAUUAAUUCUAUGGUCGUGUAAAUUAAGCUAUAUGAUAAUUUAAAUCUAUAUAUUGCUUCACAUGAUACGGAAUAAUAUUGUCCACAUCUUCUUUUGUAGUGGGGUGAUAAACCAUGCACUAUGAUCACUUGAACUGUUUUUGGAUUUUCUUAACUCUUUUUUAUUGUUUAUUAUUAGCACUAAUCUUGCAAGUUUUGUCCCUUACCCUCUUAAUUACGUGUUUCAGAACUAAUGCUAUUGCCUUCCCAAAUAAAUGGUUUUUUUUUUUAAUUCAAUUUAUUCUCCAAACUUUUGGGGUGAUAUUGAGAUUCCUUAUAAAUUUCAUCGAUAAAAUUGAGAUUUACAACAUCUUUUCAGUUUCAAUGAUCGACAUAAAUGGACGGGAGGGGACUAAAAUGAAAGUUGUGGAGGCUGAUUUUAGAACCCUGUGAACCUUAGGGGCCAAAUUAAAUUUUACCCUUGGUUUGAUGGAGUCAUGGGACCACAGUCUCGGUGCUAUGAAGCUUCCUUACCUACUUCCUCAUCGUCUUUCUGUAUUCUGUUCAUAUCUUUUGCUCUUUGAUUUUUCAAACCAUAGUUUCUAGGAAGGUGACUGCCAAUGAUGGAAAAAGAUUUUCUUGUAAAAAAAAAUACACCUUUAAAUGUCAUCUACCCUCUUUUGUCUUCCACCGAACGUAUUUUGGGUUCUUAUUUGAAUUAAUAUUUUUAUAUUUUUGAAUUGUUUUAUAUACUAAUAUUAAAAAUAAAAUUUUAAAAAUAAAAAAAUUAUUUUAAUAUAUUUUCUAAUGUAAAAACAGUUGCAUUUAUUAAUAGAUACCGAAUUCAGGUUUUCUAUUUUUCCCAUUUCUUUAAUAUAGAAUACCAAGUCUCAAUACUUGCUUCCCUCUCCUUGUUUUAGGCUGCUCGAAGGACCAGGCAUAGAAAUAAUAGACGUAGUUUUUGUUUCUUAAUUUGAGGAAAAUUUUGUUUCUUGGGGUGGUUUAGCAAUGGCUGGUAUGUUGCCUGGUGUUGAAUGUGCUCGAAGGAGGAGGUUCCAUCAAAGCGGAGAUUCACUUGGUGCCCCAGCACACGGCUGGUCCAGAAAGCCAUCUUUUUGUUUGUACACAAGCAGCCAUGAAAGUUAUCAUGGCUCCGUCUCUUCUCUGGUAUCUCUCUCUAUCUAAAGAUUCUCUUUUCAUUUCUUCUGUUUUUGGGAGUUGUUGCUGAGAUCUUCUUUUUCUCUUUUGAUUUGGAUGAUUGAGAAGCAAAAGCAAAAGCAAAGGAGCGUAUCAAGCCAGGCAUACGAGGAUGAGAAGCUGGGAGGAGUGGCAAGAGAAGCCAAGGAAAGAUUAGAUGAGAGGCUAAGAUUGCAAAAGAAGAAGACAGCAGAAACCACAAGGUAAAUAAUGGCUUCCCUAUUUCUACCAGGCGGCGCGUAUUAGUACAAUCCAGAUGGUCCUUGCUAAUAUGCAACAUGCCUGGCAUCCAAAAUACGUCAUCAAAUCUCGUACUCAAAUCAGUUCCCAUACUUAUGUUCUAGAUUGAUUUUUGUCCAAUUUAGGCACAAAAGCACAGGAAACCUGAGAGAUGUAGAUGGCAGAUCAAUGGUACUAGGGGAGUUACAGAUGGAGGUGUAUGGUACGAAGAGGAGUGGGUCUAAGAGGUUCAAUUGGGCCAAACUGAGCUGGAAAGCUGCUGACCAAGACGAGUGCACCAUCUGCCUCGAUCGGUUCAAGUCUGGUGAGACCCUGGUGCACCUUCCCUGUGCACACAGGUACCACCCCAGGUGUUUGGUGCCAUGGCUAGAAAACAAUGGCCAUUGUCCUUGUUGCAGGAUGGAAAUACGUGUUGAACUCUCCUAGGCGCUCUCUUCUUUUGUUCUUUUUGUAGAUACCAAUUGGGAUUUCGGGAGCAACCUUGUCUUCUGCAAGAGUGAUUUGGUGUACCAAGACAAGUUAUGCUAUUAUCUUCUCCGUGUGUUUGCAUUUUACUCAUCUCUAAUUUUCCAUCUUGGCAAUGGAGAUUCUGCAGAAGUCUUUAGAAAAUACUAGAUUCUAUAAUAAUUUUAUUAUUUUUAGAAAAGAGUUAUUUUCCAAUCCAUCCCUAAACACUAAAAACAAUUUCCAUGUAAAAUUUCCAUGGUACAGGUCGAAUAUUAAAAGGACAGCCUAGCUGCUCAUAUUCCCUGAUGAGAUGGGUGGUCGUCUUCUUUUAUCAAUGAUUGCCAUGUAAAACAAAACAUGGUGAAAGUUUGAGUGAGAAGAGCUGUGAUCUAUAGCAGCAAGUGAUUCUCAUUGCUCUUACUAUCACUGUCUGUCCAUCCAUUCUUUAGUCCCACUCCUCACUCAGUUUCAAAUAAUGCACCUCUGCUGUCUAUAAAGUGGGCCAUUAAAUGUUGAAUCUAAUUUAUGGUCAUGAUAGUAAUUAUUUUUUGUAAAGUAUUUUUUAUUUGAAAAUAUAUAAAAAAAAUAUUUUUUUUUAUUUUUUUAAAUUUAUUUUUAACACCAACACAUUAAAAUAAUUCAAAAACACUAAAAAAAUUAAUUCAAAAUAAAAAAAAUUCAAAAUCUUUACAAAAUCUUUACAAUUUUUUUUAAUAUAAAAAAGAUGCUAAAGCGAUCUAAAAAUUAAGAGGGUUAUUGAUCUUAUUGAGUUUAAUAAACUUGACUAAUUUAAAUAAUUCAAAUAAAAAAAAUACAAUGUUAAUAAAUAGACUUAAAAAAAAAGGUUUAAAAAAGCCGACACGAGCCCAUCCAGGUUAGCAUGCUAAAUAUGCGACUUACUCAUGAUACCAAGGUAACCUCGUUGAAAGCAAACUAAAUAAAACUUAAAUUUCAAUUACCAAAUAACUCAAAGUUAAAUGGCGAAACUAGAAAAAAAAAUUAAAAAGCAAUGAAAAAAAUUUAUUCGAGUCAAUCCGGGUUAACUCGCUAACCUUGCAAUCGUAGGCAUAGGAUUGAGAUAAUCCCAUAAAAAGGAAAGUGGAAAAAAAAAAGCAAGAAGAUUAAAUCCAAAUAAAUCAAAUGUUGAAUGAUGAAAUUGAAAAAAAAAAGAUCUGAAAAAAACCAAAGUCAACCUAUGUUAACUUUUGAAACUUGUGAUUUUAGUCAUGAGCUCGGAACUAACCCCAUAAAAGGCAAACCAUAAAAAAAUAAUAAAGCAAAAUCGUCAAUCAAUAAAAUAUUGAAGGAUGAAAUUGAAAAACAAAUGAAAUUAAAAAAGGAUAAGAAGGAAAUAAAAUAACAAUAAAAAGAAUGAGGACCAAAUUUGACAUAAAAAUAAAUGAAAAUUAAAUGUUGAAGGAUGUAAUUGGAAAACAAACUUAAUUAGAAAAUGCUAAAAAGCAAUCAAAAGAACAAGAACCUAAUUUAAUUUAGAAACUAAGUGAAAUCAAAUGACAAGGGGAGAAAUGGAAGAAAAAAUUAUAAAAAAAAACAAAAACAAAACAAAUAGUAAUCAAGAGAAUGAUGACCAACUUGGAUAAAAAAAAUAAAAUUACCAGACACCUUUAUGUUUUAGUAAAGAGAAGAGAGAGAGAAGAGGGGGAGAAGGAAAAAAUGCAUUAGAAUUCAGCCGUUGCAUUGUUGUAUACACGCACCUGACUAUCAUGAAGACCAUGUCCGGACACUUACAAUAUUGUUGCGGAAGGUGAUGUUAACUACUAGACGACGUUGCAUACGUCAUCCAAAGAGCACAAGCAUUGUCCAUGCGCGGAUGCUUAUAAUACACACGUCAUCCAAUUUUUUAUUAAUAUUUAUUUUAAUUACAUUACCAAGUUAUCUUUAAGUGAACCUGAUUAUAAACAAAAAAAAAAAACUAAAAAGAUAAAAAACAACUUGAGAGCUACCUUAGUAUUUUUCUGAUUUAAAAUAAUUAAUUUAUUUAAUUAUGCUAAAAAGAAGGACAAGAUUAAAAAGCCCAUUAACAUAGUUUUUAUUUUAUUUAUCUUUUGCUUUUAAGAGAUUAAGUCAUUUUAUUUUAAAAAAAUAUAAAAAUACUAAUUUUUCUGAAUCAUACUGACCAAUAAGUCACGAGGAAUUCUAUAUUAUUUUUUUAAAAAAAUGAUUUUUAGGAAAUAAUAAAUUUUCAUAUCGACUUUUCUUUUGAUCAAAUUACUAGAACGAUGCAAGAAAGAUAAGCCACAUGUGGGACCCGAAGAUUAUCAACGGAAAAUGCAAGUCAUAUUUGGAAAACGACAUCGUGUUACUCCACUAAUUCUUGUCCACCUCUUACUCCACCUCGCUUUGCUUGCCUUCUCCUCCAACGGCUAGUUCCUAGUGACCGUUUCACAGCCCAAAAAUUCAAACUUGAAGAACCCUGAAUAAAGAAAAACACCACACAGAAACAAAAAAGAAUAAACUGAAACACUUGAAAAAAUCAUCAUUCAAAUCACAACAGCUCUAGCACCCCAUAAAAAUCAUAAUUCUUGGCUAGCUUUUAUUCACUUGUUCAAAUCGAGAAACAAAGAAAAGAUCAUCAAAAAUGGUAUACACAUACACACCAGCAUACUACUCUACUCUCCAUGACUCAAUUACCUCUAUUUGCAAGACAAUCUUGCCUUUUUCCUUUAAGAAAAAGAGGUUGACCUCGGCGGAGCACAGGCUCUCAAAGCUGCAGUCUGAUAACUUGAAGUGGCAGCAAGACUCAUUCCAUCAAAUAUUGAAUUUGAUGGGGUUGCAUAAAGAAGGUAUUUUAGCUGAGAAUGAGGUUUCUGCUUUCAAGACUCAUUUGCUUGAAACCCUUAUUGCUUCUCCACUUGAACAUGAACAAGCAGUCAUUUUAAGAGAUAAAUUGGUCUUCUUGCAGGUGAAUUUCUAAUUUUUAGAACCUGGGUUUGAUUUAUUUCAAAAUUUUCUCUUUGGACAAUCAAAUGGAACCAAUUUUUGUUUAUUUUUUUUUUGUUUGUUUUGGACAUUUUGUAGGAGUUGCUUUAUGCAAAAUGUAUAUCAGAAGAUGAGUACCAUUCAUCAAAGAGACCUUUGUUACAGAGGCUAGCAGUACAAGGAGCAGAAAUUGAGUCAAGAGAUGUUAUUGUUGCUGGUCCAAAAGACACAAAAGAGAAGAUAGAAGAGGAGUGGUCGGUUAUUGAUUUAAAAGAUGAGAAAAGGUUGAUUGGUAAAGAAACUUUACAGUCCAUAAAUAGAUCAAAGCCUAACUCAGCGAUGAAGCAAAUCAAAGGAGCAGCCUCCGUUUUUGGCUUUGGAUCAGAUCACAAGCUGAGCAAACACAAAGAAGAAAAGAGUAUUUUUGAAAUUGAAGCAAGAUUGCCCUCCUCUGGCCAUGUUAGUAACGAGAGAGAGAACCCACUUUGGGAUAGUCAUUUGAAGGAUAAGGAAAGUGAAACCAAAUCAAUUCUUAUGCAAGCAAGCUUACCAAAUGAAUCUGUAAAAGAAAGCGCAAGCAAUGAUAAGCCCAAGAGGAAACCCUUCAAGACUUUGUUUCGACAGGAGCAAAGAGAGGGAGAUGGUGGUGGUGGUGGUGGUGGUGCUAAUGGUUUUAAUUGUGAGGAGAAACCUUCAAAAUCAGCAAAAAAGCCUUGGGGUUUUGAUGGUUUUAAGAAAUGGAAGAAAAAUGAUUCAGAUGGUGAGACUGCUCCUCUGCCUCUUAACAAUGAAAGAUCUGACAGUGAGGCUUAUUCAGGAUCUUGCAACCUUGUUAAUAGUCCCAUUGGAGAGGGACCAGACACUAAGCAGAUAAAGAAGAAACUGCAUUCUAAUGGUUCUUCUUCAGAUUUUUUCAUUGAUAAGGUUCAGUCUAGACAAUAUAUAUAACUUUGUUUCUAAAUCUUUAUCCUUCAACCUUAACUUAUGCCUUUGUCUAUCUGUUGUUAAUUAUACAGGUUUUAGGGGACAAGAUAAAGAAGGAGCUUUCAAAAAUUCAAACAGAACUCUGCACAACAAACCCUAGUCUUAAAUUUUCGUAAGCUUUUUUUUACUGAUCAGAUGAUUUUGAAGUAGUUGUCUUUGUGUGUUUUUAUAAUCAAUUAAUCACUUGCUUUUGUAUUGCAUUGUGCUUGUUAUUUGUGGUUCUAUUAGUGAUGAUCAAAUUGAAGCAAUUUCCACCAAGCUUCCUGUUGACAAGGCUGACCUGAAAAAGUUCUUCCCCAAGUAAGAAAACAACAGCUUUCUUUCUUUUACCUAUCUCAAUUUAAUGUUUGUUUCCUCGCAGCAUAUUUGAUCUAUUGAUCUGCCAAAAACCGUAGCUAUUGCAAUUAAUCAUAGGCAUUCUUGCUACAGCAUAUCAAACUUAUUAUUUGGAUCCUCACAUGAACUACAAAAAUGUUGUGUUCUAAGGUCAUGGUGCGAUCGGUAUGGUGAUGUUGUACUGGAUGUGGUGAAGAAAGAGUUCAAGGAUCAUGUUGGAGAGAUGGAGAACAUGAGAAAUGCUGCAAGAGAAAAACAUCACAACAAUUCAAUGCGAUGGACAACAUUUGAAGAUGAAGACGAAAAUUGUCACCCAAAUCUUUUUUCUCAACAGGAUCAUUCAUUUCCAAAGAAGCAACAAAAUUUCACUGCCAAGAAUGAUCAGAGCGCCUAUACUAAUCCCUUCUCCCAUGACUACUCUGAAAGCAAUGGGAAUAAGCUUAGGACUGAAUCAUUCCAGAAUCCCUUUUGGAUCCCAAGGCAACAAUAUUAGUGAUAUGGGAGUUUCUAUGCUUGAUAAGCAAGCGGUAUUCUUGUUUUUUGUUUGCUUGUAUUCUAUUGUAAUUCUGGUUAUGAACUCUGACAGAAGAACAAUGUUGUUCUUCUGGAUUUUAAACCCCCUUUUGUUCUGCUGGGUUUCAUCAAACCCAUGCAAGAAGAAUGUAAACGUUUUUAUCUUCCUCAGCAGCUAUAAAAGUUUUUAAUCCCCCCCAAGCAUUACUGAUGAUAGAUAGCCAUUGAAGGUUUUUCAAUGGGGAUCAUGGGAUUUCCAACUAAUCCAAGACAACCUAGUUUUAGUUGCAUCAUAUUUGGGUUUCCAACUUGGGAUUAUUUAUGAUGUAUUUGUUUUAACAAGGCAACAGAAGCAUAACAUGGAGCUCAAGAAUCCAAUCUUAUAUACCGUAUAGCUUUAUGUAAGAUCUAUACUCUACAGAAUCCAAUCUUCAGGGAACCAUAUUACAAGAGAUGGAAUUUAUAUAACACUAUAUACAAUUAUAUUUACAAUGCAAUCAAGUAGAAGUAAUUUCUGGAUUUGGUAUUGAAGGCUCGCUGGCACCACCCUCGCGGACAUCUCCUCGACAAAGCGGGCAUACCCUGUAAAAUACCAUCAGAGGGGAGAGGAGGGGGGAAGAAGGAUGUGACAAAAAUUUCACACCAGAGAAGGAAAAAAAAUGAUUAUGAAUACGGUUUAAGAAGAAUGAAAACAUAAGCAGCAAAAACGCAGGUGGGUGGCAAUAACAAUACCCAUGUAUUUCUUUGAGCCAUUUAUCCACACAAACCAUGUGAUAUUCGUGGUGGCAGGGAAGAACUCUUAUUUUGUCACCUUCCUCAUACUCGGCCAGGCAAAUGUAACACCUGUCAGUCAGAAAGUUAUUACCAAACACAGUCCAAAAGACGACAAGUUUAUAUUAGUGCAAACCAAGUAAUGAAACACCUUGAACUCCAAGUUCCCCACCACUUUUACACGCGAUAACACUCAUGUGCAAGUAUAAUACCUGGCUUAUUCUAGAGUACAUGCAUGUUCACACCACAAAAUUUAAAUCAAUGAGAAACUUACUGUUCAUCCUCAUCAUUGCCCUUGACUCUGUCCAACUUUUUGUGAUUCUUAAGAGGGAAAGAGUCAACAACUGAUUCAGGGGCAGGGAGCGACAUCAUUGAUAGAGAAAGUGACACAGGCUGACGAUGGAUUUCAUCCAAAACCUGCAGCUUAAACAUGACACCAGAACUUAGUAGCAACAUAAUGCAGGCCAAGAAGUGUAUAAAUCAUUGUAAAACUGCCUAGCACAGAUUUCAUGGUCAAAGCAACUCCCUUAUCAUGAAUUUGAUGGUGGCUUCCACACCUCUUUAAGAACCUCUACAUAGAAAGACAGCUGAGCAGUUUCAAAAAACCUACUGCUAGAUCUUAGUCUUGUUAGCGUUAAGACAUAAUCACAGGUAAUAUCUAAAUGCAAGCCACCCUAGUGUAUAUUUUUCCAGGCAAAGUAAAAAGGGUAUUAAAUUAGUCAGGAUUCACCCUUGUCCUCAAAAGAAUUGCAAAAUCAUGCCCACCUUUUCUCAUUGGAUUCCUCAAACGAAUGGAAUGGAGUGUCUCAAACAAUGGGAUUAGCACUAAAACUUCUACAGCAGGUUGGACAUGGUUCAGCACAAUCAUAACCUUGAAUUUGCAAUUUAUACAAAAGUCUCGAAAGAAGACAGAUGUGUAAAUAGAAACUUAAAUUAUCAUUAGCACCAAGAUAAUGGAUUCAAUCAGCAACUCUAUCACAUAGGUGCAUUCUGCUUUUCAAACUAUAUCCGUUUUUCAUGAAUGGGAUUAGUGAAGCCAGGAGAAGCUAUGUCAAAGGAGAACUACCUCAAAUAGAGCUUCAGCAAGCAUGACUAUUCGUGAUAUACUUCCACGAGCACUCGACUCCUCAGCCAUCAAGAAUGAUUCACACGAGCAUGUACCGUCAGGGUGGAGUCCAGAAGGACAAGAGGUUGUUCGUCGACCAUUCUCAUCAAGGCCACCACGAAGUCUUUCCCAGAUCUGCAAAGAGUAAGCAAGAGUAGUUCAUAAGAAUUACAAAUGAAGGAAAGAGAUUUUAACCUUAUUUUUUAUGUUCAGCUAACCCAGCCCCCGUGACUACUGGAUAGACAAAGAAUGGAGUGGCAUGCAAUUAUACCAAAGAAACUAAAAGAACAAUUGAAUAGUGCAACAAUAAAAGACCAGGGCUUGCAAUUGUUUUUUUUUAUAUAAAAAACAAAAACCUCUAUCAAGCCAAAGAUUCGUGCAAAGAUAUUGAAUUACAGGGCCAGGAUCCCUGACUUUGAAGCUUGAGAGGAUGAGAACAUAAAAUUUCUAUUUUGAAGUGGCGAUUUCAUUAGGACUAAUUUAAAAUGUUUCCAAGAAUAAGGGGGAUUUAAAAAAAAAUUGAACGCCCUGGCCCCUGUUAGGUUUUGUCCCUGUACAGGGUUGUCUUCCUAGGCUUCCUUCCCAAAUCCAAACUUCAGUGGAUUAAUAGCUGUACAAGGGUCUUCUUGAUGAUUGUAAGAACUGAUCAACGCCAAAAAUAUACAGAACUAUAAUCCCCAACAUGUAUCACAAGUGUGUGUGCAAAAGUAAAUGAUAGUAUAGCAUUCUUUCCUCAAAAACUAUUCAGAAAUAUCACCUCAGAUCUUGAGUGUCGUCUUCGUUCAUUCAAUCUGUGAAUUCUCCUGCUCAUGUAUCCAGAAUCACUGCCUAUCCCAUCGUCAAAAAAAUCACCACUGAAAUCAAGGAGCCAUCUGUCAUGGGAUUCAAGAUCAUCAGUAUUAUCUGUUGAGAAGACAAUAGUAGGAGAAUCAACAUGCCUCCUAGAACUGCGCCUUGAAAAUGCGUCCCGAAACAAUCUUCUGCUAUUCCUUCUGGCCUCACGACUGCUUGUAUCUGAAUUGCUGCUUGAAUAAAUGCUGGAAGAGAUACUCACAACAUCUACAUGGAGUACACUUCCAUCUGUCCUCCCUUGUUCCCUAUUGGGCACAAGAAGUCCUAAAUCUGAAGGUACUGGAUCUUGGAUAGACUCAUCUUGUGUUGAGCGAAAGGUUACUGGGACAAUAGAUCUAUGAUUUACUGAAUCAGAAUUAGAAUUUGGCAUGUCUGUUACUUCACCCAUAUGAUUGUCAAAAGCCAAACCAUUAGAACAUGAAUCUCCAUGCCUCGGUGAGUUUGAACUGCUUGUAUGUAUUAUAUCAGGAUAGAUCUGAGAGAAACCCUCGUUCUCUGAAUUUUCAAUGCCAUUGACAGAAUCCAUGUUAGUUGAAACAUUCAUUGAUACAGGAUCUGAUGACUGUCGUUCUUUAAAUGAAGUACUAGCUUCAGCAAUACUUAUAUUUCUACCUGAUUCAUCAUGACUAUCACUUACCUGAUCUGGGCCAACUAACUCCUUACUAUCAGAUAGGCAUUUUCCUCGAGAGUUUGUGUCAAGAUUUCUAUAACCAUAUUUCUCAGAAGUUCCCUCACUGGCUCUUAUUCUGUUUCCAGAUGAUCCUCCAGUUUCAGUAUCUGAGCUUCUAGACCCUGUUACUGUAUUGGAAACCACAGAUGAUUCCUCUGCAGAAUUCUGUACCUCGAUGACUGGACAACACUGUUCUGCAGAAUUCAUCAGAAUCUUGUCUGGAUAGUCUUCCAUCUAUUGGAAAAAGAUCACACACAUAUCAGUAUCCUCUAUAAAAGGUAGCCACGAACAUUUGAAUAAUAGCAUCCUUAAAAAGACUUCUCCAAACAUUAAAAAAUAAAUUUCACAUUGAUCAAGACUAGAAAUGUCACAGGAAAUGAAUACUGCCACCUCACCACAUCUUGUUCUUGAAUGAUAGGAGAAGUGCCUAUUGUCUAGAUUUGUAUAGACCCUAUAUCAACACCAUGGAAUUGCUCCAUAUGGCAGAACCAUGCUCUCACAAAUCGCAAUAGUCAGUUUCAGUCAUAAUAAAAAAGAUAAAGGAGUUUCAAUUACAAACUUACAGAAAUAGUUUACAGCAAAACAAGCAUUAAUAUUUUCUUUAAAAAACUUGCAAAUCAAUUGAGGGCAUUGUGCAAAGCUGCCGAGUAUAAAUUGAUCAUUGAUUAUGGUGGGAAAGUGCUCAUACUAAGAAAGUUGUGCUACUCUAAUGUCAAAUGUAACUAAUUAAUAAAACAUUCUGAAAUAGCAAUUUCAAAUACAGGGAUACAUUAUCUUGCAGGAAACCAUUUGUUUGUUAACGUUAACUUAACCUAAGGCAACCAUUAAAUUGAACAUCUUGAAAUUCGACUGAAAUCUCUAAGAACCCCCAAGUAACUAAAAACUCAAUGAGAACUCACAUGGAAAACAAAAGCCUUAAAAUUAAAACCAUUUUCUAUUCCAAGUAAUGGUAACUACACAAAACUUGAACUUUUAAUCAAAUAACCAAAGUGAACAAAUAUUCAGAUGACUGGAGGGAUAAACAAAUAUCGAUAAACAAAUAAUUCCAAUCAAAAUUUGUUGACAAACACAAAAGAAAAAAUAAAAAAUUGCUUCCACAAACAGUUAACAAGCAACAGAAACAAAAUUCCAUAAAACCUAAACAAGACAAAUUUUCCAACAUCACAUGAUCAAUCCUAGAUCAUCAAAAAGCACAAAUAUUUCAAUGUAAAGAUUCAAACUUCGAUAAAAAAAAAAAAAAAAACACAAAACGGGGACUCAUUAUUUUCUCUAAAGUCAAUUCCUUUUACACGAUAACCACAUAAACAAUCCAUUAUCAACACUAAUUGACCAACCCCAGAUCAUCAAAACCAAUUAAAAAGAAACAGAAGUAAUAAAUCAAUUUCAAGUCGAAAAUCUUUAAUCUCUCUUUUUUGGUACCUCGUGACGAGCUGUACGAGAAGAAGAGGAGCCACCACAGAUGAGAGAAGAGAAGAACCUGGACGACCUGCUAUUCGGUCGGGUCCGUGAUGUGCGUGACCCCGGUCUACUACUAUUCGAACCCAUUUCUUUAGAGAAAGAGAAAGGCUGAGAAAUUAAAUGGUGGUGGUGAAUGAUGAUGGAACUGUAUAGCUAAUAUGUAUAUAUAUUUUUUAUUUUAUUAUUUUGAAAUUGAAAUUUCUUGUUGCAAUUAUUAGAGGAGAGAGUUUUUGUUUUUGUUUUUGUUUUUGUUUUCGUAUGGAAGAGGUGAAGUGUUUUUGAGUCUUGUAGUUUUUCUUGCACAAACACCCGCAUUCGGUGCCACGUUAUAGGCUGUCGUUUCCUCUCGAUAAUGAUACAGACACCUCACUUUCAAAAUCUUGAUUUUACAAAACCCAAUCUAAUUUAUGAGUUGAUUUAAAACCGGCCAACUCGAUCUUCCAUUUAAGCUAAGUUUUUUUAAAAAUCAACUAAAAAUUAAUUUGUAAUCCAAUUAAUUUUAUUAAAACCUUAUUUGUUUGUUUUUUUAAAUUAAAUCAAUAUUAUUUUAUUUAAAAAAUAAAUAAAAUGAGGUUGAUUUAUAUCAACCCAAAUUAAAUUCUGUCGACUCAUCCAAUUUAUAACCCAAUUUUUAGGCAUGAGUUCAUUAAUUUUGAUUUUUCUUCUAAAAAAUAGACCCCUCUUUUUAUAACUUUUGUUUUUUUCAUGAUUUUGUAACGGUCAACUAGACAUAUUUAGAACAAGUUACAUACAAAAAAUAUUAAAAAGUCUUCUUUUAAAGUUGUUUGGUGGUGCCGUACUAUUUGUUUUUAUAUUUUAAAAGUAAUUUUAAAAAAUUUUAAAAAAAAAUUAUUAUUAUUUUUAUUUUCAAUUAAUAAUUUUUUAGUAUUUUAAGAUUAUUUUGAUACGUUGAUAUUAAAAAUAACUUUUAAAAAUAAAAAAAUUAUUAUUUUAAUAUAUUUCUAAAUUAAAACAAUCACAACUAUAUUUUUAAAUAAGUUAAUAAUGUAUGAGCAAACCAUAUAUAUUAUUAUUAUAUUAUUAUUAUUUAACAGGGGCUGCUCGAGGAGGGGAUAUUUCCCCUUCUCAUAUGUUAUUCGUUGGAAUAUAUAUAUUAUUUUUGUAUUUAUAUUUUUCAUUUUAUUUUUUAAUAUUAAAUUUAUUUAAAACUAAACUUUUUAAUUUAUUUCUAGUUUUUAUACAGAAUUAUCAUUGUCUUCAAAAAAUCAUAAUAUUGAAUUGAUGUUUAUUUUUAUGAUUAUCCAUUUUUUUAUUAUAUUAUUAAAUUAGAAAUAUCUAUCAUAUUAUUAAAAAAAUUAAUUAUAAAAAAAUAUAAUUAUUAUUAAUUGAACUUCAUAAUUUAUUUUGAUUUAUUGUAGUAAUGAGCAGUGAAAUGCCAAGUUCUUUUUUCACUUUGGUUCUCAAAAGAAAUUAAUGAUUUUUUUUUAAUUUCAAACUUAGUUGUUGUUUUUUCUUAUCUUACUACAUUGGAUUUACAGGCGUUAUACUUUAUAAUUUAUUUUAUUUUUUUUAUUUAAUUAUUCUAGCCUUAUGAUCCUAGUUGUAGGUUAACUAUGUUGACUCGGAUUUUUUAGUUCUUUUUUAAUUAAAUAUUUUUUUAAUUUUUUCCUUUAACAUUAGACUAAUUGAAAAUCAAAUUUUUAUUUUUAUUUUUAUUGAGUUUAUCCCGGUCUCCUGAUCCAGGUUUGGUAAGUUAACCUUGACUGACUUGUGUCAUUUUUUAUCUUUUUGUUUGAUUUAAUAAAAUAAUUAGUCCUUCAACAUUAAGUUGAUUGAUAAUUAGAUUUCAUAAUUUUAUCUUAUUUGUUUUCUAUAUAAUAUUAUCAUGAUUUUAUAAUCCGAGUUGUAGGUUAGCUUGGUUGACUUAAGGUUAUUUUUUGUUCUUUUUAGUUGAUUUUUUUAAAUUUCAUCUUUUAAUUUUGGGUUGAUUGAGAAUUAGACUUUAUAAUUUGUUUCAUUUGCAUUCUAUGAGGUUAUCUCGGUCUCAUGACCUGUCAUUGAUUUGCUUGGUUAACUUGAGUUGACUUGGGUAUAUUUAUAUUCUUUUUUUAAUUGAUUUUUUUUAUAGUUUCAUUAUUCAACUUUUAGUUGAUUAAGAAUUGAGUUUUAUAAUUUUUUUUUGUGGGGUUAUUUUAGUUUCACGAUCAAAGUUUACUCGGUUUAUUUUUUAAAUUGAAUUUUAUUUUCAAUUUCAUCUUUCAAUAUUGGCUUAAUUGAUAAUUAAAUUUAAUAAUUUUUUUUAUUUGCUUUCUAUAUAGUUAUUAAGGUCUCAUGACUUGAGUAGCAGAUUUGAGAGGUGAACUCGAGUUGAUUCAAAUUGAUAUAAUAUGUUAUCGUUUAAAUAAUUUUUUUUUAAAAGAUGUUUUUUUAAUUUUUUUAAGCUAAACUAUGUUUUUAAAUGUCGUUCGAGUUGUUUUUAGAUAUAUCAAGUCAACUAUAUCACAUCAAGUUAAUCCCAAUAUGUUUUAAAAAAUUUCAUGCUAAAAGAACAUUUUAACAAUACUAUAAUUUUUUUCUAUAUCCAAUAAAAUUUUGAUAAGACCCACGAUAUACCACAUACAAUCAUCUAGUUUAUUUCUAUUCUACAAUAAAAAAAGGCGCUCGCACGUAUGUGUGUUCACAUCUAUUUUUGAAAAUUUUGAUCGCAAUGAGUAUAGUUUAAGAAACAAGUAUUAGUUGUUGAUUUAUAUAUAUAUAUAAAAUAACCGAAGUCCAAUUUGAUUGUAAAUUACAGUGAUUUAUGGUUCAUGGUGGUAUUAUAGUCGGCGAUUACUAAGCUAUAUGGAUUUAAAGAGGAAGUCUUCCAACAGCAGAACAUGUCAAUGUCAAUUGCUAUUUAAUUUUGGUUGAAGAUAAGAGAAAGCUUGAUGGAUUUUUAAUAGAAUUUGUGUGGUGUUUGUGCUUUCCUAAAACCUCAAGAAAAUCCCUAUAAUUUACUCUACAAGAAAUACGUGCAAAGGGUUGACAUUGAAAUAGGUUGCUUUCGUAAAAGAAAUCUGACCUGAAGAUGGGAAAUUAAGAAACAAAGACGGUGUAUGAGUAAGAACACCACCGCAGUAUGUGUAAGAACACCACCGCAGCUCUUCAUGGAAUACUGAGGUUUUUUCACACAGAGUAUUCCAAAUUGGCUGAAAACCAAGCCAGACUCGCCCAACAGACACCAUAAUUCAUGGUCUUCAGCCCUCCAUUUCUAGCUCAUCUGGUGCUGAUGUGUGGAUGGAAAUCGAAAUUUCCCUCGCCUCGGAGAGAAGGGCUGACUGUUGAAAUCAAGCUAACAGUGAAGUCUAACUCUCACACACCACACGCCUCAAGUCACGUUAAUUAUUAAGUUCUAAUUUUCAGUUUAUUUUUAAUUUUGUUUUCUGUGAGAAUGGAGUUGUCGUUCUCAAUAUCAUGUGAAAAACUACACUUGUUUUUUUUUAAAAAAACUAUUUUUUUUCCAUUUUUUUCUUGGUGACAAAAGUUAAAAUAGUAUAUUAAUAUUAAGUUGAGAGGCAUCGGUGACCUUUGUUUUUUUUUUUAUUAUUAAGAGUUUAUCUGUUUAUAUUAAAUUGAUAUUUAAAUUUAUUUUAAUGUAUUAAUAUUAAAAAUAAAAAAAUAUCUUAACAUAAAAAAUACUAUGCACAGUACAAAUAAAAUGAUAAAGUGAUAAAGUUGAUGAGACAUCGGUGACCUUUGUUUUUUUGUGUUUUUUUAAGAGUUUAUUUGUUUAUAUUUUUUGAUAUUUUUAAUAUAUUAAUAUUAAAAAUAAAAAAUUAUUUUAAUAUAUUUUAAAAUAAAAAAUGUGAUGCACUAUAAUAUCUCUUAUGCUCACGAUGACACCUUGCAAGCUAGCUAGCAAACCAUCAUCCUUUGUUUCCUUUGCCUCGCUUGAGUUUUUGUUAGUUGUCGGCAGUCGGCACAAUCCAAACAAAUACUGGAUGUCGUCUGGGACGCGGCAAAAACUAACUAGUCAAAUUGAUUUUUUGAUUAUAAAAAUGUUUAAUUAAUUAGUAACAAAUCUUUAGAAUAAUUAAUUUUUUAGUAUUGGUUGUUUUUUAAAAUAUUUUUUAUUUAAAAAUAGAUAUAAAAUAAAAAAAUAUAAUUUAAAUAAAAAAAAUCUCAAAAAUAUUUUUUUAACGCGAAAACAAAACAAACUAUACUAGUGAUUUAUCAUCAAAUUAUAGCUAAACCAAUUACAUUAGCAUUUAUUUCUCUAGAACAUGUUUCAAAUUCAACCGUCUAUAUGAUUUGUAUAAUUCUUUUUGAUAGGAGGAAACGUCAAGUGAAAUCAACAAGAGCCACUUCCAAAGUCUAGAGAAAUCCAUGAAUUUCAGGUAGAAACCUACCAAACCAAGCACAAACGUGGGUUUGACUUGUAGUUUUGAAAAUUUGAAGGAAAGAUACUGGACAAAUUCAUGAAACAUUAAACUGUGCAACCCAACUAGCUUAGCCCUAUCCACUCACAUGUAUAAAUUCAGAGACUAUCUCAAUACAUUUCUCCACAUCCAUAUCAAACAACAACAAAGAGCUGUCGGAAGAAAGAAAUUAGAAGAUGCACAAUCCCCCACCGCCAGAGCCCCGUCACCAGCCCGGCCACCCACCGCCAGAGCCCCAUCCACCACCACCCGGUCCACCACAGCGCGAACCUCCUCCCCCUCGUGGCCAUUCUCCUCCUCCUCCAGGUCCGCAUGCACCACCAUCCGGUCCACCACACCGUGAACCUCCUCCUCCAGGCCCGCGUGCACCUCCACCUGAUCAUCACCGUCCUUAGUCGAUCAUAUAUAUGAAGAACUCGAUCGAAGCUAAGCCUAGCAAUAUAUGAAUAAGCGUAUCCAUAGGGGUUGAUGAUGUAACGGAAGGAUGCUCUGUAUAGCUAGUUUUACCUGGCUUAGCUCACCAGUAAUUUUAUUUUCACUUCCAGUGUGUGUAUGUGUAACGUGCUUGCUGUUUCAUUCUCGGAGAAACAUGUAUGGUGCUUGGAUAAUUAAUUAGUAAUAAGAGUAGAGUACUGUUUAUCGUCUAAGAAUAUGCCUUUCUUUCUUUCUAAGAACGUACGAUAAAUCUAAAAAAAGGAAGAUUUACAUGGAUGAAUUUUGUUGAAGGUGCUACAAAAUUCCAUUAAGAGAUUUAUAAAACUUAAUUUUUUUUUUAAAUUAAUGUGGGUGUUUAUAGUGGCGGAGGAAGUGGCAAGAAAAUGCCCCUCCCAUGUAAAUAUUUAUAACAUGGAUGAAUUUUGUUGAAGGUGCUACAAAAUUCCAUUAAGAGAUUUUAUAUAAAACUUAAUUUUUUUUUUUAGAUUAACAUGGGUGUUUGGUCCUUAAUAUUUUUUUAAUGUGACCGCUUAAGAAAAUAACAUCAUGCAUUUUAUUGGAAAUUAAUGACUUCAUGUCAUCAUUUACAAUAUAUUUCUAAAAAAAAAUGUAUCUUGUGAAUAUAAAAGACUUCUUGUAAGGUUAUGGAGUUUUAUUCAACGUUUAAAAACAUGAAAAUUAAAGUCAAUAUGUUUUUUCAACUCUAGCUCUUUUACUUCCUUUCAGUCCAGAAAUUGUUUACUUUUUAAUUAUUUUUUAUUCUCUUCUUUUAUUUAAUAAAUUAAAUUAUAUUAAAAUUAAAAUGUUACGACACAUGGAUCUAUUCAAAUUAAUAGUGUUGCAUUGUUUCAAAUAAACAUUCAAGGAGAGCACUGCGUAUGUAAAACCAAUAUAAAGAAAAUCAUAUCAUCUAGGUGUCGGUCUAGUGGUAAAAACUUGAGAUCAAAUUUUUUUUAUAUAUAUAUAAAAAAAAUCAUGCCUAAAUGAAGGGCACAAGAGAUAAAAUAUCGGUAAAGACAAACUAUCUUUAUAUUAAUUUUUAUUUAUUUAUUGUCUCUUAUAAAAAUUACAUUUUAACUCUUAUGAUGAUAUCCUUUACAAUUAUGUUCCUAUAUAAUUACAUUAUUAUGGUUCAUUAUUUAAAUUUUUUAUGUAAUACUUGUAAUAUCAUGGUUAUUACAAUUAUGAUAUAUCGUCCAUUAUAUUUGUUUGAGAUUUAUUACAAGAAGCCCAAGUUAAUAAAUCAGAACAACACAAAAGCCCAUCAAAAUAAAGCGACCGCGAUCCGCCCACCAUAAGGAGCUCGCUCUCUCCAGAACCCGAACCCGAACCCAACCCCUUCAAAAACCUCUCCCUCUAUCUCCACUCAAACCCCUCCCCCUCUUUUGCUUCUCUUGCAGCGAACUUCUCUCUCUCUACAGGGUAUGCAGCAGCUUCUCUUCUUCCUUUAUUACUAUAUUUCAUGCCUUCAUUUUUGCUUAUGUAUGUGUUUAUAUACGUUGUUUCGCGAUUCAGUUUCUAUUUACGCAAGCUGUACUGGUUUAAUCUAGUUAGAAAUGAAUGGUAUUAUCGUAAUCUCUUUGCUGGAUUGUCUGUAGAAGAGAAUUUAAGGGAAUGGGCUGUUAGAUUUGUAGAGAAAAUUAGACACCCAGAUGCAAGAUUUAGCUUGUUAAGUUACUGUGUUUGUGUGUUUGUUUUUUUCAAGUGGAAGGAAGUAAAAAGUGGAGAUCUGAAGUUUAGGUGAAGUGGUAAAAAGGGUCGAUGAGAUUAUUGUCAAAACCCCUCCUGUGUGGUAACUUUGGUAAAUUAGAGAUUAUUGUGUUUUUGUUUUUAAUCUUGAUUAAAAGAAAAUAAGGAGAUUUUUUUUAGCAAGAAUUUAGUUUGUAUUUACGGGUUCUUGUGUAAGUUUAGUUGAUUUCGUGGUUGUAUUUGGUUAUUGAUUCAUGAUUUGGUAUGGCAGGUUUGAAGUGGUGCCAUGGAUGACAAUUUGUAUGAUGAGUUUGGGAACUACAUUGGUCCGGAAAUAGAGUCGGACCGAGAGAGCGAUGGCGAGGAAGAAGAUGAAGAACUUCCAGACAAGCCUCAUGAAGACGAGGAGGAAUCUGACGGUGAAGAGGCAGUUCAUGCUUCCAAUGGUUGGCUUACUGCCCCUAAUGAUGUUGAUAUGGAUAACCAAGUUGUCCUUGCUGAGGACAAGAAGUACUACCCAACCGCGGAGGAGGUUUAUGGUCCAGGUGUUGAAACGUUGGUUAAUGAUGAAGAUGAGCAGCCUCUUGAGCAACCGAUAAUUAAGCCUGUUAGGAACAUCAAGUUUGAGGUUGGGGUUAAGGAUUCCUCAACUUAUGUUUCCAGCCAGUUUCUUGUUGGUCUUAUGUCAAAUCCCUCUUUAGUACGCAACGUUGCCCUCGUGGGCCAUCUACAGCAUGGGAAGACAGUUUUUAUGGACAUGUUGGUUGAGCAAACACAUCAUACGCCAACUUUUGAUAUAAAUAGCGAGAAACAUAUUAGGUACACAGAUACAAGGAUUGAUGAGCAAGAAAGAAGGAUAUCUAUCAAGGCAGUUCCAAUGUCACUUGUCCUUGAGGAUAGCAAUUCAAAGUCGUACCUCUGUAACAUCAUGGACACCCCUGGUCAUGUGAACUUCUCUGAUGAAAUGACUGCUGCCCUCAGGCUUGCUGAUGGUGCAGUGUUGGUUGUGGAUGCUGCUGAAGGAGUGAUGGUAAGAUUUGUUUUUAGGUUAAUUUUGAUAAAUUCAUUACAAAAAUAGUAUGAUCAUAUCUUAAUAUGAUUUUAUCUGUUCUUCUGUGGAUUAAUUUGCGAAGUAUUUCUCCGUAGAUAUUAAAUCCAUCAUUCUUGAUGAGUUCAAUACGCAAUUUGUUCUAGUUUUCUGCCUAUCAUAUCAGCAUUUAUACAGGCAUUAGUUGCAAAUGGUUUUGUCUAUGAUUGGACCGAUUGCAGCAACAAGGCUAUAAUCUUCUAUUGCAUGACUUGUGACACUUGUUCUCAAUACCAUGCACUUAUGAUCGUGGUUGAACUUCGAAGAUGCUAUUUCAUGAUAUAACUGUUGUUUUCAUAAGUGCACGAGAAUGUUCUAGCCACUUGAUAUGGUCAAUUUACUAUUUUGUAAUGCUUAGGUAAACACAGAGAGGGCCAUACGCCACGCAAUUCAGGAACAGCUGCCUAUUGUUGUUGUGAUCAAUAAGGUAAUUCCCUCUUACCUCUAUUUUGUUUGGCACUUCCGAUUCGAUUUUUUCCAAAUAUUUUGACUGGUUCAUGAAGUGUUAUUUGCACAAAUUUUCUUUUGAAGGUUGACAGGCUCAUAACAGAGCUCAAAUUGCCCCCAAAGGAUGCGUAUCACAAGCUAAGGCAUACCAUAGAAGUCAUUAACAACCAUAUAUCUGCUGUCUCUUCAACUGCUGGAAAUGUUCAAGUGAUAGAUCCAGCUGCUGGAAAUGUUUGUUUUGCUGGUGCAACCGCAGGAUGGUCCUUCACUUUGCAUUCCUUUGCUAGAUUGUAUCUCAAACUCCAUGGUAUCCCAUUUGAUGCUGAAAAGUUUGCAUCUCGUCUCUGGGGGGAUAUGUAUUAUAAUCCCGAGGACAGGACUUUCAAGAAGAAACCUCCUGCUAGUGGAGCAGAAAGAUCGUUUGUCCAAUUUGUGCUGGAACCUCUCUACAAAAUAUACAGCCAAGUGAUUGGAGAACAUAAAAAAAGCGUUGAGGCUACUCUUGCUGAGUUUGGUGUUACUCUUCCUAAUUCAGCUUAUAAAUUAAAUGUCAGGCCUUUGCUAAGACUGGCUUGCAGUCAAGUUUUUGGCUCAGCCUCAGGUUUCACUGACAUGCUUGUUAAGCAUAUACCUUCGGCUAAGGUUGCUGCUGCCAGGAAGGUUGAUCAUACAUAUACUGGGCCCAAAGAUUCAAUGAUUUACCAGGCCAUGCUAGACUGUGAUCCUGCUGGCCCCUUAAUGGUUAAUGUGACGAAAUUGUAUCCGAAGUCAGAUUGCAGUUCAUUUGAUGCUUUUGGUAGGGUUUAUAGUGGUAAAAUUAUGACAGGGCAGUCUGUAAAAGUUUUGGGAGAAGGCUAUUCACCAGAGGAUGAGGAGGACAUGACAGUAAAAGAAGUGACAAAACUAUGGGUAUAUCAAGCUCGGUAUAGGUUACCCAUAAGUAUGGCACCUCCUGGUUCCUGGGUUCUCAUUGAAGGUGUGGAUGCUUCAAUUAUGAAAACUGCAACUCUCUGUAAUGUGAAUUAUAAUGAAGAAGAUGUAUACAUAUUUCGACCUCUUCAGUUCAAUACUCUUCCAGUAGUGAAAACUGCUACUGAGCCUCUAAAUCCAAGCGAGUUGCCCAAAAUGGUGGAGGGUCUUAGGAAGAUCAGUAAAAGCUAUCCUCUGGCCAUAACUAAAGUUGAGGAGUCUGGGGAGCACACUAUACUUGGUACCGGAGAGUUGUACUUAGAUUCUAUUAUGAAGGACCUUAGGGAGCUAUAUUCUGAAGUGGAAGUCAAGGUAGCUAUUUCUCAUACGCUUUUUUGAUAUACUUUUGUUAUUUAUUCUCCUAUUUCCUUUUAUGGGACGCUCUUAGUUUCCAUGCACAUUUGUCCUGUUUAAUGCUUCAUGUCAAAUGUAGGUAGCCGAUCCUGUUGUCUCAUUCUGUGAAACUGUGGUGGAGUCCUCGUCAAUGAAAUGCUUUGCUGAAACACCCAACAAGAAGAAUAAAAUAACCAUGGUAAAGAAGACCACUAGUUUUAUUUGAUCUACUUGCUUUUGAGCAUUCUAUCUCAAUGCUCUGGACUUUUAAUUUUGUUCAUCUGGAAUGUUUCUUAAUUUUAUAGAUCGCUGAGCCAUUGGAGAAAGGGCUUGCAGAAGACAUUGAAAAUGGUGUUGUAAGCAUUGACUGGAAUCGGAAAGCUCUAGGUGACUUCUUCAAGACAAAAUAUGAUUGGGAUUUGCUUGCAGCACGAUCCAUAUGGGCUUUUGGCCCUGAUAAGCAGGUAAUCUAGUUGCUUAAUGUAUCCAUGAUUUGAUUUUUUCAAAUGAUAUGUGAUCAAAUCCUGCUCAUGUUUUGAUACCUCAAUUCCUCAUUUUUUCAAUGAUUGGAUUAAAUGAACUUAAUUUAAUCUUAUUUGUUUUUGAUAUCUGCAGGGACCUAACAUUUUGCUAGAUGACACACUUCCAACUGAAGUGGACAAGGGAUUACUAGGUGCCGUGAAGGAUUCUAUUGUUCAAGGGUAAACUGGAAUUUUUGUCUGUUCUUUUACCAUUUAACCAAAUGCCUAACUAGAACCUUCAUUUUCUUUUGGACAGGUUUCAGUGGGGUGCACGAGAAGGACCACUUUGUGAUGAACCAAUCAGAAAUGUUAAGUUCAAGAUAGUUGAUGCUAGGAUUGCGCCUGAACCACUUCAUCGUGGAUCUGGUCAAAUAAUUCCAACAGCUCGGCGUGUGGCCUACUCAGCUUUUCUUAUGGCAACCCCAAGGCUCAUGGAACCCGUAUAUUAUGUGGAGGUACUUACUUGAUAAUUGUAUUAUAUUAAAGAAAUAUGCAUACCUAAGGGAGAAUAUAUAGACUUUUCCUGCUUGUUACUGUGACUAAAGGAACAAGACAGCAGUGGAAUAUGAUGAAUUUGACAGAAAGCUCAGUAGAAUGCUCAUCCUCAGUUUCCAUAACAUACUAUUUUGAAUAAAUGCAAUUAGCUCAUUUAGAGUUAGAGUUUCUUGCUUGGAUUGUCCUACUAAUUGUGUUUUAUGUUCUUUCAGAUACAAACACCAAUUGACUGUCUCACUGCAAUCUAUACGGUGUUAUCUCGCAGACGUGGGCAUGUUACAGCAGAUGUUCCUCAGCCUGGGACUCCAGCUUAUAUUGUUAAGGUGAUAGCAGCACUUUUUCGUACCCAGCUUACAUGCUGUUGGUUUUAUACAAGUAAAUAUAUGGAGAUGGUUGACACACACCCACAUAUACUUCAAGCUUUCUCUUAUUCGUUUCUAAUUUUUGAAAUUGGAUUUCAGGCAUUUUUACCUGUCAUAGAAUCAUUUGGUUUUGAGACGGACUUGAGGUACCAUACCCAAGGUCAAGCAUUUAGCCUCUCGGUGUUUGAUCAUUGGGCUAUAGUCCCUGGAGAUCCCCUUGAUAAGAGCAUUGUUCUGAGGCCACUUGAGCCUGCACCAAUCCAGCACCUUGCCCGUGAAUUUAUGGUGAAGACAAGGCGUCGCAAGGUAUACCCCUCUCCCUUCUCCCAGGGUCUCUCUCUUUCUGUUACGUGGAUGACUUUUUCAAGCUCUUGGAGCGUUGGAAGAUUGUUACUUCAAAAUUUAUUAUUUUUCUGAGCUGCACGAGAAUUCCAAAUCUAGCAUAGUGCUCUAUGGAAAUGGGUUUUUUAUAACACCUCCUAUGCUGUUAAUAGAUAAAACCAAUAGCCAUUUGGUAAUGCUUUUUGUUUCGAUUCUAUAUUCCAGGGAAUGAGUGAAGAUGUGAGCAUUAACAAGUUCUUCGAUGAGGCUAUGGUGGUUGAGCUGGCUCAGCAAGCAGCUGAUAUUCAUCAACAAAUGAUGUGAUACUUCCAAUGUUGGUGCUUAUUUAGCCAUAGGCCAUAGGAAGCACUUCUUUCAGGCAGUUUUUAUCUGUCUUUACAUGUGUUGAAACCUGGAUAGCAGAUAGUAGUGCAGACUGAUAUCCCUAGCAGUUGGGGCAGAACACCGCUAACAAAAAGAAAGGAUGUCCAACGAGUAAAUUCAAAAUUUUGAAUGUUUGAUGUAAUAUUGUAUAAUAUUUACUGUUAGUGGCAUGAAAAACUCUCCUUUUGAGCCCAGGGAGGUGGUAAUGCAAGCAAGGUUGGAUUAUUUGUUCGAAGAUCUCAUGAUUGGUUUGCUCACCUUAUUUGGGUUUGCCUUACUGGCAUGCCUCCCCACCGCAAUACGGGCAUCGAGGCCUCCAAACAAACAUCCUGCCCUCCUGGGAUUAAAACAUUAACCUUGAAGUGAAGGGAUAAAAAUAAAUCAAGAAGAAACAUAGUAUGUGUUAUUGCCAUUAAUAUAACCUGGAACAGAAUCUCUUUUAUCAUCGCAACAUUAACUUCAGCUAACUACUAACUCUUGAUAACUACUAACUCUUGAUGGUUACAAAUCGUCUAUUCGUUCUUUUUAUUUUGAUGUUCUAUUUUUGGAUCUUAUCAUUUCUCGAUAAAUUUGCUUUAAUUGCCUAUAAUUUUUUUUAUAGUUGAUUUGUUUGUGUGAACAACAAUUCGUAGUUGAUUUGUUUGUGUGAACAGUAGCAUGCUGAGUAGUGUUUUCACCAUGCCUUUUAAAUUAUAAUUAAUAAUAACAAGAGGAUUAUUACUUUGUUUCAAUGUGUAGCCAAUAUUGUAUGAGAGCUAGGUGGUCGGAUGAUGUUUUACAUUGUAGUUGAACUAUAUUUUUAAAAUAUUUUGAAUUUUUUAGUUUUAAAUUUUUUUGUGUGUGUUUUUGGAUCGUUUUGAUGUGUUGAUGUUAAAAAUAAAAUUUUAAAAAAUAUUAUUUUGAUAUAUUUUUAAAUAAAAAAUAUUUUAAAAAACAAUUUCUAACACUCUAAGACAGUGUUUGUUUAAGAGGUUGCAUCAAAAACCUAUUUGGUAAUUAAAAAAAUAUCUGUUAUUGUUCAUGGGUCUCACGGAAUGCUGCAUUUGAAAUGCAAGAACAAGAGAAGUAGCUUUGAAAUGCAAGAACAAGAGAAGUAGCUAGGAGCUGCUUCCUGCGCAGCAAAACGCUGAACCAUGCUCCACUGUUCAGUGAACAGUGGAGGCAUGCAUCCACUGUUCCGGCCGGACCGGGUCCGGUUUAAAGCUCAAAAUGCAUUGAACCAGUCCGACCCAGUAAAAUAAAAAAAUUAUUUUUUAAUUGUGUUUUAUUCGAAAAACUAGUGUUUAACAUUAUUCAAUGACACUACUUAAAUUAGACGGAGAGCGCUUGAACACGUAACAUUUGUAGAAUUUGAUCGCAAUCCCAAAUUAUAGAUAGUUUAAUGGAACAAUAAAAAAUAUUUUAUAUAAAGUAUUAUUUAUUUCAUGAUGUAAUAACAAUAGUUAAAUCUACAAUAUUUAAAUUAAAAACCAUUAAUAUUAAUAUAUAUUUUUUUAAAAUUAUUUUAUAACGUCAAUUUCAAAAACAUUCUUAACCAAACACAUUAAACUACUUUUUAUUUAACCUCAAUUUCAACUACAGUUUUAACCAAACAUACAUAAAUACCAAACCAACCUCAACUAAAUAUAUUUUUUAUAAAAUAACUUUUUUUAAAUUAUAACCACAAAAGCCACAGAAUACCAAACAGUUGCAUGACUUAAAGAUCUUCUUAGAGGAAAGGAGAUGGAAAUGCAAGGGGCUUUUUAAUACUUUUUUUAAAAAUUCUGUUACUAGGUUUUGCAAGAAUAUAUGAACUUGUUAUUAUUAAUCUAAGUUUUUCUUUUUAUUAUGAAUACUAGCAUGUUGUUUUGCAAGUGGAUUAACCCUUUUUUUCUCUUCAAAUCUGAUCUUAAAAAAAGAAGGAAAAUCAACCUAUUCACUUUAAUGUCGAGUCAAACAUUUCUCCUUCUCAGUUAAGAAAACAAAACACAUUGGGGGCUUGGACCGUUAAUAAAAUGCCGAGAAUCACGAAUGGUCCAUCUCCUUCUCAUAUUUGAUCAUAUCAAAUUCCUUACUUUUAAUUGGAUCAAAUCUACCCUCCCAUCUUCACCAAUAAUCAAAUGGUUAUAUGAAUUCCAUGUGUUUUGAUAUAUUAAUUAUUAAGAUGAAGGAUCUCUAAUCGAAAAUAAAGGGACCAAUUUGACUCAAUGUAAAAAUAAAUGAUGUAAAUUGACCAAUUUACAAAACUAUAGGGAUGAUUUUGAAGCAACUGGAAAACGAAACAUCAGGCUAAACCCCAUCUGAGAUCCAACUCUCUGCCCAGAGAACCUAACCCUCCCUUUGGUCUAAAACUAACGUAAUCAUCUUCUUUUUUUCCUCUUAAUCACCAAUCCAUGUCUUAAAAAUCAUAAAAUUCUUAUCGAUUGGGUUUUCAAUUUUGUAAUACACGAUACACACACUUCCCCUUCUUUUCUCAUUUCUGCUCAAGAUUUCAUCUUUUUCUCUUUUUUUCCAAAAAGGCACACGCAUUGUGAUUUCUCUAAACCCUAAUCACAGAUCCAAAAUUUUUCUUCGGCUUAACCUCAAUUGCUAUUGAGUUCCACAAUUUCUUCUUAUACAGCAGAUUUACCCUUAAAAGUUUGGAACUUUAAGGGUAAAUCAUAUUGAAGGUUAGGAUUUUUUUGCAAUGAGCUGAUGCUACUGUGAUUUUUCUUUAUCAAUUACAAUGCAAUCGAAAACCCAAAUUCUUGCUCCAGCUUUUACCCUUUUCCCAUCUCUUAAACCUCCAAACAAGACCCUAACUUUUCACCAAUUUACAGUCUUGGCCAUCACCUUUCUCGCUUAUGCUUCAUUUCAUGCCUCAAGAAAGCCACCAAGUAUUGUAAAAGGUGUGCUUGGACCCAAAAUUCAAUUGAACUCUUCAACGAUUGAGUCUAAUUUAACUUCAUUAGAAUCCAAUGGUACUGGUUGGGCUCCCUUUAAUGGCCCUAAAGGGACUCACCGGCUUGGUGAGCUUGAUCUUGCAUUUUUGUCUGCAUAUUCAAUAGGAAUGUAUUUUGCAGGACAUGUUGGUGAUAGGAUUGAUUUAAGGUUGUUUCUUGUUUUUGGAAUGGUGGGUAGUGGUCUUUUGACCAUUAUUUUUGGGUUAGGUUAUUGGUUUAAUGUACAUUUGUUAGGAUAUUUUGUGAGUGUGCAGAUUUUGUGUGGUUUGUUUCAGUCUAUAGGGUGGCCUUGUGUGGUGGCAGUGGUUGGGAAUUGGUUUGGGAAAGCUAAGAGAGGGUUGAUAAUGGGAAUAUGGACUUCCCAUACAUCGGUAGGGAACAUUAUUGGGUCGGUUGUGGCAUCCGGGGUUUUGGAGUUUGGUUGGGGUUGGUCAUUUGUGGUGCCCGGAGUUUUGGUAAUUUUAGCUGGGGUUUUAGUGUUCCUGUUUCUUGUUGUUAAUCCUGAAGAUAUUGGAUUUGAGACUCCAGGGAAGGAAAUUGAAAUGGAUGUGGAGGUGAAUGGUUUGGAGAAUUUGGAGAAGGUGGAAUCAGAAGAAGCAGGGCUUCUUGGGGAGGAAAACUUGGAUUCUACCGCAGCCAUCGGAUUCCUGGAGGCUUGGAGAUUACCUGGUGUGGCACCAUUUGCUUUCUGCCUCUUCUUUUCAAAGCUAGUGGCGUACACUUUUCUAUAUUGGUUGCCCUUCUACAUAAGUCACACAGGUAUUUGCUUCUUCUUGACUUUGAAAUUCUUAUCAAGAGCUGAUUUGCUCAUGCUAAUCAUUUUUGCAUGCAUUUAGAUAUGAGUGUCAUAUAAGAACGGGACUGUGAUGGCGAUGAGAAUUUGCUAUCAUCAACACAAAUGGUGCCCUUAUUUAUGAAUUCUCGAAAUUUGAUUGUAGGAGACCAUUUCUUCUUAUCAUGGCUUGAACUCUCUUUUAUUGGUUCAUCUGGCUGAUGCACUCGCAUCUUUUUGCUUAGUUUGCUGAAGUAUGCCUUUGCAUAUAUUUGAAUUUGUUAGAUGCUGGAUGUCAGUUUUAAUAAUUUUUUUUUUGGGAAUUAAAGAUGUUGCUGGCGUGCAUGUGUCCCACAAGACUGCUGGAAUUCUUUCAACGGUAUUCGAUAUUGGAGGAGUCUUUGGCGGAGUUUUGGCAGGAUUUGUAUCUGAUAUGAUUGAAGCUCGGGCAGUGACUUCAAUAGUAUUCUUGCUUCUAUCAAUUCCAGCCCUUGUUCUGUACCGGGUUUAUGGAAGCGUGUCUAUGCUCCUCAAUAAUGCUUUGAUGUUUCUUUCUGGGCUGCUUGUAAAUGGCCCGUAUGCUCUAAUUACAACAGCUGUUGCAGCUGAUCUUGGUACCCAGGACUUGAUUAAAGGAAAUUCCCGAGCCUUAGCUACUGUGUCUGCAAUUAUAGAUGGCACAGGUUCUGUUGGGGCAGCUGUUGGCCCCCUUCUGGCAGGGUAUAUCUCCACAAGAGGAUGGAACAGUGUCUUUCUUAUGCUUAUUGUUUCUAUAUUCCUUGCGAGUUUGUUCUUGAUUCGAGUUGCGAAAAGUGAGAUUAAAGGGAUGCUGAACGAUAGAAAAUGGCUUUCAAACAAUGCAACUGCUCAAUGAUGGAAAGUGCUUCUAAGAUUAUCGUCUGUAUUCCUUUUACAUCUAGUCAUAGAACAGGUUCCAUGGAAAAACACUUGGAUAUAAAGGAUCCUGCAAGUAUACAUGUCUGUAUUUUGUAACUCAUUCUUUGAUCAGAUAUAUUCUUACUUUCUGUUGUACAUGUACAAACAAAGAUACCAAUAAUAUAAGCCUUCUACAUUCUACACUACUGUUCAGGGACACUCUAGCACCCGCUAUUUCUAACAUUUUUUAUUGGUUCAUCACAAAUUGGUAUUCCUAGCACGUCCAGCAAUCAACCUUUAACAGUCGAAGAUACAACACUUGGAGGGCAUUCUCAAAAAUAAAUAAACAAAUAAAAUUUGAGGGGCAUGAGAUGGAUUACAAGCAUUGCAUGUUGUGCCCUGUAACAGAACAGUUUAAGUGAUUUAUCAAGAAGGUAAAGCAACACCAAAUUUCACAAAUGAUAGUCUUACAGCUUUGUGGAUAUGUAAACUGAUUGUUGGAGAUCAAACAUGCCAUUUCAAUAUAAGCGAUUAAUUACCUUAUAUGGUGAAUCCAGAGAAUGAGUACACAGAGAUAAGAAUGGCUGUGCUAUUUUUAGUAGUAACUGAAACUGUAUAUAGCAACGAGCUUGAGAUUGAACUAGCUAUAUGACCUACCCGUGCUCUGCCACAACUGCGAUAAAAAAAAUUUAGAAAAAAAUAAUGUUCAUCAAUGCAGCGUAUUUUAAAGGAAGCAUGAAAAAAAAUAAUAAUAUUAGAUGAUAAAAUAAAAUAAAAAAAAAGAUGUUAUUUGAGUUAUUUUAUUAAAAACAAUAAAUUUAAAAUAAAAUUAAAGUUUAACUCUCAAUAAAUCAAAUAUUGAAUGAUAUAAUUAAAAAUAAUAUAUAUAUAAGGAUUAAAAAAUGUAAUAAUUGUUAGCUAAAAACUAACUUGAGUUUGUCUGAGUUAACUCACCAAACUAAUAGUUAGGUUAUGAGAUCGAGAUAAACUGAGAGAAGAAAAAUAAAAAUAAAAUUACGAAAUCUUAUUUUUUAAAAGACCAAUGUUAAUCCUUGUUAGCCUAUAAAACCCAUGUUUUAGGCCAUUUGACUAGAAGUAUCAAACAUGAAAAAAUCAUGAAAGUCAAUUCUUAACAAAUCAAAUAUUAAUCAAUUCUUAAUAAAUCAAAUAUUAAAGGAUAAAAAAACAUCAAUCACACAAAAAGAUUCAAAAGAAAAAAACAACAAUAAUUAAAACGAAAAAAAAAUAGUCCACUCGAGUUAACUCCUAAUUAUAAAAUCAAUGUAAAAAAACUAAAAAAACCAUUAAAUCUAUUUUUUUAAAAAAAUUCAACUUCGGGUAAAGACGUCUAAAUAUAUACACCGCAAAUUGCUAUGUUUAAAAACUCAUAUUUUUAUAAAAUAUAAAAUAUUGACUUAUAUUAACGAAAAUUCAAGUCUCUAUGAAUCUAUUUUAAAGGAAGAAUUAAAAGCCGGAUUAUUUCAUUUAAAUAAAAUAUUGAAUAAAGAUUAAAUAUUGUAUUAUUUGGUAUGAUAGAGUAAUUCAUCUUAUAACUAAUAAAACGAAGAAUAUCAUUUUGAUGUUUCUUUUGCUGUUACGUAUGAUUGGAAAUAAGUUUUGAUAAAUUAGUUUGCAACAUAAAUAGAUUUGUCCCUCAAAUAUCAAUUUUAUUGAUUGGGUCCUUCAUCUAUAUACCUCUCCGCAAUCGGAUCCUUUUGUUAAAAUAAUUGAAGGCAGUAUUGAACAACGAUGCACCUUCUGGCCAUUAAAUGUUUGGUCACCGUAAUUUUUUUAAUAUGUUUUGGAUCGUUUUAAUGUGCUGAUCUCAAAAAUAAUUUUUAAAAAAUUAAAAAAACAUUAUUUUGAUACAUUUCAACACGAAAAGUACUUUAAAAAACAAUCGCAACCAGACUCCUAAAAUCCAGCUAUCACCUUCAAUUCCAGACAAGUUAGAAAAACAAAGGCAUGAUUGAAGCAAUUUUAUGACCACACGCAUGCUCCUACAUGUGUUAAAUAGAGGGGAAAGUUGGCAUUCUCACAUCUAAUUGAUAAAAUUGGUGGCCUUUUCUUUUAUUUCCACGAAAUUCAAUUUUCAAUUUCAUCCUUCUUUACAUGGUGCCAUUUUGCAAGCCACUUGCUCGUUAGCCUAGUAGAGAGUAUCUCUUAGCCCUUGGGUCCAAAUCUUUGAGUUAAGUAGAAACUUAGUUGAAUGAAAAGAGCCCUGAGACGUUCGUAUAUGAUUUUACACAAGCGUGAAAGAGAAUGCGCCUGCAUAAACAAAACAUUAAUUGUUACUGUGAUCAAUGCAUCUUCUGGAUGAAAGAAUACCAGAGAGGUGAAAUCAUGCAGUUAAGGGCAUGCUUACUCUGGCAUUGAUCAUUUACCCUAAAUCAGUCCCUGCCUCGUAUAAGCAAAUCCAUUCUUCGGACCAAUUUCUUACUAGGCACCUUUAGCAGGCAAUGACAAGAUAAAGGGGAGAAAAGGGAAUGUAUAGACUGUUGCAAGGACUCCAGUGAAUGAGGCAAGAAUGAUAGGAGGGAAGAAAAAUGCAGAUUCUAUUUGCCCAUGAAUUUAUAUACAGCAUACACCAACAAAACUUGAGGACAGCCAAUUUAGCUAUGUACUGUUAUUUGAUUGGCUCUACCCUCCUCCACCACCUGGGGAACUUGGAUGGAAAGUUUUAAGCACUACCUUCUAGCAAGCAUUUGAGAUUCUGAAGCCCCUCGGCGGAAAUGCUUCGCCUGACUCUUGCCCUCUGUACCACCACUGGUGGCGGUGGCUCUGAGUGAAAGCUAACAAUUACAACUGUCAAGUUGUCAGUUGCUCCCCGUUUUAAUGCUUCCCCUACCAUUUCUCUGCAGCAUCGCUUCAAAUCAUUGUGCUCUUGAAGUCUCUUCCGAACAAAAUCUACUGCAUUUUGAUUUGAAUAUACAUCCCAUAUUCCAUCACUUCCGAUUAUCAAGAACUCAUCUUCCUUCGUCAGUGUAACCAAUUUAAGUUCUGGUUCGGCACUUAAGGGCCCACUUCUGUCACCCUUUUUCUUCAUUCCUUCAAGGUGCCAAUCACCUAAUGCGCGGGUAACAGCUAACUGACCAUUUAGAUAACCAUCAUCAAUGAAUCCACCUAAGGACUCAAUUCUUGUCCUUUCUUUCAUGCAGCAAGGUCUAUGAUCCUCUGACAUUUCCUUCGCCCCUCCACCCCGUGAUAAUACUGCCCGACAAUCACCAGCAUUUGCCACAAGCAAUGACCUGUCCAAGAAAGACAUUUUUUUAAGAUAACGCACUUUGUGAGAAGACAUAACAGAAUGUCAAUAUAUGAUAAAACUAAUGGAUUGGAGCAAUUCCUGACAACGCAAGAUCUUAGGUGACAUGACAGAUCUUUUUGAUUGGUCAGAAAGCUACAAUUGGGUCAUCAUUAACCUUAAUGACUAUAGCACAUUCAGGACUGUUAACCCAGCACAGAAUGGCCUUGGAAGUGACAGAUGGACUAAACAAAAGGGAUGCAAAGGGCUAGAAAGUCAUGAAUAAACCAUAGGAAGCAGAUGACUGACUACAGAAAAACGAUAAGAAGCUGUUACCUCCCAAAUAUCAUUGCAGUAAGUGCAGUCGUGCCAGAAGAACGGCCUGACUCAAGGGAGCAUGACUUUUCAAAUGCAGCAUCAAUCUCAAUGAAUGAUCUUGUAACCACUUUCUCAAGUUUUACAGGGAAAUCGGCAUCCUCAACAAUGACUCUUGGUAAAUGCUCGCGUACAAAAUGUGCUGCAGUCUUUCCUCCAUGCCCAUCAAAUACCUGUUUUCCAAAGUAUAUUUAAUUCUUAAAAUAAGAAAGAAAAAAUUCCACUUCCAAUUGCUUGUUGGCUUUGUUUUUCUAAACUAUUCAUGCAAUGCAAUUACAUCUUAUCUGUUUCCAGAUGAGCAAAGUUCAAAUGAGAGAGCUAUUCUUGGUGUCAGAUGAGCACAGGUUUCUAGGAUGCUGAUUGAAAACAUGGAAGUUUCAGAUUUUCAAGUUUAAAGUGAUGCUCAGAUUUAUUUAAAGUGGUAAGCUCCGAUUCAAUUUUAGAUUAAUACUUUCUAGAACCUUCACACUUGCUAUCAUAAUCAUAAGUGAUAUGUUCAAAGAGAGAUACUACAGUCUUCCAUCAAGGUACACUAUGGUGUAGUUAAUCUCAUAAGCGAAAGAAGCCUAUAUCCUAAAAUAUUGCUACCCGAUGAACUAGAAGACCAAAAGCUAUGAUUUUUCCAUAAGGGAACAGAAAGCACAAGUAAAAAUACAGUAUUGAUUAGAACCAAAACAGCACAAAAACAUAAAAUUCAUUAGCAGCUGAAAUAGCAGAUGAACAACAGAACAGGAAAAUAACUUACACCAUAGAAAGAAAUAGCAUGCUCGCUUAGUAAACUGUAACCAAACUUCUUAGCCAAGUCACUAAUGCAAAUGUGCGUAUCUUCCAUAUAAGGCCGACCACCAAUAUCAGACCACUCUCCUGAGCGAAGGGUGGGAAAAAAAUCUGUUAACAGAUUCUGUUUCCUUUCUGUGACCACUCUAUCCUCACAAAUGCUUUCCAACUGAAUGAACCACCACAAACAAAAAAAACUAAAAAUGAGAUAGCAGAAGAACAAAUAGUGAUAAAGAAUAAUAUUCCAUCAGAGGGUAUAGCAACAAUGAUAUGUGUAUCUGGCCAAUAUAAGUAUGCACUAUUGCAAACUAACAGUGAAGGGAAAAAUAAAUGGAUAAGAACCAAGUACAAAGGCAAUAACAAAAAUGAGAUUAUAGACAUAGAAAGGUAUUAAAUGAUUGAUAAUUAAGAAUAUAGAAGGGUUCCUGCAUACAGUUUACAAGAUAUUAUAUAAAUAAAAGUUAAAUCAGGGUUACUAUGACAAAUUGACAACCAUUACUGCUCUUUAAUCAAUACCGAAGUCACUGGAGAAAAUCUCUCUCUCUCUCUCUCUCACACACACACACUAUCUAUCCAUCUAUUUCUCCAUGACAACCAUGAGUCCAAGAAGAACAGCGACUAAGUCAAGGGAAUAUAAUUGAAGUUAAUUAUUUACCACAGAAAGCAACACCACCAUGUUGGUGGUGUGCAAAAAGGUAAAUUAAUACAAAAGAAAAGUCAUAAUACUGUAGCUACCAAAUUGAAGUACCAAACAAUAAAUUAUUCAAGGCAGAGAUAUUAAGCUAGGAAAAAAAAAGUUACAGCCACUUAUCUCCAAUGCCCACCAAAUACAUGAACCAGCAACAAUUUCAUAAUUACACAACCAGCUAAAAGUCUGAAACUUUUUAGAGUAAGGAAAAAGAAAUCAGAAAGCAAUUAUGGAUCAUCAAUAACUUCAUAAGUUUCAGAAAAAGAAAACAAUAUGGAAAAAGAAAUUAUGGAAAAAGAAAUCAGAAAGCAAUUAUGGAUCAUCAAUAACUUCAUAAGUUUCAGAAAAAGAAAACAAUACAAGUUCCUCAACAAACAUCAAUUUAAACAAAGCAGUAAUGAACAGAAAGCAAUAAACUCAAUUCUAACAACGACGACGACGACGACAAAAAGAAGCAAAAUUCAGAACACAAAUAUGGGCAAACAAAAAAAGAAAAGACCCAACUUGGGAAACCAAUGAAAUUUGAGAAAGAAAAGAAAUAUUACAGGAUAAGAGUUGGCAACACUGAUCCCACCACUAGAACUAAUCAAAGAAGAGUCUUGAUCAAAAUUCUCCAUCUGGGUUUGCAAGAGGUCACCAUGCAAAGGCAAAGAUUGCAUCUUGUUGCUAUUGCUGUUAUUACAACUACUAUUAUUGUCAAUUGGGUUCUACAUUUCUUGCUUUGCAUCCUUUACACACAUGGUUGUUGUCAAUAUUAUUAUUGUUAUUAUGUUGGUGACAGAAAAAAGAAAACAAGAAGACUUAUUUAAGUCUUUAGCAACUAGUUGUUGUCUUUGUAGGAAUCCAAAGAAGCAACAACACGAGCCAAAAAAAAAACACAGAGGAAGACACAAGGAGAGAGAGAAUCAAAGAGAAAAACUUGGAAUACAGAGAGGGGGGGUGGAAGAUUCUGUGGAAUAUCUCUAUCGUGAUGAUGGUGAAAAUAAAAUGAAGGACUAGUUGAUGCCUUGGUGGAGGGAGGGUGAGAGAAAGAGAGUAUAAAUAAGAGCUGUUAAAUUCCAGAUUUUUCUAAGAAAGAGUGGCUGAAAAUCAGUUGGUUAAGCUGUUCUUGUUUUUGUUGUUCUUAUGGGCAUGCUGGAUGCAUAAAAUAAAUCGUACAGUUUUGGGUAUUGUGAUGUUUUUUUAUAAAAAAAAAUAUAUUAAAAUAUUAGAAAAUAAAAAAACAAAAAAAAAUAUUUUUUUAAGCACGGCCACACCGCUAAGCUUUUAAUUGCUAAAAGGACUUUGAUGUUGCUAUAUAUUAUGGCAUAAUUGCUAAUAUUGUCAAAGCUUGAAUGAGUUGUUGAUAAAUUAAGAUCAUGGUAUUUUAUAAUAUUAAUAUGAGGAGUUGGUCAAAUAUAUAUCAUUUUUAUUCCUUGGAGUGUAGACUUUAGAAUAAAAUUUUAAUUUAUUUUCAAGUUUCAACAACCUAAUUUGUUUUUAAUCCAUGAUGAUCGAUAUUUUAAAUUAAGAUCAUGGUAUUUUAUAAUAUUAAUAUGGCCUUUGUGUACGAGGGAUUUGGUAGGGAGAAUUUCUAGGUAAAGUUUACUGAACAAGAAAAAGAUUUUGCCUUUGUGACAUGAAUUCAUCUGGGUUCUGGAAUUGUGAUGGAAAUCCAAUAAUUCAAUGUGCCUCCGAAGUUCAGCAUUGGAUAAAUGAUGGCCCGAAUCAUUUGAAAUGAAAUCCCAUUUCAUUUCUCGAAAGUUCAUGGAACCAUAAUAUUUGGUAAUUUUUUUUUUGACAUUGCAAUAAUGUUUACUCUUCAAAUUAUUUUUUAUUUAAAAAAAUAGUAAAUUAAUAUUUAUUUACAUAUUUUUCAAUGAUUUUAAUAUGAUACUAUUAAAAAUAAAAGAAAUUAUAAAAAAUAUUAUUUUAAUAUAUUUUUAUUUAAAAAAUAUUUUUUAAAAACACAAUGCACCACGUUAUUAAACACACUCAAAAUAAAAAUUAACUUUUUUUAAUGCAUAAAUAAUUUUUUUUUUAGUUGUGAUAGUUCACAAAUUAUUUUUGAAAAAAGUUACUCUAAUCAUGAUAUAAUUUAGUUGUUUUUAAACUUAUUCUUCGUGUUUUUUAAAAUUACAGUUUAUAUUCUUGAUAAGUAUAAAAUAAACUAAAUUAUAUUGCGCAACAAGGUUUAAGAUAUAAAUUAUAAUUUUUUAAAAUACAGAAAAUAAAUAUAAAAAUGACUAAACUAUAUAAACUAAUCAAGCUAAUUUCUCUUAUUUUUAACUAUUGUGCUGUUUUUUUUAUAUAAAAAAAAUAGAAGAAAAAAACCCCUUCGAUCACCUGUUGAAAGCAUCCAUCAAGAUGAUGCAAUGGGACAAUUUCACCCUUAUAUAACAUGGAAAUAGACUCUUGUGGGAUUUACUUGCAUCAUUCCCAGUCAGACUGAAAAGACCAUCAUUAUUCAUUCUUAAGAGCUACAUAAAGGUUGUUAAUGAUUGCAGCGAAGCUACUAAAUGUUUUAUGGUCAAAUAUCAAGAGAUCUGAACAUUUUCACCCCCUUCACAUGUCAAUUCUCCAUGCCUAAUGGGGCUUGGUUUAUUCAUUCAAUUGCUAGAAAGAACAGAGAAUGAGAUGCCAGGAGAAUUGGUUUUCAUUGGUUAGUGUGUGAGCUAAAAGAUACUUGAUAAAUCGUGGGACGAUGAUGGAAGACAAUGACUUCGGAUUUAUUUCCCUUUUGCUUUCUACAAAAGGUAGUGGUGGCUCGCACCGUUUUCUCUUCUAUAAAAUAUAUCUUUUUCGAAGCUAAAAGGGCCCUUGCAAUCAAUGCCAAGAGAGUUCACAUCCUAAGGCUACCUUGCUCGUCUUUCUUUGCAGUAUAAAAAUCUUUCUUUCAAGGGAAAUGCAGUCCCAAUUCUUCCCAUCAAGGAAAGUAUCAAGAUGUUGUCUAAAAAGAAUGCAAGAGGGAUCGCUCCUUUUGUGUGGUUUGGAAUUGAGCAUUACCAAAAAAGUUAGGUUAUUAUAAUCAUAAACCUUUUCUCGCACUUUACACUGGUCAAAGACACAAGAUAAAUAAAUAAAUAAAUAAAUAAAAUGAAGCCGCUUUCAUUAGUCUUAUGAUUUUGUUGACGAAGGAAUCAUCUUGGUUGCUUCGUAUAUGACCUAGGAGGGUCUUAGCCUUCAACAUGAUCCAUUCAACGAUGAAUUAGUGUUUUUAGCAUAAGCAUUUGGCAUCUUCUCCCUUUCAAAUCCACAAAUUUGUUUGCUCUAAAGAUAUGCCUUACAAGUUUGAAAGCAAUAAAUUAAGCCUUUAAAAAAAAAUAAAAAAGUGAUGGUCCAAUUAAGACCAACCCAUCAAGCCAUGUGGAUCCAGAUAGCACAGUCCCGUAAUCCUUCCACUGCCAAGAGCGGGAGGUAUUCGCUGCUCUGUGAAACCAGCCUCACGCUGUGCCCUCCACUCUAGGAGUCAUGACACCCCAGUUUACAGGAGGAUGCCAUGGCUCAACUCAUGGCUUGGAACGGGCAGGCCAGAUUCGAGCCCCACCGAACUCAGUUAUCUAAGCUAAGGCAACGUUCCAUCACAUCAAAGCUCCCACUUGGGUCACAAGCCCACGUUACUGAGCUCAGCAGAUCUGCUAUGGGGAUGAACGAGUGUUGUAAAGUAGUGGUAUGUUUUCUUUUCUUUCAAUGUGGGAUUUCAUUCACACCUCAAUCAGGUGGUUUAUGGGGGGAAUCUGUCAAAGAAAACACUGCACUGAAAAUAAAAACGAAUAAGAUAUUGAACCCAAAUCGCAUUGAAAAUAAAAACGAAUAAGAUAUUGAACCCAAAUCGCAUUGAUUGUGACAAGCAUUGUGCUGGGGGGGUUAUUAGACAUUGGAGAGGAUGUGGAGUGUCAAGUUCGUGGCUCUAAUCAAAGACAAACAAUGGACCAUGGUUACGUCAACUUUAGAUGAAGAGAAAGUAGAAGGGCCUAGAUGGAUGGAAUGUGGUUCAAUUAUAUUUUUAAAAAAUUUUGAUUUUUUUUAUUUUAAUUUAAUUUUUUUUGGAUGUUUUUGAACCGUUCUGAUUUACUAAAAUUAAAAAUAAAUUUUAAAAAAUAAAAAUAUUUUAAUUUAUUUUCAAACAAAAACAUUUUAAAAAAUAACUUCUACGAUCUCGUAGAAUAAUUGCAUGCUAAUCUCAAAAUAAAGCAAGAAUCUUGUGAGGUCACGGGAUAGGAAUUCAUUCUAUAAGCAAGGUAUGGAUGGCUAGAAACACACAGGAUGGAUGGAUUUUAAGCCCUCUGUGCUACAAAUGAGAUUCCACUCUUUCUGCGAGAAAAUGCCAAUACUCUAAAGUAAAUAAGAGAUAAACUUCGUUAAGAUCUAGAAAAACCUUAAUUCCUUCUAAGAUAAUCAUAAAGCAUGUCUGGACGCUAUGGAGGCCCUCUCUGUUUACGGUCAAAGACAAAAAAAAUGAAGCCAUUUUCAUUAGAUUAUGAUUUGAUUGACAAAGGAAUCUCUUUUGCUUGACUGGUACGUGUCCGAUCUCAGCGGCAGUCCAUUUUCUUCCACUGGCACCUGUUACGUCAUUGCACUAGCAUUUGGCAACUUGUUGUGUCUUUUAAACCUUUAUCAAACCCGGCUCGGGAUUGAACCGGUCAAAGAAUUGAGCUCUAGUUAUACAGGUUGAUUUAAAUAAACCUAAAUCAACUUGAAAAAAUUAAAAAAUAAUAUAUGUUAUUCAUGUUAUAAAUAAUUAGAUUUUAAAAAAUAUUUUAAAAUGUUUUCUAAUCCACGUAAAAAAAAACAUAAUUUUUUUAUUGUGAGCAUUGAAUAUAUAAAGAGCUUCAAAUAUAAAAAUAAAACAUAUUUUUAUUAUUUUAUAUUUAUAUAAUGAACUUUAAAUUAAUAAUUAACUGAAAAAAACAUAAAAAAAAGAAUUUUUGAUAGGAUGAAAACUACAUUUGAACAAAAAAAAAAAAAAAAUAUCUACCAAAUUUUAACGGAUCACCUAAAUUCCAGGUUGAUUCAACCAGUCAAAUAAUUUUCUCCAGGCUAACCCAAGAUUCAUGACUCUGUCGAAGAUUCGUAAAACAAAAAAGAAACGAUUACAAAUUAAAAAAAGUGACGGUCCAAUUAGACCAGCUCUUCAAGCCAUGCAGAUCCAGUUGGCACCGGCCCGUAAUCCUUCCACUGCCAGGAGCGGGAGGUGAUCGCUGCUCUGUGAGACCAGCCUCACGCUGUGCCCUCCCCUCUAGGAGCCAGAACACCCAGGUCUUCACUAGGAUGCCUUGGCUCAACUCCUGGCUUGGAACGGGCGGGUCAGAUAAGAGACAGCCUGAACCCGACCUUACGUGCAUAGUCCACGUCCCAUCACUUUAAAGCCCCCACUCAGGUUACAAGCCCGCGUUACCGAGCUCAGCUGGUAAGCAUGUGUCAGGAUUAGGUAUAUAACAUUCAUAUAUUUUUCCUUUCUUUCCGAUGUGGGAUGUUCCUCUCUUACGUGUUCAUUAGGGAAAAAGCUUUGAAUGAGCAAAAAUCUCGGGGCAUAAAAGGUAAUAGAUUCAGGAAGGAGAGGAUUCUCCACUUUCUGGAGAAUCUUGCACUAGGUAAACAACAAGAGAAAUUACAUCAUGAACAAUAACUCACGUUCAUGUGUUACCAAACAGCUUGUAGCUUCAAAUCGCAGGAAACGUGGACGCCACCACGUUGCCAAACGGACUCUAAGUCAAUGCAUACUUUUUUUUUUUUUUCAACGUUGGACAAGUAGAAGUGGUGAAAGGGUUGCAUAAAAUUGAAAGAUGAUUGAUUAAUGAAUCAAUGGCAGCAAAAGUUAAGAUCAUGAACCUUGAUGGCUGUAGAACCAUUGCUUUGAAAACAACUCUUUAAUGUAUAUCUUCGACAAUCAUGAUUUAAUUAAAAACAUGAAAAUGAAGAGAAAAAAAGAAUCUCGUUGUCCAUUUGCUGUCAAACUAUGCUGUUCGAAACUCCAGGAGUAGCCUCUUACAUAAGAGAUAACCCUAAAACCAAUAUGGCUGUAACACCAGCAUAAACAGAAAAAAUGGAAGUUAAACCUCACAUUCCUGUGAAGGCCUUCUUCCCACUACAUGGAAAUAUACUACAAAUGAAAUUCCACUAUUUCUGCAAGAAAAUGCCAGUAUUUUAAAGUAAAUAAGAGAGAAACUUUGUUUAGAUCUAGAAAAACCUUAAUUUUCCUAUUAUUAACUAGAACUAAAUAGUGUGGUGUUUUUACUAUGCCCUGCCUCAAUUGUUCAUCCUCUUAUAUUUUACUGUAGAUAGACUAUGUAAAAUUUUAUAUUUUUUUUUUGUACUCGAAUUGUUUUUGGGCAAUUUAGUCUUAAUUAAAAAACAAUUGAUUUUAAAUUCUUAUGAAAAGAUGGGGUUGGAAGAGGGGAGAAUAAAAUGAAAAACACGGCAAACAUGAGUGACGAGCUAUAAGUUUCCAAUUCUAUUUUGGUACAAAAAAAUUAUUUUUGUUAUUUUUUCAUAUUUUUAUUAUUUUAAUUAAUGCUUCUUUUUUAAAAAAAAAAAAAAACUUAAUUAUUUGUACAUUGAUACUCCUCUUUUUUAUUAUGUUUAGAAAGCCUCUUUUAGAUGAAGGUGAUUUUUAGUUAUGUGUUUAAUUUUUGAAAAUAUUUUUCUAAUUCAUCUAUGAUAUAUAUUUUUUUAUCUUUUUUAUAGAUGAACUAUAUUUUUAAAAAUAAAAAAUAUUAAUUUUCAGAUGAUAUUUUCAAUAUGUGUAGCCUUGUAUAUUAUUCAUGUUCUCCUUUUAUUUUAUUCAAUCAAUUUAAUAUGUUUGUCUAUUUUUAUUAUCAUUUGAUUAAAUAAAAAAUAUUUUAAUAAAUAAAAAUUAGCAAACAUGAUCGGGUUGAAGUCCCGUUUUACGAGAUUAAAUAUCUUAAUCUAAAUCUGCUACGAUUUUUCUAGUUUUAUGUUUAGAUGUUGUUAAUUAUUAUUUAUUAGAGUACAUAGUUUUCAAUUUAUUUAAUUAUAUCCGUGAAUAAAUUUUUUGAAUUGCAUAUACAUUUUUUUAUUUAUAAAAAUACAUAGAGAAACUUGUAUAUAAAAAAUAAAAAUAUUUAUUCAUGGACAAGUACAAGUUACAUAACUAGUGAUAAUCAUAAAACAUGUCAUGAUGCCAUGGUGGCACUCACUGUAUAUGGUCAAAGACAAAAAAAUGAAGCCAUUUUCAUUAGAUUAUGAUUUGAUUGACAAAGGAAUCUUUUUUGGCUGACUGGUACUAUCUCAGGCAGCAGUCCAUUUUCUUCCACCUUCCACUGAGUCACUGACAGCUGAUGUGCCAUGCUCAUUUCGGGUAGUUGGUAUAAAAACAAAAAUCAAAAACUUAAUCGAACCGCUAUGCCAAAUGGACUCUGAACCAUGAAUUGGGUCACCUGUUACGUCAUUGCUAGUUUUAAACCGCUAUGUUGAACAUAUAAACAAAAAAAAUGAUAAAAGUGAUGGUUCAAUUAGAUCAGCCCAUCAGGCCAUGCGGAUCCAGGUGGCACCGGCCCGUAAUCCUUCCACUGCCAGGAGCGGGAAGUGAUCGCUGCUCUGUGAGACCAGCCUCACGCUGUGCCCUCCCCUCUAGGAGCCACGACACCCAGGUCUUCACUAGGAUGCCUUGGCUCAACUCCUGGCUUGGAACGGGCGGGCCAGAUAAGAAACAGCCUGAACCCGACCUUACGUGCAUAGUCCACGUCCCAUCACUUUAAAGCCCCCACUCGGGUUACAAGCCCGCGUUACCGAGCUCAGCUGGUAAGCGUGUGUCAGGGUUAGUUUUAUAAAGUUCAAAUAUUGUUCCUUUCUUUCCGAUGUGGGAUGUCCCUCUCUUACGUGUUCCUUAGGGGAGCUUGAAUGAGCAAAAUCUUGGCAUAAAAAGUAACAGAUUAAGGAAGGAGAGGAUUCUCCACUUUCGAUGGAGAAUCUUGCACUGUUGCACCAGGUAAACAAGAAGAGAAAUUACAUCAUGAAAUCACUACCCAAGUCAAGGCAUACUUUUUUUUUUUUUCUUUUCAACGUUGGACAAGUAGAAGUGGUGAAAGGGUUGCAUAAAAUUGAAAGAUGAUUGAUUAAUGAAUCAAUGGCAGCAAAAGUUAAGAUCAUGAACCUUGAUGGCUGUAGAACCAUUGCUUUAAAACCAACUCAAAAUAGCUCUAGCGAUUUAGGUCAUGUUUGUUUGCUGGAAAAUAAUUUCUUUUUUAAAAUGAAUUUCAGAAAAAUAAAUUAUUUUCUGAUAUUUGGUAAUAUAAUGGAAAAUAAGUUGGAAAACACUUUCUAGUGUUUGAUUAUAUCAUGGAAAAUGAGUUGGAAAAUAACUUAUUAAUGUUUUAUUUUUCUCAAGUUUAUUAAAAUAAUAAGGAACAAAUCUUACAAGUUAAAAAGUUGAAUGAGAAUAAAAUUAAAAAAAAAUAUAAUUUCAUAAAUUAUCUCAAAUAAAAUAAAUAAUAAUCAAAAUAAUAAAGAUCAAAUCUAAAAAAUAAAAAAUAAAAAAACGAAGAAAUUAAAAUAAUAAUAAUUAACAUUUCAUAAAUUAUUUCAAAUAAAAUAAGUAACAAACAAAAGAAUGAGGACCAAAUUUGAUAGAUAAAAAAUUUCAAUAAAAAAAUGAUAAGGAAAAAGCAAAUAAUAAUUAUAAAAAUGAGGAGCAAAGUUAAUAUAAAAAUUAAAUUUUAAGAGAUGAAAUUGAAAAAAAAAUAUUCAAAACAAAUAUAUAUAGCAAUCAAAAGUUUGAGGACCAAAUUUGAUAUAAUCAGUAAAUAAUAUGAUAUUUUUAAAUUUUUCACAACUUCCGGAAAGUGUUUUCCGCCCAAAUUUUUCAGGAAGACACUUUCCUAGAAACCAAUUUUUCUGGAAACCAAGCCAAAGUUUUCUUUGACUGGAAAGUGUUUUCCGUUUACCAACUUUUCUAAUGACAAACAAACACAGGAAAGUUUGGAAAGAGAUUUCCUGAGAAUCACUUUCUGGAAAACAAACACAGUCUUAACUUGUAAUAACAAACAAAAAGUACAAAUCUUGUAAGCACAAAUCUUAACUGCAAACGUAAGAAAGUAACCAUGUCUUUAUCAGAAGUUACACAGGCCAAUCUUUCAAAAAAAAAAAAAAAAAAAAAGGAAGAACACAGAUGAGCAAAAAAAAUUGAUGGUUUUAUUGUUCAAAAAAGGAUAAAAAAUACAGAAUCCUAUCUGUUUGUUGAUGAAAUAGCUAGUCCUCUUCCUGCCAAUUACUGCCCAAGACCAACACCACUCUUUUCUGAAUUCCUCUGAUUUUAGGAUUUUUUCUGGCCUUUAUUUUUCAGACACUAAUCUCCAUAUAUUCCCACUGAAAAUCACAGGCAACAGAGGUGAUGGGCAAUCUAUGUCGCCAAGGAGUUGGAAGAAUUUCAUGAGCCCAAGUUACCGCACCAUUCAAUGCUCACUGUUAUCCAAAUCUUUCAACCAACAGUAGGGACUCCAUCACAAGAGGCUCAACUGUGAAUUCAUUCAAGGGGAAAGAGAUAUUUAUGGCACUUCAAUUACAAAUUCAUUGCUCCCACAAAGAGGUGCACUAUAAGCUAUCCAUAGAGAGAGGUGACGCCCUUUCCCUUUCGUUAACUCUCAAGAUCCUCGCGGCUAGAGUUUUAGGUUUAGGACAAAAAAAAAACUGAGAAUAAUAAUUGUAGAUUAGAUACAGCAACUUCUGCUGUUAAAAAUUGGGAAAAAAAAAUUAUUAGAUGCCAGCAGUGUCUACUAUCUAGACACCAUCAAAUGAUCGUCACCAUCAAAAGCUCUAUAAAAAGAGAAUUGCAAGACAACAGGACACCCUUGCAUGUGCCUGAGCAGUCUUUCAUCACCUGCCAUGUAAUAUGCACCUUGCUAAAAUCUUCGAUUUACUCAAUAACUCGUGCGGAUGAAGCAACAAAUUCCAAUGCUAUUGAUAAACAGUAGCAGUGGUAUCUUCGACAAUCAUCAUUUAAUUAAAAACAUGAAAAUGAGGGGAAAAAAAAGAAUCUCAUUGUCCAUUUGCUGUCAAACUAUGCUGUUCAAAACUCCAGGAGUUGCCUCUUACAUAAGAUAUAACCCUAAACCAAUAUGGCUGUAACACCAGCAUGAACAAAAAAAAUGGAAGUUCAACCUCACAUUCCUGUGAAGGCCUUCUUCCCACCAGCAGCAGAACCAGCUGGAAUCACUUUCAAUACAUUAAAUCUAACAGUCUUGGACAGUGGCCUGAAAUGGUAAGAGGCAAAUAUUAUGAAUUGAAGGCCAAUUGCAUAUACAAUAACAGCUAAAUCACAUUCAAGAUAAAUGAUAUAAAAUAAAACUUUGGGUGGUCAAAAUUUAACCUGCAUUGUCCGAUGAUGACAUGAUCGCCUUCCCUCACACGGAAGCAUGGGGAUACGUGUGCUGGAAUAUUUGAAUGCCUCUUCUCAUAUCUAUGGGGAAAAAAUAAUAUUUAAAUUAUAAUGGUGUGAUAAUAUGCACUGAAAAACACCAGAACUAAAAUUGGACUAGACCUUUGGUAUUUCUUGACCCAGUGAAGAUAGUUCCGCCGAACAAUAAUUGUCCUCACCAUCUUGGCACUAUGACAAGUUCCAGCUAAGAUACGACCUCGAAUAGAAACAGUGCCGGUGAAGGGGCAUUUUUUAUCAAUAUAAGUUCCUGUCAGAAGUAAACAUAUGGGAGUACAACGUCAGCAAAUUUCACAUUCUACAAAAAUAUCAUGUGAAGGAGAAAUUACAUGAAAGAGGCACAUAUGAAUCAAGUUGCAAACGAAGAACUUGGCAUAAAAAACAUGGAUAGAAACACAAGCAUGGAGACAUAUCAACAGCAUUUAAAGAGAUCGUGUCCAUGGCACUCGACAUGUGUGAUUAUUUAAUAACUAUUUAAAUUCCAUAUCAUCAUCGACAAGGUUCUAAUUCCUCCAUAUCACACAUUGAUUUGUAACAAAGCAAGUUAAUACAUAAACGAAAUAUAUUAGUAUUUACAACCCUAUGAUCAUAGAACAUAUCUUGGUUACUUGACUCCAUUAUCCAUUAAAAUCAGUGCAUUCAACUAGAAUAAAAUAUACAAAGCUCAAUAAAAUUACAAACAUGAAAGCAUCAUAAGAAUGACACAACUAUAAAAGACAAACCUUCAGUGGCUUCUCUGGGAGUCUUGAAACUCAAUCCAAUACUCUUCCAGAAUCUGUUUCCACCUUUUCCAGGCCUCUUUCCUUUCCCAGAUUUCUUUGAACUGCCAAAAAAACACAAACAAAUCAAAAAACACAAAACAGCAAAAACCCACAUCAAAUAAAAAGACCCCAAAACAGAAAGUUCGCCUCUUUUGCUGUUCUAAUACAUUACCUGAGAAACACUUUGGGUUGUUUCAAAAAUGCCUUUUCAGUCUGCAACACAGAAAUAAAGAAACCAUAAUGAGAGCUCAUAAUAAGAUCUAAGACUAAACGUGUUUGGAGUAGAAGCAGUGAAUAGCAAGAGAGUGUGUUGCGAGAACCUGCUCAGCCAUGAUUUACAGCUGUUUGUGUUCUCUACAAGGACCUGAAACAGCAGGAGGCAAAAGAUACAAAAGAGAGAGAGCCUCUUGCUGAAAUGAGCAAGCUUUAAACCCUAUUUUGCUCGCUGAUAUGUAGUAAUAAUUUUUUGUUAAAUAAAUGGGCCUUGGUGGUCCUUUUCAAUACAGAGUUUGGUAAGAUACUAAUAUAUCUUACCGGAUAUUUUUUAAAAAUAUAAAAAGAUAUUAAAAUUACAGAGAAUUUUUUAAUAAUAUUUUUAAAUUUGAUUCAAUUUUAAAAUUUUCUGAUUUAAUUUUUUAUCUAAUUCGAGUUUUUGAAUUUUAAAUUAAAUCAUAUAAGACCUAACUCAACUUAAAUCGAUUAAUUUUAUAGGUUCAAAUACAACGUUGAUGAUCGGUAAAAUCAUGACUUUGCUUUUAAAAAAACUUGAAGAUGAUAACUUUGAAAAAAAAAAUUAAGAUAAUAACGGAUUGAAUUGACUUCGAUCUCCCCGCGAUACAGGUCAUGGACUCUACUGGGUUCAAUUACUUUUUUAUACACUAUUUUUAUUUAAUUAUAUGAUAAAAAUAAAUACUCAUAAAAUUGAGAUCCAACCUAAAAAUAUACAUUUGAGAUAGUUAUCCCUAUAAAAAGCAAACAAAAAUCAAUUAUAGAUUCUAUUUCCUAACCAAUCCAAUAUUGAUAGAUGCAAUAGAAAAAAUAAUUAAAAAUAAUUAAAAGACAAAAAAAAAUCCAACCGAUGGGUAAACUCGUCAAACAUGUGAAUCGGGUAACCCGGGCUAGUAUACCAAACUUGUGAAUCAGGUAAUGGACUCCACUAACAUUAUAAUUUUUUUUAAAAAAGUAUUUUUUUAUGUAACUAUAUAACAAUAAAAAUAGACGAUUGUGAAAUCAAAUACCAUCACAAUACCAAGAUGUUUUUUUAAGACUGUGAUAACAUCAAAAAAGACAAAAUAAAACCAAUCAUGAAACUGAAUCCUCAAUCAACCCAAAAUCUCAGGUGAAAUAAAAAAAAACUAAUUAAAAAAAAAUUGAACUUGUCAUACCUACUAACCAGCACAAACUCACACUACAUUGUGUUUAAUUUUUUAUCAAAUAGAAUUGAGGUAGUGAAAUUUAAACUUGAAACCACUUGAUUAAUAAAGCUCUGAUACCAUGUCGAAUAACCAUCUUAACCUAAAAACUUAAACUGUUAAAUGAUAUUCAAAUAUAUAAUUUUAUAUUAUUCUCUAACACAAUGAGUGUGGAUGAACAGUGGUUUCCCCACGUCUUUUAAUUUUUAUUUGUUUAUAAAGUUUAAUAACAUGAUUUUCUCCGAAACUAGAACAACCUGAGUUACUUUGACAAACAUGUAAACUACGCUAAUCUCAUAGGAAAACAAAAUAAUAAUAAAAUAAAUUACGAAGCUAAAUUCUUAACUUUUUUAAUAUUAAAAAAUAAAAUCAACAAAAAUAAUUUUUAAAAAAAUCAUAACAAAAAAAAAAAAAAAAGGAAGAGUGGUAAAGCAUCUCUAUAUAUUUUUUUUACUUCAACUAAAAUUUUUUAUAUUUUUUUUAUAUUUUUAUAUCGUUUUGAAAACUAAGAUAAAAAAUAAACUUUUAAAAAAUAAAAAAUAUAUAAUUUCUUAAUAAAACAACAAAAUCCCUUGAACUUGGGAAGAAAAUAGUAAAGGAAACAAUCUUCAAUUUUAGGAUAAUGUCAUGUUAGUGAUUUGGAUUGUAUUUAAACACAAAUACUAAUAUUAGCAUAAACCAUGUUCAAAUAUAAUGAAAGGAUUUGACAAUUGAUACCCAUCUUUGACGUCCCUUGUCUUUGGUUCUCCUCCCGGAUGCAAGAUCAUCAAACCUUGCAUUCUAACAAGACACUUACAAAACCUGGUAGCUAAACUAGUUUUUUACAUGUUACCAUCAUGGCAACAUAUUCCAAGUCCACCGUCUGGUGAAAGCAUCCACCGGAAAUUUUAACUUCUAGCUUUCCCUCUAGAUCCUGAGCAAGAAACAACACAUGGAAUAUGAAAAUAACAAUGAUAAUACAUGCACAGCCCCUACUCUCUCCCCCUUGAAAGCCAUCCACAAAGCUCACAUGAAUGUCCAUAAACGCACAUGGAUGCAAAGGGAAGAAAUAUAGUAAUAUAAACUGAUUGCGCUGAAUAAUUACUUUCUGAAUAGUAAUGUCAUAUCAAACCUUCCCAGCAAUCACAUACCAGGGCAAACGAGUAAAAACCAAACAUAUGGUGAUGAAGUAUUGAAAAAUAGUUGAAGCUAAUUUGCCUAAUAGGACUCCGAAGUAUACAAAGCCGUAAUGUUACAGUAUGGAAACCAAGCAUUUCAUCUCAACUCAUUGCCUAUUAACUUGAGAAAAUGACCAACCAUCAUUGACAUGUUACACUAAAUUGAAAAGAUAAGACCAACCGCCAUUAACCUAUAGAAGAAACACAUGAUUCUUUAGCUGUCUGAGAUCAUAAUCACAAGUUCAGCUCUUGAAUCCUUUGUCCACAGAUAAAUCACUCAGUCUGCACCAGCAAAUAAGAUCAAUAAAAUAUAUAAUAAUAAAGUUUCCAGAAUGAAAAAUGUAAAUUUAAUUCCAUCAUUUUGAUUUCAGUAAUGACUAAAGAAAAACUUUAAGAAUGGUGAAAUUCUCAGCAGAAUAUUUGCCAUAUAUUGAACAACACAGAGAUCCUGUUAUAAUAAGCCAAAUGCUUAGGUAGUGAUAGACAAAGCAUUGGCAGAAACUUUUCCACAAUGCUUAACGUUGCAUACUUAUUUAUUAUAUAUAGAUCUUGUGCAACAAAUUCUACCCAUCCUCUGAGGCUGCUUGGAGCUUUCAAAAAAUAUAACAAAUUCUACUCAUUUUUAUCACAUACUGGAUGACAUUGUACAAAAAUACUUGAUAUUCUAGGAAUGCAACAAAGGGAAACAGAACAAUAACCAGAGACUCAUAUAACAGAUUGUUACCGAAUUGUCUCUAAAUUCAUUGAAUUCAUCAAGGCUAAUCUAUACUCAUUGUAUAAUAACUUCUUACUGCAUCUCAAAAACUUAUAUUUACUGUUAAUUUUAAUACAGCUGAAGGAUGAGAUGGCUGCACAGAAAAGAAAAGAAAUGAAAUUCCUUAAACAUGCCAGACCUUUUGGCGUUUUGAAUUUGGAGGGCUUGGUUCCGUAUCAUGGCCACGAGAUGUUCCAAUGCCAGAGUUUUCAGCCUGCAAAUAUGCCACCGGUUAGUCUUGUAGUUCUGAUGUUUUUAUGCACACAUCAAUUUAGCUUGACAUAUUUACAACAUCAUGCCAACACCUUCAAGAUUCAUUUGAUUGGGUGAAGCAAGAAAUCCAGAAUAGUAAGGGACAUGAGAUAAGUAUCCAUUGAAAGAUAACUGAAAAUGCUACAUACAUGGGUUGAAGAAUCUCGAGGCCUCUGAUUCCCAGAGUUCUGUGCUUCUCCAGGAGGUAUGGCACUGGGUUCUGCACCUCCACUUUGAGAUAUGAGGGGCAUGAUCUCACGAAGCAAAUUAGACAGAAAUAUCCCCUCAUCAGUAGCUCUUGGUUCUGCUUCUGCAGUAGCAGUAGAUUGCCCUGCAGUCUCAGGGACAGAACUAGUAGUUGUUCCUCGUAAGCUGGCAUCCUCCAUAUGGAUAUCACCAGGUAAGAUGGUCCUCAGAAGCUGCAAAAUAUUGUCGGGGAUAUGUCGUUCAGAAUCCUGGUUGUUUUGGGCCCCACUAGCUGACAGAAUGUUGAUACUUAUACUGCGAGAAAUAGAAGGCUCUUGUCUCAAGUUUGGUGGCAAUGAUCCUGGAAGAACAGCAAGGUUGGUCAACUAGUAUAGAACAGCUGAUUAAGCUCAUAUCUUCUCAUACAGUCAUAUCAUCAACUCCUAAAGCAAGAUACAGCGAGCAACCAUCAAAACUUUGACUACUAUACACAACAUUAACUUCAAUUGAAUUUCUACAUGAUAUUGUGAACUGAAAAAAACCGAUUUCUUGCAAGCCUGUAACGAUAUGUUCUCAAAGGUCCCCAAUCAAAUCUUUAGGAAAUAAACAUAUGGAAGAAAACUCAGGACACUUUUAAAAAAGGAGAAUACAACACAAACAUUAUUUUCCUUAUUUUUUAGGGUGAGGAUGGGGUGCUCUUAUUGACUGGUGCUAGGAAGAAUCCACUUCAGCAUCCUAAAGGAAAGCCUUUCAUCAUGUACUUAAAUGGUACAAUAACAAUAAAUACAACUCAGAAAACAGCAUUGAGAAAUUGGCUGCAUGGCAGGUAAGUUUUGCUGCAAAUUGGAAUCCAUAUGCGUGGAUCAGAAUAAUCAAAGAAGGGUGUGUAUGUGUUAUAGUAGUAAGCAUGAUACUUUUACUAUGAAAUUUUAAGAAAGAAAGAUAUAUGUGGAAUGUUCAAAAAUAGCAAUAUAUGUGGAAAUCGCCCUUCCUCCCUCGUUCAUGCAGGAUUGAAAUGAUUAUUGAAGACUCAAAAGAAUGUAGGGGAAAAACAAAUAACACAAAAAAGCAUAAGCCAUAGGGGACUGGCAAAUAUAUCAACCACCAUUAACAGCAGCACAAGUAAAGCCACUGAUUGACACGCAUGUAUUCAUGAGUAAGAUGAACCAAAACAUCCCCUUUCAAGCCUCCUGAGCUUGCACUGGAAAAGAUGUCCACAACUACAAACUUAAGACUUUUCCAUGAGCCAAGUAAUCCUCAAAACUUCAUUGAACUGCAGUAUUGUCACAUUACCAUCUCUUGUGCGUUGUUCAAAGUUUUGCUGCUGCAAAGCAGGUUCAGGAGUUGGCAGCUGCUCAGUUUGGACCUCAGCAGUGUGAUAUUCACCAGAUGCUUGAGAUCCCCGCCCACUAUUCCCAUGCCCAGAAGCUACAUUUUGAAAUCGUCCAAGAAGAGGAUAGUAUAGACCUAUAGAAUUACCAGAUGAAUCAGAAGGAAGGCGGCCAAAUGUGCCAGGAACAGCUGCAACCACCGUUCUAAGAGGCACCACUCGUACAGGCUCUCCAGCAAAAGAUGAACCCUCUGAGAGCCUUGAACUUGUUUGACUACUAGGAUUUUCACCACCAGAACUGGUUGGUGGGUUUCUCUGCCCAGCAGUUUGCUGUGUCUGACCAUGUUCCUCACGAUUAUUGUUGGGGGUAGCUGUCGAUGAACCUUGGGUAAAAUAAGAAUAGUUGUAAGUAGAUUCACACAUCAGAAAUACCAUACAUAUUAAUUAUUCCAGACAUCAAAUUUGAAGAAAACCUCUUCGUAUUUGUAUAUCAAUUCGCCUUGGAAGAAACCCGGUACCGACACCAUUAGUCAGACCAGAUCCAGGCUGCAUGGAUCCUAAAGGGACAGCACCAAAGCUUGUCCCUGGUUGAAAAGGAAGAGGCUGCAUGCAUAGGAGUGAUCAGCAGAGAAACAUAAUUUAAAGAAAAAUGAAAAGAUGAAAAACAAGAGGAAUUUGUAUGGAUGUCUGGAUUAUGACCUGAACCAUGAGAGGAUUAGGACCAGAUUGAUUGAUAAAAACAGCAGGGCCCGCAUUAACCACAGCUUCAGACUGUAAAUAAACAAACCACAAUGACACAUACAGCUCGGGAGAUGUCAAGCAUGAAAGGUUGCCAUAAAUGAGAAAUUGGAGAUAAUCUUACCGGUGCUUGACCUAGUCGUAAUGUCAUGCUUGUACGUCCAAGUUCGAGAAGAAGGGCACCUAAAUUAUGAAGUUGGACUCCAGUUCUCAAUGCACUAGACUGAGUUGCGUGUCGCGCUGCAGUAUCAGUAAUAUGUGCUUGAUUCUCUAGUUGUCUUGCAAGUUGCUGCCAACAUACAGAACAAACAGGGAGGGAGAUCCAAUGCAUUUAAGUUUUAGUUCUGAGAAUAAAUAAAAGAAUGGUAAAUGUUGAAAUAUUUCAAGGUUAAAAACUUAAAAGAAUCAAAUUCUAUUAAAAUUAUAAAAUGUUAAACAAAAAGAAGAAACAUAAUAAAAAGAUGACCACUUCCUAUGGCCGCAAGCAACUAAAUUCACUGGUAAAAAAUGGGAUAUACUGUUGGCUACCCAAAAAAUAAAGCAAGACAAAAGUAAAGAUAAUAGAGAACAUAUGAAGUAGAUAGAAUGCUUUUAAAUAACACACAAGUAAACAUUCUCCAACUUGUUCGGUGAGUAAUUGUCUACUAGACAGCAUCACUUCUGCCAAGGAUGCAGGUGAUGGAAGUCUUUCUUGUCCAGUUCCUGAUAGUGAUGUGGUAUUAGAAUCUAUUUGCUCCAUCCUGAGUGCAGCAUCUGCUUGAGCAAUGUUUUCCCCGCCUCUGCCUGUCAAUGAAGAGAAUUGAAAUCCAAUGGCCAAAUCAGCCCCAUUGAAGCAAAUGAUAUUUAUUAACCAUAGAGAAAUUUGCAAAAUACAGAUACUGACCGAUGGCAUCAAAUUCUCGCCUCAAAUUGCUCAGAUAUUGGGACAGAGUUGUCAGAGAAUCAGGAAUUACCUACAAGUACAAAUAAAAUAUUCCUAAUACUUAAAACUGCAAAAAGAUAUGCAGGCCAAAGAAUCCAUGUUGUAGAAAGAAGGUAGAGGGUGGAGAAGAAGAGGACUCCUAACUUACAGGAGGAUUCAGAGAUCCCAAGGAAACUGCUGUCGGAAGCCCAAAAACAUUCUGUGAUCUGUCAGACUGACCCCUGGUGCCAGUUUGUUCAGAUUGCAGUUGGCUUGCAUCCAUUGUGCCACCAGCAGCUGAUGUUCUUCGCAAACCACGCUCCUUAAAGAUCCAUCCCAGUCACAAAGAGCAAGACCCAAAACAUAAAUGAGCAUUUACAGGUAUGAAAAAGCAUUAAGGUCCAUCUUUCUAAUUUGAUAAAAUAUGAACCAGCUUGAUGUCUCAAAAUGUGUUUCACGUCUAAAGUCAAAUAAAAACUUAAAAUAGACAACUUCCAGAUACAAAAAUACUGGAAAUUUUACUUCGAAGACAAUUUGUUUGUUUGCCUCUGUGAGUAAGAAAAGAGGGAAGAAAUCUCCAUCCUUACCAACAAUAGAUUUUCAAGAGUAUAACAAUAAAGUAAUUAGUUUUAGAGGUUGGAAUUUAAAUAUUUACCACAUCGACCCCUUCACUGACACCUCCGAUAUUUGAAAAUCCAAAAGAUCCAAGAACAGCAGAGACAAUCUGCUCCAGAGAAUCAAUUAAGAGAUAAUUAUAAAACAAUUAAAUCAUCGGUAUGAAAAUCUAAAAUUGCUAUAUUCAAAAUCUAGUUGUAGCCGCACCCUACUGAUUUCUGGAGGAACUGCAUCCCCUUGAUCAGGCACACUAAAAGUUUCUAUUACAACACUGGGAGCCACCUGACCAGUGUGAUGGCUUGAACCUGAAGCAGGAUCACUGGCUGCAACAUUGACAUGCAGGAGUUACUCCAUGGAUAAUUUUACUAGCACAUGAAAGAUAACAUUAAAAAAAAGGGAAAGAAAAAAAGAAAGAAAUAAAGGUAUAUAAUUCCAUUUCAGAAAGCUCAGAUUAUGACAUAAACAGAGCAGUAUUGCUACAACAAUUACUAAGCUCCUAUAGAUGUCAAAAUGACUCAAUUGUUAUUUGUAGCGUGGUUGCUCUUUAAAUCAUUAGAAGCACCUAAAUAAAACUAUAAGCAUUAAAUAAGAACCAACAGAACACCACCACUUGCUUUUCUGAUUAAUCAUAUGGCAAUAUUGAGCACUUAAUGAAAUUAAUUACCAAGGAUAAUCUGUUAUAUCCAGAGUCCCAUUAGUCCAAACAAAUGUCAUAUUCGACAGAAAGGAUGAAUUUCAUAUCCAGUUGCUUCUCACAGAUGAACUAAUGUGUAUCAACCCCUCUGGGGGGAGGGGGGGUUGUUUCUAUACUAUACCAACCUUUUCGUGAAAAUAAUUCAAGGUGCACUGGAAACCAUACUCUAGCUGAAGUAAUGUGUAUCAACCCCUCUGUGUGGGUCAACAAUCCAUUAUGGCCAUUAAUUACCUUGUGCAGUAAUUUUUUGUUUUUCAAUAUUUACAGGCUGUGGGGCAUCUACAGGACCCUUUAGACCACCACACAACUAGUCCUCCACAGCUUUGGAUAAACUUGAAUUAGUAUCCUUUUUUGAGACGAACCUUGUACAGUUGAAGAAGAAGAUGAUGCAAGCAAAUGUUAAGGCAAGCCAAACCUGAAUGAUUGGAUAAGCCCUCAGAUGGUAUAGGUUGCCUAACUACCAGGUGCAAGGUGUGACCAUCUUCGACAUCUAACACAUGUUAAGAAAAUAAACCAACCAAACAAUAUAAUAAGACAAUAGUGCUAAUGAGUAAAAAAAGUACAGGGAUAUGAAAAUAUUCCUUAGGUAGCAAAUAAAGAAAUUUAACAAAGGAUGGUUUAUAGGUUUCUAGUUCAAUCAAUGAAUAUCCUGAUACAUUCGGGACCUAAUGUUUGCUAAUUUGUUCUGGAAAAGUAAAAUACUAACUAGUUCAUACCAUAUAUGUUUUGAUUCAAAUACUUCACCCACACUUAAAGUUUCCUUCUAGCAAAAAUGCACCAUUGCAACAAGCACUUGCCAGAAACCACCAGAAAACAAUUUACUUCAGAAAAAAGAAUUGCAGAUGUCGGCUUAUUUGGAAUAUGUACAUGUGUUUUUGGUUAUGCUUGGGUGUGAUACAAUCAAUUGAAAUGUGACACAAUUCUCUAUUCUCCACCUGAUAAGCUGUCCAAAGUCAUUCAUUCACCUAGAAGUAUGCUAAAGAUGAACCGAUGAAGAGACUUGUGCAGUCACAUGCAUCUACAGCACAUACCUUCAAACCUCUCUUUUGUCAAGGCUUUUUCCCCUUUUAUGUCCAUACCUAGUAUUUCAGACUUACAAUUCAGUGUUGCUGAGGGAAAACAUGAAACUGUUUAGCAUUGCAGGAUGAAUCUCAUGGACAUGGAGCACUAGCAUGUGAGCUCACUUGGAAUUUACACUUCAGCAUUACUGAAAUCAGCAGUGAGGAACAAAACUGCAACACUAUCCAACCACAAUUCAACAUUUUACCCGCCAAUGCACAAACUCCAAGGUGUCCCAAAAUAACUCUUUUGCAUCAAUACUGUCUUAAUGAGCUCUUUUCUACUUUUCUGCCUAGCUUUACAGUUUAACAGCAGAAAUAAAUGUGUCAUUGGUUCACUACUUAGGUAAUACCUUCAUCAAAACUGUUAAAAGAAAUUUGAAGUGAGCUUCUAGCUAUCUCCUCACUUUGGGUACACAAUCUUUUUUGUUAAAUAUUGUACUUUAGAGUUGCCCUUGAGCAUUAAGAAAAAAGGAUACGAUAGGCAGAGAGUAGUUGGUCAUCUUUUAAGACUUUUCCACGACAUAUUAGACGUUGUUGUUCUGAUAGCACGCCAGUGACAGAAGCAAUCUGUUCUUUUAAAGCAGGAACUGGCAUCUGCAUGGAUAUUCAAGAAAGGGGAAAGCAUGAUGAAAUUAAUGGCUUCCACAAACAAAAAAUCAUGCACAAGUUAUCAACUAGCAAAUCCCCACUCACAAUAUAAGCAUAAAGACCCUUUUAAGAUCAUAAUGCAGGGUGUACUCUUACAAUUAAGAAUUCAGUGGCAACAAAGAAUGUUUCAACAGUUUUAUAUGAAUAAAAGACACAGGGAAAUAGUGGAUCUUCUGUAAUUGCUUUCUGUCCAGUUUCUCAUGAGAUCUGCUUCUCAGUAUUAUUUGCACAAAUAUUCAGUAAAAUGUGGGACAAUCUCCACAGAUUUUUACAUAAGAGCUUGUUGAAGAGAUGUUCUUGAGAAGGAAAAUGAGUUGGAUGCUAGAGAGUGUAGCCUUUGUGUCAUCUGUAUGUAACUAGCUAGAUCAAAAAGGCACAUUGGAUCACUUAUAAGGACUAGAAAUUUUCUGACCAUGCUGGUGAAGAGGUUUUACUAGUAAUUGUUAAGACCACUCAAUUUCCUCUUCUUUCUACUCUUUCUAAGAUUCAGAUUCUAGUAACUCUCUGUCUCUCACCACAAUGACAGAAAUAUGAUCGAAGUGCAAUUUAGAGCUCUUGAAAAAGGAGGCAAAAAAAGACAUAAAAACAGAAAAAAAAAAAAACUAUCCUUAUAUAUAUAUAUAUAUCCCCGUAAUAACUGGCUUUGGGAUGUAUUUGAACUCAUUGAUCAUCUAAAGUAUUAUAGCAAGUUUACAAAACAUACACACUGCAAUGACAUGAGCCAUGGUUCAGUGGGAGCAAAAAAUUACCUGUUUAUCCACUCUCAAAGUAUAGGUUUGAGAAUCCAAUGUUUUUAUUUUUAUUUCAAUGUUUGUUUCAGAACCCUCUGCCUCACCAGCUCCAUGAAUUUUAUCAGCAAUAUUACUUCCCAUUCUCCUCAGACGAAUGGAUACCUACAAACAAGAAAGGAAAAGAAACAAAUGAAGGAAAUUAGGUUUGGGAGUUGCUAGGAUGAGGCAACAGCAUGCUUGUCAAUAAACCAGAUAAGUCACAGUAUUAUAUUGGUAAGAUAGAUAAGGUUCCUCAGGAAACAGUAAGUCAAUGAGUGCCCUAAUGCCAACAAAAAGGGGUGUCGGUUCCCUUCAUUGUGGUCAUAAUACAUCAUUGUUUCGAGAGAGAGUGAAGAUGUGCAGAAAUGCAAGAACAAAUAACAAAAAUCAGCAAGCAGACCACUCUCACAUUUAGGGAAAUCUCAGCAUCCACCACCAUAUAGACAUAUUGCCAUAUCAAUAUGUACUUCAAGGCAAUUUGAAACACUGUUUCCUUUCCCCUUUUUUAUUUGUCUCUUCUCUUCAUUUUCUUUUUCUUUCCUUUUCUUUUCCUUAUUUUAGUGUGUGUUAUAUGAGACAGUUAGAAAAAUCUCCAGACUUGCAAAACACAUAAUCAUGGUAACGGUAAUGAACAACAUGACAAAUCCUGCAGCCAACUACCAUGGACCGCAUUGAUCUGAUUGAUGAUAUUCUUUCCAUUUUUUGCUGAUUUGGUAGGAUAUCGCUCACUAGACGAAGAUGGCGAUUGCUCAAGAGUCCCCUGCUAGAUAUUGAUAUUUUAUGAUGUCACAGAAGAGAAACAUAACAUCAUGUUCUCAAUUGAUAGGUUAUAUGAUAUGUCUUUGGUGUGUUAUAUUAUGUCUACAGCGGUCAAGACCGUGCUUUCCCAACUCCUCCCCUGCCUUCUCUAAUUAAAUGGGAAAACUCAUAAGGAUCAUCAAAUGGAACAUUUUUUGUUACCAGGAGCAGAAAACAAGUUCCAAGAUGUCAUGUGUAUAUCUGUAUGCACGCCCACAUUGCAUUUUGCUCCACAUCGAAAUCAACUUCAGACCAUAAAUCUCAGGAUCAAAUCCAUGCUAUAUAAUGUAGAAAUCAAGCUCCAAGAAGUAAUGUCUCCAGUCCCAAGUGACAUUACUGGCAUAUUUAUAAGCCAUAUCCCGCUUCACAUAGUGAAAUUCAAUGUAAACUCUAAAUUUGAAGAAUUCAAAAUCCAAGCUUCUACCAUCAAAACAGCUCAUCUAGAAUUGGGGCCUGCUCCCGAUUCAAAACUAAUCGGUAGACGGGGAAAAUCAUAGAGUAAAUUCAAAGAAAAAAGUAAACUACUGCACAAAUCAAGACAUUUCCAUUGACCAACAGAUUGAGAACACGGAUAAUGAUUUUUUACCACAUCUAUGCACCCAAAGAGGGCGCCUUCAUCCCUAAAUAUCACUAAACACCAAGAAUUGACAAUCUUUACUUCCACCACUCACACUUCAAUCAACAUAAAUCACUUAAGUUGGAGCUUAAUCAAGUUGCCACAUCCCAAUAAGCAACCUUUCCCUUAACGCAAAUGCAAACAAUCAAAAUCCCAUUCCCCAUUUAUCUCUCACUCUCUAGGGUUUACCGAAUCUUGAUCAAACAAAAAAAGCUCAAGACUUUCAAUUUCUGGGUCCUAACCAGUCAUCAAAAGCAUGCAAACCAACCCAUCAAGUUCCGAAUGACAACCCAAUUCACACAAUUAAGAAAAUCGAUAAAAGACAGUAGACAAGAUAAGAAAGGAGUCAGUAAGUUACCUGAGAUAAAAAGAAAGAAAAUCUGGUUUGAUAAGGAGAGAGAACAGAUAGAGGGAGAGGGAGAGAUAUAUAGAAAUGACAGAGAGAGAUGCCGUGUCUGCGUGCUAUCUCUCUGUGUAUUUUGGAGCUGACACCUGAAUUUAUAUUACACAAGAUCAAAAACUCUCUCUCUCUCUCUCUCUUCCCUGUCAACUAUGUAGUGUUGUGGCCAGCGUAGGACGAGGUUUGCAAAAAUUAUUCAGGUUUUUCUCCUCUGUACAUUUUUUUUUAUCUCUCUUUUUACUGGUGCGGUGGGCUUUUUACUUUUUACUGUUGGUAAAUUGGUUGGUAGCAGCACAAAUUAUUACUGUCUGACAAUGUGGUAAUUUUUUUUAUUGCGUUUAAAAAUCACAUUUCACUUCUAAAAAAAACCCUUCUAGUCAAGUCAGGCUGAAACAUAAAGUUUUGGAUCCAACAUCCAUUUUAUGAAUUAAAAAAAAAAAAGCAUAGAUAACUUGCUUAAAUUUGAUUUUGAAGGGAGCGUGAUGAAUUUUUUAUGUGUGUUUGUUGAUCUAUAAUCUAAAGGAAUCGAUUAAUUUUUUCCAAUUAUUACUUAAAGUAUGAUACUUAUUUAAUAAGUUUAUUUUUAAAUUAGUUUUUAUAUAUUAAAAUUAAAUUUCUUUAAAAACAAAUAUAAUUAAAUAUCCACCUAUAAAUUUAUAAUAAAUUAUUUUCGGACUGCAAAGCCGUAAUAUCUUUAAUUAUCUUCAGACCACUCAUCCAAGGUUUAACCAAAACUAGGAGUUCAGGCUUAUAUAUGAACUCGAAGAGUACUGCUAAGUGCUAACUCCUUGGCAAUUCCAAAUCAUAAAAUUCAUUAAAUUAAAAUAGUAUAAAUAGAUUGCUUCCUCUCUAACCAUGUUGAAAAACACUCCCCGCCGGCAAAAGCAGCCAUCCCACCUUCCUCAGAAGUAGCCUUAAAUUCAUCAAUGAUAGACUCUUUGGCAGAUAACACCAUUCCAGAACCAGCUAGAUUUUCAAACAGGGAUACUGGAUAUAGAGAGAGAGUUUUAUUAGCCCGUGACCUAGCUGCACGGGAGAGAUCAGAGAGCUCUCAAUAUUAUGGGGUUUUUUCGGUUCAAUAUAGGAUUGUCAACCUUAUCAGUCAGUCGCGACUUCAUUCGUCUCCUCGUCAGUGCCUGCCAUCAUCAAACUCCAUAUUUUCAUCAAUCUGAGCUACGAGCGAGUUCAAUGGAGUGUCUUCAGUUACAGCAACAAAAAAUUGAUGAAUUUAUGGAGUUUGAUGAUGGUUAAUGGGUUAGCAUGUAACACGAUGAUGGUUGUUAGGUUCUGUUUGGGUUUUGGUUGUUUUCCCCUCGUGGGCUCUAUUUGAUUUUUGAGUUAAAUGGGUUAGACUAGGAUAGGCUGUGGGUUUGGGCCUUUUCUAUUUAAAGCCGGAGUUCCUAUAUUAGCUAGCUAAGAUAUUAAGCUCCGUACGGUGUCGGUUGUUUUUAAACUGCUCAUAACUUUAAUUUUUUUUUUUUGGUUUUCAUUGGUUAAAUUUGUUUUUUCUUCUUAAAUUGUGAUAAAAACUUGAGUUUAAUAAAAGUUAUAAUUUGUAGCAUUUUUAAACUUAUUUUUUCAAAUAACAACAAAAAAUAUACCGCAAUACCAGACAUGAACAUGUUUGUUUUUAUGUUUUAAAAAUAUUUUUGAAAAAAUUUAAAUUUAUUUUAUUUUUUUAUUUACUUCAAAUUAAUAUUUUUGGAGUUUUUAUAUCAUUUUGAUAUGUUGAUAUCAAAAAUAAUUUUUAAAACAUAAAAAACAUUAUUUUAAUGCAUUUCUAAUUGAAAAACAUUUUAAAAAACAACUACUAACAAACUCACAAACAAGAUACCCCAUUAUUAGCAAUAGAGAUUUUAGCGUUGACCUCUCUUCUACGAUUGUGUUCGCAUGAAUAUAAGAACCAAAUUCUUUAUUAAUUAUUUUAAUUAAUAUAGAUGUUGAAACUAUUUACAUAUAUCUUAAUUAAUUUUAGAUUUAAAAUUAACAAUUAUAUAAAAUUUUAUUUUCUUAAUUACUAUGGUUUUGAUCUAAGAUCAACUCGAGUACAAAAUCUGAGUGGUCAGACAAGGACUUAACAAUGUCCAGGGCCCAUCAGUUAGUGCAUGCAGGUAUCAAUCAAAUUAGACAAUUGAACCAGGAAGAAUUCAUUGUCUAAAUCAAUGGCACCGAAAGGUACUCUGGCUCCAUUCCAUAUUGUUCUUUAUCUAGUACGUCAUAGUGCUUUAUAAUCCACACUAGGACCAAAGUCUUGAUAAUUCCCAUGGUUUCUGUAAGGAUUUUCUGAAACCUUCUAAUAAUUCAACGACUUUCUAUUUUCCUUUUCCACAACAAUCAUGCACGUGUGCAUCUCCUUCUUCUUCACCCCAAUCUCUUCCGUACAAUGUCCAUUCAAAAACUGGUUAGGUUUCCCAGUCACAGAGUCAACUUCUAUACACUCUUGACAUGCACUGGACUGAAUUUAAAAUCCUUCCAUGUAACUUGUAAUGCAACAGAACCUAGUCAGCAUCCACCAAGUGUUCAUGAUGAUUCAAUAAUCAUUCAAAUCACAGGAUGAUAAUAUCAAAAAUGUUAAUAAACUAUGAUAUCUUAUGUACAAAAUCUUUCUCCACCCUAAAAGAUCUCCACCAUUUCUGCAAUAGUACUGUUAACUCCUAUCCAUCUCUCUCCAUCUCGUUAUGUCCUUCACUUUGUUAUGUAAAAGGAGGUUUCGGUUAAAUUCAUAAUUUUCUUCACAGUGAUCCUUGGAUAUCGAUGUCAGCUUUACUGCAACAUUUCAUGUUUCCCACCUUUUUAAUUAUUCGUUACUUGACCUGUGCUUGAUAUAGAGGUCAGCUUUAUUUCCUCCAUUCUUCUAAUUCAGUACAAUCAUAUAGUGGAAGAAAGAAGAUCAUGAGAUGGAGGGCUUCUAUAUUUAUACUCUAGCUGGCUAAUUAAGCAAGUUUAGUUAAUGUAACUAUUUAGUAACUAAUAGCGUAUUGUGCAGGCUUCUAAUUCUGCAAUAACAAACCUUUAGACUGGAACCGGCCUAAUGGGUUGACUUGGUGAAUUGUUAACUCUAGCCCCGACGGGGGACGGCAAGUGGAAAAACCAGAUUUUUCUUUUAUCAAAAUAAUAUUGUUUUGUUUUCUUUUUUCUUUUUCCAAAAAAAAAAGUGAAAGGUUGAGUUGAUCCUCGUCAACCUCUGAUCUUGGACCACAACCAUUGAGCUGAAUCUCAUAACUAUGCUCUUCUAGGUGGUGAUAGUGCUAGAAGCCGAGGUUGUCACAGUAAUAAAUUUCCUAUUGAUUACUGCAACAACAUUAAAUAUGAAAACCACUUUGAUAUUAAUGGAUGUGUUGCUACUGGGAGCAAAAUCAACUAGCUUCUUAGCAUAUUUUUUUGAGAAAUUCUUAGCAUUAACUGUUGAUUGAACUUGAACUUUAUAUAGAAAUUAACAUUCUGACAAGAUCAUCAAUUCUUUUAUUGUGAUCUAGUUUAUCUUGUAAGGAAUAACAAUUUAAUAAGAAUAUCUUGUGCUUUGAAAGUAUAUAAGAUCAUGGGUUUAGAUCUACAAAACCCAGCAGCUAGCUCUUAUGUCAGAGUUAAAAAAAUACAUCACUACUAGCCAAGGACAUGAAAUAAAAGCCAGUCAUUCUAACUAGAUAAGAAAAACUAAUGGUGUCUAGAUUUGUGAUGCCUGGGUCCACAGUAAUCUUCAUGAAUGCUCGGUAACCAGUGAUGUGAAGAUUUCUUGGACACUGAUCUUUUCUUCAUGGUACCUAUACAAUUCCCUUCUUUGCAGAGAAUGGCUUCUUGUCCAAGAACCCUAGUACUAAUUUCCUUCAAAGAAGUAUUGUUAUUCGCCUGCACAUCACAAGAACUCCCAUCAGAACUGAAGCUGAUAUGAAAUACUAAAAAGAGUCAUUAAUUUUAAUGCAUCAUACAGUGUGUAAAGAACUGAGCACCCACAUGAACCUUUUGAGCUCCAACUUGCAUGAAUCCUUUUCCAAGCGAAUCCCUACACAAAACAACAACACAUGUUCAAACCUAAAGACAUACAAAGCAAAAUCAGGUCUCUUAACUUAACACGACUGAUAUUUUUGGCAUAUAUACCUUGAGACCCUUGAAGGAGAAACGAAAAAAGCAGAAGAGAGACUACGUACUAAAAGAAGGCCUCAUUCAGAAAAACAUUGAGAAGAAGAGAUAAGAGUAAUUAAGAGAAGGAAAAGAUCAAGCAGUUCGCUAUAUAUUUCUGAAGUCUGGUACAGAAGCUACGGAUUAAUGUGGGUUUGGCCGAAUUCUAAGUAAUUUUAGAACUUGUAUUCUGUAGAGAUUGUGCAUGAAUGGAUUAUAAAUACUGUAGCUGGAGGGUAGGUUAAUUAUAAACACGGUUUUUAGGGCCACAAAGCACGUAGUUCUCCAACAUGAAACUGUAAUAGAAAACGGGAUUUUUCUUCCACUACCUUUUGUUUUUCCUCUGUCUUUCUAGUGUAUAGUGAAAAAGUUCCUCAAGAGAGGUAGUGUGAUGGUAAAGAACUUGAAAUCUACAUAGCAAGUUUUGAAUUUGAAUCAGGACGUGUAUUUUUUGUAAGAGUCUGGUAUAAUUGGGGUUUUACUCACUCACUUGGACCCACAAAAUACGCUUCAAAUUAUUGAAAUGACUAACCAUUGAUUAGGGCAUCCUACUAAAUUAAUUCAAUUAAAAAAAAUGAAAAGAUAAUCAGCCUUUAUUUUCAAGUGGGCGGGGUUAAAAGCUUAAUAAUGGUGUCAAAUUCAAUAUAAAAUCAACAAUCUUUAUGUUUUGUCUUAUAUAUAUUAACCUACAUAGAAAUUGUUUACUUAGAUAGAGUUUGUUUAGGAUCUCGGGAUAGAAGCAACGAAGAUAGUUGGAUAGAACAUACCUGUUUCUAAGUUUUUUUUUAAAAUGACUAAAAUUUAUUUUAAAAAUAUUCAAGAUAGAUUUAUUUUAUAUUUCUGUUUUUAUUUUUAACCAAAUAUGUGUUAUAUUUUUCCUGUUUUUAUUCCUAUUAUCUUCAAACACCAACCAAACAUAAACUUGUUUUUGUUUUUAUCUUUUUAACUAAAUAUAUUUAUGUUUUUCUUGUAUUUAUCCUUAUUAUCCUUAAACACUAACCAAACACAAAUUUAGAACAAAAAAAUAUAAAUAUUGCAAUGAUUUUACAACAUGAAAAACUUUAGGGUGACAUCAGGAAAUCUAUCUGGGAGGGAAACUAAACAUUUGGUGAAAGAAAUUGAAAUUUGACAAGAAUCGACAAUCAAUCAACUAAUUAGGAAAACAUGUUUUUGGUUCUUUAGCUUGACAUAAAGACAAUACUGCUGGUAACUAUUUUUCUUGGGUUUCCAACAAUAUGCUUGCUAGACAGUUUCCGUAUCUUGGCAUGCGCCUAAAUGGAAAGCCGAUAUUGGUAUGCGACAAGAAUACUUAAUUUGAGCUAACAAUAGAAUAUCCAAAGCAAAAAAACAUGGUAUUACACUUUGAAAAGUUCUGUUGUAAUUAAAUAUGCACGAUCCAGAGUCUUAAUGACUAGGAAUAUCUACUCUGCUUUUAGUUAACUCAAAUUGAAAUAAUAAAGAUAAUUCCUGCCAUGAUAUUGCAUGGGCCUGCAGCCAGUGGUGAUGCCACUUAGGAAAAAUUCUUUAGAACUACUUAUUUACUUCAGCGCAAGAUCAAUCUUCUUUUGAGUUUUGAAGAGCAAAAAACAGUACAGCAUACCCAGCAAUAUCUGGGAUCUGUCAACGAAUAUUAUCUGUCAAAAAGAUACACAGCAAUCGAUAAAGAAACAAGUUGAGUCACAAAUUAGUGUGGAUGAGACAAAGAGAAAUAUGUUAUUAGAAUAUAAAUGUUGAAUUUGUAAUUAUAUUAAUCAUCAUCAAACUGCAUCAUAUCAAGUCUCAUGUCUGCAUUAUAAAUACUGUUAAAUCAUAGACAUCGGUUAUUAUGAAUCCUAGAAUUAGAAAUGAAACUAAACUUCACUCACCGCAGCCACAGGUAAAUCCACCGUCAGGGUGAUUAAUCCUGGAUACCAGUGAACAAAGCCUGCCACUGUUGACAGGAUCUGCAGCACAAAUAACAAACAGUUUAUUAAGAGUAUAUAUCAUCAAUGUCGUCGACACCUUGACGGGUCUAUAUAACGAGCUGUAAACAUUCAAAAUGUGGCAAUGUGUCAUGUGGAAGGAUUGGAGAAUUAGUAAGGGAAUAGAAGAUUUGUUAGAGAAAGAAGGAGAUUGAAUCAGAGAACGAACAUCGAACACACCUCAUUUCAAAAAUAAAAUAUAAAAUUAUGAAUGAGGUAAUCAAUUAUAUGUUUUAAAAGCAUAUGUAUACGAGCAUCAGCUAUCCAUUAGCAAAUUCCAGAGAGUGGAGCUUUGAGCAUGAUUAGUGAUUUUUUUAUUCCGACACAAGCAAAAAGAUAGAAAAAGGAAUUGAAACACACACACACACACGAACUAUGAUUUCAGAACGAGAGAUUCAAGGAAUAUCUUGGAAUGGUGACGGGGGACAAAGCGUUUUCAUGAUUCUUUUUUUUUUCUUUAUGAAUGGGAUCAAAAUUUUAUGGAGUAGAAAAUAAAAGCAGUACAAAUAGAAUUACAUGUUCUGCAAAAUAAUGGUCAUUGAUCAAUGUAACCGAAGCAGAUGGAUACUCGUCAAACAAAGAGCGGGAACCUAAAGAAAAAUAACAGGGCAGUGAUAACUGAUCCUCUCAUCAAAACUAAAACCCUCAAGUGAAUCACAUGUUGUGGAAACGUACGUACUUUGUGCUAAUAAAUAAAAAAAGAUGGAAUUGUUGAAAGAAUUGUUAUUGAUUAUGUAUCUUUAUAAUAUGAAGAUAUAUAUUUAUUAUCCGUAUUAUUUAUCGACAAGCAGUAGUUAUUAAAUCUAUAGUAAAUUAAUACAUUUUUAGUAUCAAUACAAAUUAUAUUAAUUAAUCAGACUUGACUUGAAAUCUAACCUCAAAAAAAUCCUAGUUAUUGGAUCUUUGAGUCAAUCAAAAUUAUAUUUUUAUUUAAAAUAAUAUUAUUUUAAUUUUUUUUUAAUUUUUUUAGUAUUGAUGUAACCAGAUCUAGAUAAAUUUUAGCUAGUUCAAUAUUAAAAUUAAUUAAAUUUUAAAUUCAUUCUAAGUGAGAUAUUGAGUCUUGGAUUUUCAUCUUGAUGGACCAAGCCGAAUUAACAUCUAUGAUACAAAGGCAUUGAUAUAUAGUCAAUUUAGUAGCCAUAUUAAAAAAUUUAUUUUGAAAAAAAUCUCAACCUAAUUAAUUCCUUUUUAGAAUAAAGUAUGUUGUUUUAGAAUGAUCAAAUGACUUGUAUUUACAGUGUUAAGUGACCAAUAAUUAAUUUUUUAAUUAUUUAUUUAGAAAUUUCAAUGAAUCUUUUGUCUGACAUAUUUAUCUUCAUCAAUCUCAUGUCUUGCCAAGAUACAUGAGCUUACUCUUGAUGAUAUCUCGAUUAUUAUUAAAAAAAAAUUAACAAAAAUGAGAUUACUCUUGAUGAAUUUUCACAAGUUUUCAACAUGCCUUGUCGAUGACAAUCCAAUUGCGCAGCGUGUGAAAUACAAACAGCUAACAACUCCAUUGUCAGCCCACUAAAAGGAAUUUUUCGCUAAGAUGUCUCACAAAGAAAGUAUUAAAGGUAAGAAAAUCCUCGACGGACACCAUUGUCAGCCCAAAGAUAUAGAUACGUUUGUCUUCCACGUACACCAAUUACAGCUCUCGGCACACUACCUUUUGCAUUCAAUAAGUGAAACAUUUUGGACCGACCCAAAAUCCCUUUUGAAAGAAAGAAAACAAACAUCCAGGUCCUGGUAACAUAAAUGAAGAACACCAACUUCAUUGAGCAAACCACAGUUGCUUCCUCUGUAGUAUAUUCACACCUACUUCCUUAUACACAUAGGCCGUUUUCGUUCCUGAUGCCUAUAUUUUGCUUCAAUAAUCUGUGGUCACUAAAUUGGAGUGAUAGGACUUAGGAGACCUUUGCUAUCGACCUAGCUAGCACCCGCCUCCAAAUACAUUUUGAUUUUGAUUUUUUUUUGGGUUGGGGGGGAGGGGGGGGGGGUGCGGGGGGUUGAAUUACAUGGUUAUUUACUUGGUAGAAAUAUUUUGCUAUUAUUUCCUUUUAGAACUUCUCAUUGAUUGGUAUUUCGGCUCAACCAGUGCAAAUCUUUUUUUUCAAUAAUAGUCUAGGAUUUAAUAAAAUUAAUGCCAGUGUCAUAUGUGUAAGAGAAUUUCUUAUCCUUUUUUGUUCUUGAACGAAUUUAAUCUGGUUUAUGAAAAAUUAAUUAACUUCAUAUAUGUUAUUUGAUUUUAUUCUAAUAAUGUUGAUGCUAAAAAUAAAUUUUUAUUAUGUUAGAUUUCUAUUAGUUCUAUUUCAAGUUUCUAACAUUAGAUUUAUAUCUUAAACGGAUUGCAUAACCAUGUGAUUCUUACUUUUAAGAUUCAACUUAAUAGAGAGUUAAUACUUUAAAGGGUUAAUAUUUCACUGUAAUGAUAAGAUAGAGCGUGAAACACAAUUAAAAACUCGUUGAAACUUAACUUGAAUUAUAUAUUUAUAUUAUAUAGUUAUAUUUGAAGAAAUUUUUAUUAUAUAUAUAUAUAUAUAUAUAUAUAUAUAUAGAGAGAGAGAGAGAGAGAGAGAGAGAGAUAUGCAAUGAAAUGAUAUUAUAAAUAAUAACUUCCGCAGUUACAAAAUCUAGUCAGCUUCCACAAAAUACUCAUGAUGAUUCGAUAAUCAUCAAAAUCACAGUACAAGAAUAAUUAUAAUAUCAAUAAAAUAUGAUAUCAUAUGUACAAAAUCAUUCGUAGCUAGCCCUAAAAAGCUGCAGCAUUCCUGUGAUGCUGUUUAACUUAUAUUCACUUUAUUAUAUCUUGAAAAACUUAAUUAUCUCUCCCUCUCUCGUUAUUAAUUUGUACCUACUGCACUUAAUUGUGUAUUGGAGAUUUUCUCCUCGCUGGAGAAUAGUCCAUUUGAGUUAAGUCCAUAAUUUCCUCAUAGUGAUCCUCGUUGACUUUAUGGUCAGAAUUCCGCCAAGAAUUUACCAAUAGUUUUUCACGUUCUCCCACUAUUUCUCCUUUACUUGAUCUCCACUUGGAUAUGGGGCCAGCUUUAUUUCCUUCGUUAUUCUCCUUCUUCACAAUCAUAUAGAGAAGGUAAGAAGAAAAGGUAGGAGGUCUUAUAUACAUACAUACAUACAUAUGUAUGUAUGUAUGUAUGUAUUAUUUCUAAGGUCGAUAUUGAAACUGCUAUAUAACAUUUACAUAAUAACCAACCUUAGAGGUGGUGAUAGUAGUGCUAGAAGUAGAGGUUGUCACAGCAAUAAGUUUCCUACCCAUUCCUGCAAGAAUAUAUAUAGAAAAUGAUUUAGGAUAUAUGAUUGGAUGAGGUGUGGUCAACAUUUUCAUUGCUCGUUGUUCAUGUGAAGCUUCUACUCAAAACAUUAAGGACAAGACCCCAUUUAAUGAUCGAAGCUAGUUUAAUCGGUGAAGAUGAAAAGUUUGACAAUCAAUUUCUUGGGGACAAAUUUCCUUUUUAGAGUACUAAUAGUAUACGAUCAAGGGUUUGAAUCUUCUAAAACCCAGCAUCAGAGACUUCUAAAAUAAAUAAAAGUCAGGCAUUCUAGCUAGAGAAACUAAUGGUGUUUAGGUUUGUGAUUCCUAGGACCGUAGUAAUCUUCAUGGAUGCUUGGUAACCAGUGAUGUGAAGAGUUCUUCGACGCUGAUUUAGAAACUCUUUUUUCCGUACUGGUAAUGGUACCUGUACAAUGCUCUUCUUUGCAGAGAAUUGCUUCGCCAAGUACACCACCAUUAGCACUUCUUUCUUUUAAAGAACUCUUGUCCCCCUGCACAUCAAUCACUUUCCCAUCAGAACAGUAUUCACUUGAAUGCAUCACGAUAUGUGUAAACUAAGCAUCAAGAAACUGAACAACCCACCUGGACUUUCUGAGCUCUAACUUGCAUGAAUCCUUUUUCCAAACGAAUCCCUACAGAAAAUAUCAGCAGUUGUUAAGACCUAAUGACAUGCAACGCAAAAACAACUCUUUACAGCUUUAAAUGAUUGAUGUUUUCAGCAUAUUUAUGUAUACCUUGAGCCUCCUGGAGGAGAAAGGACAAAAGCAGAAGAGAAACUACUAAAGAGGGCCUCAUCUGGAGAAGAGAUUGUAAACAAGUAGGAAAUGGGUAUCGGUAUUUUAAAACUUCGUCUAAGGCCAGGUGUUGAAGAAGAUACAGAAUUAAUUUGGAACUGUAGUGUUCUGUGGAUAUUGUGAAUGAAUGAUAACAUCGGAAGAGGGCCACAGGUUAGAUGUAUAAAUGUGCAAGGUUUUUGGACCCACAGGGAAGCUCUCCAGCAGGAACUUUCAUAAGAAGGGGGCCGGAUUUUUCUGCCACUGUCUUUUGUUUUUCCUUUGUCUUAAUUUCUAGUGUAAAGUGCAGCCACUUGUCAAAGGAAACGACUAAUCAUUGAUUCAUUAGGGCAACCAGCUAUCUUAAUUCAACAAGGAAAAAGUGAAGCUUUGUGGGCCUUAGUUUAACGUCAUAUAAUUUUCUUGCAUAAUUAAAUAAAUAAAUCUAAAAUUAUAAUUUUGAUGCAUUCGUAUUUAUGUUUCGAUUAAGAAUAGAUUUAAUUAUGGAAAUAAUCAAAUUGAUUGGUCAAUCAUUUAAUACAUUGUGUUUACUUUUUAGACAUCAAAAUUCAAAACUUUAUAUUAAAUCAUGUGCUUGGUUAUGUUCUAUAAGAUCGUGAUAUUGCAAAAAAGAGUGUUCAAAAGAGAAAUUAACUUUUAGAAUUUUCCCUAGUUGAAAAAUUAGGUGAACUAGCACAGCUAGACUUCUUUUUUGUACAUUUCCGGACAUGCCCUGCUCUUUUACGGUAAUGAGGAUCUUGAGAAUUCUCUGCCAGUUUUGUCUCAUUGAGCACAAGUUGAUCUUCCCAAAUGCAUGCUAACAUCCCAUUACAUGAGUAAUAUUUGUCUCGUUGUGUUUUACAUCUCAACUAAAUGGUUUGCUAGCGCUAUAUAGAGAACGUUUGGGAACGCGGCUACGACUGUGUUUUCAAAAAAUUUAAAUUAUUUUUUUUUAUUAAAAUUUAAUAUGAUUUGUACGUUUUGGAUCGUUUUGAUGUGCUGAUGUCAAAAAUAAUUUUUAAAAAAUAAAAAAACAUCAUUGACAUACAUUUUGGCACGAAAAGUUAUUUGAAAAGCACCCGCAACCACACUGCCAAACACGCUCAUAGUAGCAGGUAGGAUUAAUUUUUUAUUACGUUCAUUCAUGCUUUGAACAAGAAGAAAACAUCUUAAGGGCUACUGUGCCCCAUGCUACUACCGUGGGUAUAUAUUUUUUUUUUAACCGUGAAUAUCCGGGUCAGUUUACACACAUCUCGACUAAUUCCUUGAAGUCAUGAAAUUAAUAAUCAGGUAAGCCUCUAGUAACCUUGAAUUUGUGGCACUCGAACUAGUAAUCUCUAAAAAAUAAACUCAAAGCCUGACUAGUUGAGUUACACCCCUCAGAGUUGAGUCUAUUUUCAUUUAUUACGUUUACGGGCUAUAACUGAGACGUUUCUCCUCUCCACCAAAUACGGGUUAUGUGACAUAUGAUAUGUCCAUCCUUUUUCUAUGAAAAUAAAUAAAUAAAUUUGAGUGUUCUAAGAAAAACUCAAAUUCAAAAUUCCAUCAAUUUAUAAUUAAUGUUUAUAUGUUAUGAAUCUAGGUAUUCUAGGAAUAUUACUCCUCUACCUACAUGAAAAUAUGGCCUAUCAUGCUCGUAGAAUCUAUUUUAUUACAGGUGAGAAAGUAUUGUUAUAGUUGUGGUUUUGAUUAAGAAUUUGAAUCAUUAGGUUGAUGGUUCAAUCUCAAAAUAAUAUUGCUUCCAUGAAUUUUUUAAACUAAACAAUAUUAUUUUAAAUAAAAAUAAAAAUAUAAUUUUUAAAAUUGACCCGACUAGAUCUCAUUUGAUUUUAGUCAAAUCAACUGAAUCAUAAAUUAACCCCCUAAGGUUGCUUGAAUUUAACAAAGAUAAUGUUCAAACUGGUUUAAAAAAAAUUGAUCCAACCUAAAUUCCAGGUUGGUAGAACAUUGGGUCGACUCAAAUAUUCCCCAUUCAAUUAUAAUAAAUACUCUAUUGUUUUUUAAAGUAUGGAAUUUGGAGGGUGUUUAAAUGCAUUAAUACUAUAUCAAUUGAUUUUAACAAUCCUAAUUUUAUUAUAUUGUUUGAUUUUCAAAUUAAAACACAUCAAAAGUAGAAUAAAAAUACCGUGUGAAAAAUUUGACCCCUAAAAUUUGUAAAAAAAUACCAAAAAAUUAUUAAAUUAAAGAAUGUGUGUCUGAGUAGAACUAUUACCAACCAUGCAUCUCACAUAGAAUAAUGUUAUCAACUGUUACAGUUUUAAAACCUGAUUUGGAACAAGGAUCGGGUCAUGGAUUAAUCCAAAAAAAUAAGAGUUAACGAGUUGAUAGCCGGAUUAGUUAAAGUUUUUUUUUUUCUAUUUUUUUUACAACUUGGACUAAUCAACAUCUCGGGUUAAUUGAGUCUUAGAUCAACCUGUCAAGUUAGCCUGAAUUUAUUAUUUAAAAAUUUGCAUAAGACAAUUAGCAACCGAUUUUUUUAUUGGAAAUUUGUUUGGGAAAAAAUUUACCAAUCGAUUUUCCUAAUUUUACUAACCAAUCUUCCUCUUUCCAUCCAAUACAUAUAUUUUUAGUGUUUCUGGUUGGUGGUUGAUUAUCAAUCUUUUAUAUUAUUUUAUAUAUUUGUAUUUCUUUAGCAUGAUAUAUGUUUCAAUAACAUUCUCCCGCAGAAUAUCUACAAAGAUAGCCCUCCAUAGAUUUUUUUAGUCACUAAUGCACGUAUUCGCCAUUUCAUGGAAAGGUUUCCACAUGGUCAUUGUAAAACAAAGAAAAAAAUGAUGCAUGUAAUUAUUUUGUGUUUAAAAUAUGAUGCAUGUAAUUUUGGAGUGAUAGCUGCUAUCGUGGGAUUCAGGAAGGAAACAAAGAGAAUUUUGAGAUUUUAUUUAGAAUCGACAAUCAGUCCAAUAUCUGCAACAUGUUUUCAGGUUGUUAGUUUUUGUCUUGUAAGAAUCCUACUCAACUUAACAGGUAAUCAUCCUUGGCUUUCUAGCUAGUGCUAAUAUAUAUAUAUAUAUGCUCAUGGAAGACAAGAUCUAUCGCUUGCCAGCUAUAGUUUCUCUAUUUUAUUGUGUAGUGGAAAUUAGCAGAUAUUGGUAGGCGCUAAGUUAAAUAUUUAAAUUAUCAUUGAUUACCAUCUAAUACAAACAAUAAUACGGUAGCACUUUGUAAUUAACUACUAUAUAUUGUUAAUGAUACAAAUAAUGUACUAAGCAUUAAUUUCACUCAAACACAAAUUAAAUACAUUAUUCCUUCCAUAAAAUAGUAGAAGCAUCCAAAUUCUAAUUACUAUAGAAUAUGGACUCCAUUUUAGUGAUAUCACAUUGGGAAUAUUCUUUUAGAACUUCUAAUUUAAUUAUAUUAUUAAUUAGUACGAGUUCAAUCGAUAUUCUUUGGAUAUUUGAAGAGCGAAAAAGAGUUUUCUUUAUAUGGAUACUUGGGGUUUUUGCAACUGAAACCAUGAAUUUUUAAAAGAUGAACUAUAUAUCUUCAUGUUUUUUAGGUUUUAAUUAAUGAAUUGGACUUUAGCCAUCAGUUUUUUUGAAACCUAUACAAUUGUUACUCUUUUAGGUUUUAUGUUUUUUGAUCACUUGUUAAAAAUUAAAAAAUAUAUAUAUACUUACAAAGAAUAAUGUUUAAGUUUUAGAAGCUAGCUAGGGACCGGACUGAAGUCUUUUUUUUUUUUGUGCUCUCAUAGAUAUAAUUACCCUUUUUUCAUGUAAUUUCAUCACCAACGUUAUUCAUAUUGAGAAAUUUCUAUAUCAAAAUAUUCUUCUUAGUAUUAUAAAUUAAAGCAUAAUGUGAAAUAUUCUUUUUGAUUCAAAUUAGUCGAAACUCAUGAUAUUUAUUUCAAAGAGGGGUAUAUCUAUCAAUUAAAAUAUGCAUUUGAUUUGGGAAAAAAAGAGGCGUUGCUACAUAAUUUAACACACAUUUAUUAAUUUGUCUUAGUCUAGAACAAGGUGAUUUGUCCUAAUUACAAGGGAUCAGUGGACAUAAUUUUUUAUAGUUGGAAUAAACUAAAGAUACCAAAAAAUAAGCAAGAGAUUAACGAUCGGCCGACCAGGAGACAUCACUUGUUUCUCGGACGCAUUGGAACAGGUUGGAGCACUUAUCAAAAGGGCACUCCAUUUUACUGUGGAUACAUGCUUUAUGAUAUCAUGUCUGGUUUUAACCGAACAAUGCAUCUUCACAGGAUGGAUCAUCCUUCAAUUGGUUGGGAAUUUCUUUCCACUUUGGAGUCCCUAAAUAAUUCCAACUUCUUGUUAUUUUAUAGCUUCAAUAAUAUAUUGUUUGAACUAGCUAGGGCAACUACAUUAAUAAACAUGCCUUUUAGCUACGUGGGAUCCAUUGAGAGAGCGGCUAUAUAUAUAUAUAUAUAUAUAUAUAUAUAUAUAUAUAUAUAUUAGGAUUGAAGCAUUUACGACUCUAUAGAUAUGGCUCAUGAUACUUGAUCAAAGGAUAUAAUAAUGUACCAAAGGAAACGCUAUCGAUCAAUUACAAAUUGUUGAGUGUUAUCCUUGAAUGUGUUUGCAUAUCUAUGAACUUCGGGUCCCUUGUGUCAAAAACUGCUGAAGAUCCCUUUAUAACUUGAGUUGUCCUAGCUCUCGGAAAAUGAAGAGGAGUUGUUACAUUUGAUACCUUAGUGCUCCAUGCAAAGAACAUGCUGGUGAAGUAGUAAAUGUGCAGAGUACUUUAUUUUUUUUAUAUUAAUUAAAAGUUAUAUUUUUUUAUCAGGUAAUUAGGAGAGUACUUUAUUUGAGUACUAAAGCUAAAGUUAUAUUAAUUUUACAACUAAUUUUUCAAUCCAAAAUUUUAGCUAAGAGGUUUAAUCUGACUAAAGCUAAAUGUAAUUAGGAGAGUAAUUUAUUUGAACGAAUGUCAACAGUUCUCUAGGAACCAUGCACGAAAGACUUUUAUCUCCUAAGAGAUAAGAUUAGGGUUUUGCUAUUAGGUAAGUCUCACUUUCAACCAGGGACUAAUGGUUGAAAAUGUAGAGAUUUGAGGAAAGACUAUCCUCCAUUCACUAUCCCCAUUAAGCCUCCUUAGUCCUUAUUAGAAGAAAAAUCAUAUGUGGAGAUGUUCUUCACCCGAUUGCCCCAUCACUUCUCUCUACCUAGGUUUUGUACUCGUUAUUGGAAGAGAAUUCCAUGACGACAUGCAUGAAACAAAUGAGCAUAAUAAUGUCCCCACGUCCUUUAUAACAUGAACAAGAUCGUCAAAGCAAGAGUAGGAACCCAUCUUCUCAGACACAAGUAAACAAAACUCAGUUAGUCGUAGAUGUUGAAUUUUUUGUUAACCUGUCUCACAAAGCGGGCCGGCAUGCAAGGCAAACAAAUCUUCCAUUUAUAUGUCAUUGACAGCACAGAGAUAUAGAUAUGAUGGCCUUGUUCGAUCAAACACACACGUCCCUUUCAAUGCCUCCCCAUACCUACGUGUUAAAACCCUCACAUAUUUUCGUGUUAACAUUAUCACAUGGGCAAGAGUCCCGCCAGCAGUGGCUGCUUGCGAUCAAGUCAGUAGGGUCAGGAUGGUCCGGCGAAGUUCACCGACAAUAUAGAUAUUAACUCAUUUGAUAGACUUGAUGCCGUUCAUGGAGUGCCAUAUACACGUGUGUGUGAGAGAUCACAAGACUGUAUUUGAUGUACACUGUAAUAAGAAAUUAACAGAGACAAUAGAAUACAUACCCUUUGUCAUGAACUGAGUAAGUGUUGAAUUGUCUAGAAAAAAAUUGUGCUGUAAAAAAUAAAUAGUUUUAUAAUCCAUGACAAACCUUAGGUUACUGUGUAGUAUCUCGUUCUACAUGUAAAUAUCGAAAACAAAAUUCUAUAAAAAGAAAUGGCAGGAGCGGCCCCUGAGGAACAAUCCCCAGUAACGAAUAAAUCAUCAGUUGGGGUAAUUUUGGACAUAAUUGAAUGACAUUUUCCCUACCUACUAGCUAGCCUGAUGAAAUUAAUCAUUAUUAACAAAAAACAAAAAAAAUAUUUUCUGACAUAAUUCAACCCCUUGUUAAAUUUCCAGGUGAUCGUUGUUCUUGUUUAAAAGAACAUAUUUUUGAGAAGGGUGAGGUGAUCAUGCAAGAAAAUGAAAGGAGAAUGUCUAAUAUUUGAGUGACACGAUCGUAGGCAAGCUCCAUUCGAUCGAGUGUCUGAACUCUGAAUGGGUAAAGAUCAUUCAGGUAAUGCAUUAUUAUUUGUAUUGGUUAAUUAACUUUAAUGGCUAUUGUUCUUGUAUAUAUGAAACUGGAUACAUUCUUAAUUCCCUGUAGAUUCCAUGACAGAACUUUGAUGAAGAGAAAAUGGCGAGGAGGAAUCACUAUUCCAUGACAGAACUUUGAUGAAGAGAAAAUGGCGAGGAGGAAUCACUAUUUUUUUUUUUUUUUUUGUAAUUUUGAACUUAGGACAGCUUAGGAGUAGAGAGUACUGUACCUAGCUAAAGCCCCAUAACCAAGAGGCCUUUCUUUUUCUUUAUACCCCAGCAGCAGCAGCUGCACCUCUAAUUUUAAUCAAAAUUAAACAAUUUUGAUACAAAUUAUUUUUUGGCCAUGUUUUAAAUUAAUAUUUAUUUUUAACUGAAAAUUAAUUUAAAUUAAUUCUUCCAUUUCCUAAUUUUUUAGCGAUUAAUCCCAGAUUUUUGCUAUAAAUAUGUUAAUAUCACUCCUUAUAAAAUUUUACUAUAACAUGAAUUGCUAGAAAAAAAAAUCAUUUUAUAAACUGACUCCAUAUUUAUAAAACACCUUUGACGUACGUACUAGCAUUCUUUCAUUAAGAUAUAAUAAAAGAAAAUUAAGAGCAUUCCCAUAUAUAUUACUUUUAAGUUCUUAAAAUAUAUCCCCCUCGGACUCUGUUGAUUUCUUGCUUUGGAUUGCAGGUCUUUUAAGGUGUGAAGUGACACCAACUGGUCAUCACAAGGGGAACUUUAAGCCCUCUGAACUUCGUCUGAAAUCUUGGAUGAACAACCUAUGGAACAAAGUUUUUCAAUGCUUAUGAAGCCGAUGAGUGCUGAUCAAUCGAGUCAAAAAGUUCAUUUCCUAUCCCAAAUCCAAGCAUCCUGGCCAUGUCACUGGUCUUCAGUCUAGGUUUUGGAACAUUAAUAUGCUGUUGCAAGCCUGCAACCAAGAGUACACAUCGAAAAUUAACUUUCUUCAUUGCAAACAAUUUCAGUGCCUCAGGAUUAAAAACAAUUCCUGAUUUCAUAUUUACCUGCCAGCAGAAAAUUUAAAAGUUCUGCCUUUCAAUCAUGCUCUAUUAGCUCCUUAAAUAAUAUGCAGUCUCAUCCAUUAUCUGUUAUCUGAUGAAGGACUAGCAUUGCUGCAUAACGAGCCAGCUCUCCAGCUCUCCAGCUCGCCAGUACAUCAAGACAGGUAACCAAGGAUAAGUAGCAUCAAGUCUCAAAAAUAACAAUGAUAGCAAUCCAAUGCGCAUGAUAUUCAAUAGAGUAAACCUUGAAGUUAGCAUUAUUCCAUAAUGCUAAGAAAAUACAAAUUUUCAAGCACAAAAAAACCAAGAUCCAAAAUUGAAUAAUUAAAAAGAAACGAAAAGAAGCAAUGCGGGAUAGAUCUAGAAUCAACAAAUCUUAAUCUUUAAUGGGGCUCUCUCCUUUUUUAAAACAAAAAAAAUGACUACAUCCAGACCAAAUCUGUGGUGUUUUUGUUUUUGUCUCAGUGUUCUGCAAGAAAAACAAUUUAGAGAUAGUGAGAGUUUUGGCAAUGAAAAAGAAACAAAUAUAGUAGAGAUCGGAGAAAUGUGGAUCAUUGAUUAUGUGCCUAUCCUCUCUCCUCCCUCUGAAACCUUUUUUUAUCCAUCAUGGAUCCCUUUUUUUUGCCUGACGCCUCCUUCGUUCCCCCUGCAUCUGUCAGUUUGCUUUAGAACAACAUCACCCUCUCCGCGUAGAUUUUUCUCUCUGAUCUGCCUUCUUUUUUUCUCCUUCCUUUCUCUGUUUUGUACUUGUUUUCUCUUCUAUGUAAUUAAAAGAAGAAACUGAUGGGAGAAUGGGUGGAAAACAUGCGCCCGUUAAAAAUACCAAAACACCUUCCACAAACCACAGAGACAUCCAACAGGUUGAAGUACAUAAUUAUUACUACACUAUUAAAAUUCAUAAUGAAAUUACCCAGUCCACAGUACACGCAUUCAUUUAGCACUUUUAGUUUUUUUUAAUGUUCAAUACCAAUAUAUAAAAUUUAGGCAGCGAAGUAGAUAUAAACUGGAAUUUUAAAACCACUAAAACCCAAGGUAUCCCUUUGCCAUAAAUUAUUUUCUGCCUUUCACAGCUUGCGGGAGCAAGCAUAUACAUGCAAUUACAUGGUUUUUAACUCGUGAUGGAGCUUUCUCAAAGUUCGGGAAACCUCACUUGCUGGUGAGACCUGAAUAAUCUGUUGGUGUAUAUGGUAUAAACAAGUCUGCUAAAAGUCCUUUCUUUCUUCUAGGAUUAUAUCCCAUGUCUUUGCAAAGCUGGUCAUUGUAAUAUAUGUUAAAGUUACUAAUACAAGCUCUCCUGAAGUAGCGGCCUGUAACUUGUUUGAUGUGAUCUGCCCACAUGUUUGCUUCCUCUUCCAUGUCUCUUAUACUUGGCAAUUCAAGGUUGCCAUCGAGGAAAUGUGAUAGCCAUACACUUUCGAUUUCAGAGUAACCCAAACUUGAGAAAUUCUCACUGUAUCCUAUUAUAGCCAAUUGAGGAAUUCGAGGAUGAAUUAUUUGUCUGCAGAAAUGACAAAGAAGGUGUCAUAUUAAUGUUAACCAUGCAAUAUCAAGCUGGAUGUUUGUAUUCAUUGAUCACUUUAAAGGACAUACAGAAAGAAACAUGACAAGAAAUACGAAGUUAGCAGACCUGUAGAGGGAAACUGUAGUGGUAGGUGACCCAAUUAUGUAGUUUUGGAAAACUGGAGACUCAAAAAUGUUUUUCAGUUUUUCAUCACCCUUGAAUCCUGUAGCAAAAAUCACAAGAUCAGUUUCAAAUGGACGAUUUUCUCCAUUUAUAAUUAGACCUUCUGGGAAGAAGCUUAAGCUUUGUGAAUUCUUGAUAAUGAUGCUUCCUUCUUCAACUCUGUCAUAGAAUUUGUCAGGCAGCAUCGCAAUCUGACAGGAAGAUAUAUCUUCAAGAAAGCUGGAUUUUGGUAACAUUCCAUACUUCUUCAGAGGAAUAUUCCAUCUAAGGUAGAUCUCAAUGAAUUUUGAAAUUCCCCAUCUCUGAAAAGCAAGAUAUUGGCAUCAUAAUUCAGAGCAAAUCACACAUAUAUAACAUUCAUGGACAAAGGCAAUUGCGAGAGUGAAAUAGAAGUUACCAAGGGUGCAAGUAAGGUGGCCAGAAAACUUAAUAGAAAUGUUUCACCAGGUUUAUAGACUAACAAUUCCGAGAAUCGAUUGUAGCACAGGAAAGCAAGCAGAAGUCCACUCAAAUUGUCACAGGGCAAAAACCAGUGGGCAUUCCUCUGAAUCAUUGUGCAAGGGUACAUAACUCCUGAAUGAUAGAUUAUAAUAAGGCUGUUUGAACUUCAAAUGACAACUAAGCAGUAUUCUAUGAAACAUUCUAUUCACUCAUUUAACUAAAUCCAGAGGAUGUUUUGAACAUCACAGACUUUAUUGCUCAUUAAAGUAAAAGUCUUUUUGAUAAUCUGAUAAAAGACUUAAAAGUAGGAAUAUUUGCUUGACAGAAUGUUUUCUUACCAUUUGCGUUGGCACAUUCUGCUGCUAUGUCAACUGCAGAUUUAUGAGAACCAACUACUGUAAUUCUCUUUGUUUUGAUCAAUUCUGAAGCAGUUGAAUUGUCUAGGGCUGAGAAGUCUUCUGAAUGCAUCACCUUGCCCUUGAACACUUCAGGUCCUUGAUUUGGAAGGAACUCUGGAAUAUUUGGAAGGCCACUGAAUUGUCCAAUGCAAAGAACUACAAAUUCAGCAUGAUACACCUGACCAACAUAAUUCACCAGUGAUUUAAUAUUUAUAUAUGUAUAAAAGAAAUAGCCACAACAAUAGCCCACAACAGUGGAUAUAGAAUCUUUCAAAAAAUAAACAUACUUGUAUGCUGCAAUUUUUUGUGUCUUGAACUUUGACAUGCCAUUUCCCUUUGGAGCCAAAGGGCUUGCCUGUCCCACUCCAAAGAGCCCAUGAAUCCAUCUCUUCGUUAGACUCUCCAAAAUACUCUAUACCAAUGACCUUGGAAUUGAACUUGAUGCAUGCAAAGAUAUUGAAAUGUUGUGCAUAAGAUUCCAGAUACUCCAUCACUUGAUUGUGAGUGGGAUACGUGUUUUUUAUCGAGGAAGGCCAUGGAAAAUCAGAAAACUGGUAAAUUUCUUUGCUGUUUUGGAGUCUGGUUGACUCUAGAGUAUGUGACCAAACUCCACCAAUUCGUUCUUCAGCUUCAAACACAAUCGGGUUGAGUCCGAUUUUGAGUGUGUUCUUACAGGCAAGAAGGCCACUUACUCCUGAUCCGAUGAUUACCACUCGUUUCUCCAUUAGUCCACUCUGAGAUCCGUUUAGGGUCAGGGCAUUAAAUACUAGUUAUGUCUAAGAAGCCAUCAAACGGUCUUCAGGAAAAUCAUCUAACAGUGCGUUCUUUUGUGCUUAUAUGGAUAGGUCGGUCACCUUAUCCAAAUAAUGUCGACCUUCAUAUAAUAAUAUCUCUCAGCUCAAACGGCCACCAUCUUGAUUGGCUGGGCUUGUGGGGGGUCAGAAGUGGAUGAUCGACACCUUCAUGUCUUCAAACAAGACACCAUCAUUUCUUCAAAUAAGACACUAAGCUCACACUACUUUGUUUCUGAGUGUAAGGCAUGUAGUCGGAGGUUGUCGGUAUGGAUGUGGGCAGUUUCUAAGCAGCCCAUAGUUAAGUAUUGGGUCAGGUAGGUGGCCCAAACAAGAAAAUGGACUGGACUAUCCUGCCAUUUCCAACCAUUCUGAUUUCUGGAUUUUUGAAAAUAAGAACUUAAUUUUCGCACGCGCGGUAAUCUAUCUUUCGAGUUUUUAAGUUUAUAUUAUAAAAUCAAUAUUUAAAAGAAUUUACCUUUUAUCAUUCUAUCUAGUUUCUUUGGGGUAACUUUUAAUAACCAGUUAGCUUAUAGAAUGAUAGUAUGUAUAAUUUGAUUACUUCAAAUUAUAAAAUUUAAUUGCUUGAUUUUUUUUUUAUAAUAUUCUCUAUCAUAUACAAAUUUUUUUAUAUAUAAAAUAUACAAAAAAAUUUCCAUUCUACUAAGGUUUCGAGUUAAACAUGUUGAUUCAUAAGUAAAUAAAUCAAUUUAAAUUUUAAUUUUUUUAUUUAUUAAAAAAUAUCCAAAUCAAUAUUAUUUUGGUAAAAAGAAAUUUUUUUUUCAUUAACAUAACCUAAAUCAAGUUUGGAUUGUCCUAUUAGACUGGAAUAAUUUUAAGAUUAAGUCAUUUUUUCAUUUUUUUUCCUCAUAUGAUACAAUGAUUGAAUGAAACGGUGCUUUCAUGCAAGAAUUUUAUACAAAUGAUUACAACAUCAUGAAAAUUUGUGAUCACAUACAACAUGGGAUUUGAUGAUUGCAUUAGAAAAAUCAAUCUUUUUCUUAAUGGUCUUCUAGAAGCAUUGCCAUUUAUUGGCCUAUAUAUAUAUAUAUAUUGUUGUUGCUGCUUUCAAGCAAUAAAUCAGCACAAAACUUGAGACGGAAACGAGUUGACUCUUGUCAAGGUGGUGAGCUCGGUAAUGGCAUUGUAAUACUCAGAGUAUGAAGACAGAUAUGGAUCAACCUUUAAUGGGCUGCCCCCAUGGUUAAAGGUGGAGAGCUACCUGGACUCUUACGACUAAGAGCGAGAGACUCACGGAGAAGUAAGGCGUGGUUCCUAGGGUGGAACAGAGGGCAGGCGCAACUCCUGGAUGAGUAGACUCUUGGAAGAGUGGUGAGCUCGUGAUCAUAUUGAGAUACUCAGAUAAUGACUGUCGCACUUGAGGGGGUGUUGUAAGCCUUGGUGUAAGGCUUGAUGAACCAUUCCGGACCGAGCAUGGUUGAUACGCUCGAAGGGGAAUGUUGUGUAUCCCAGAGACAAGCGUUAACACUCUUCAGAUGUGAUGUGGCAGACCAUCUGGUUGUAGUGAUCCUUUUGUGUGAGAAAAGGUGUGCUUUAGUGACUCUAGUGAUUGAAAGGUUUGGCAAGUACCUGGAAACUUGGCCAAAGAUGCUCUCAGAAUGGUAAGCUUGGAAGAGCUGCAAGAUGCAAGCCUGUGCUGAAGAAGCAAGAGGACAGUUGCCCCACAUGAAUGGCAAAGGGGGUGAUUGUUGGGUUGUUGCCAUUGCAUGUGCAUCAAAUGGUUGGCACCAACCAUUGACUAUUGGCAGCCACCAUUUUCAAUGGUUAGGCAACCUACCAUGCCUAACCUUGCAGCCAUGUUUGACAGCAGAACAAGUGGAACAGCUGCCAUGAAAUGCCUAUAAAUAGAGGCAUUAUGUGAGAGCAAAAUGAGAGGAGAGAAAACGUGAGUGUGUGCAAGAGAGUGGAGAGAAAGAGAGCUGCAAUGGCAGCAGCCUUGCUGCCAUUGCAGCAGCUGCAAGUGCAGCAGUUAAGAGCUGGGAGUUGAGAGAGUGAAGUGAUCCUCCUCCUCCAUAUAUAUUGUAAUCCUUUCUCUAUAUAUCUCAAUAAUAUAGACUCUCCCGUGGAUGUAGGCGGAUUUGCCGAACCACGUAAAAUAUUGUGUCAGUGUGCUAUCCCUCCUUUGAGCAAUUAUCAGUACACCCCCGGUCGGAAAUCCCCAAACAGCAGCAAGAGCUUUCUCUGCUUCCAACAAAUUAUUAAAUCAACUUGAUUCAUGUAACAGAUAUAAAAUUAAAUCAACCAUGUUUAUUGUUUGGAUGUUUUGAUAGACGAUUAAAAAAAAAAGUAUCACUAAUGAUAAUAUAAUUAUUUGAGAGGUCCACUUAAACUAAUAUUGUCCCCACCAUCUCCACGAGAAUUUGAACGAGGAAGACUCCCCUCGCUCAUGUCUUUGCCUCCACACAAGAAACCACGCACACAAGAAAGGAAAAAGGUGAGAAAUUUUUUGAAACGUAUUCAAAUCUCUCAUGGCAAUGGCUUCCAAUGCUCUUCAUCACCCUCUUCACCAAUCUAUAUCUCUGAAAUAUCCUCAUCUUUCUCAUAUUUCACGAUUCUCUCCCUCUUGUCUUCGCUUCACCUCCCUCCGGUUUCCCUCUACAAUUCGCGCCACUUCAGCUGUCGCUCUUGAACCGGUAACACCUUCAUCUCUACUUUCUCUCUUUUCACUUUUUUUUUCUUUUUUCUGGGUUAUACAUUCCAUUGCUUUCAGUUUUUGUUUUACUACUAAAUUACCUUUGCCACUACAAGUUUUUCUUGAAUUGGAGUAUUUUAUCAUAGUUUUUUUAACGCAUUUGAGAUAUGACAGUGAAGUACUGGUAAAGGGGUUGUUCUUGUUUGGUUGCUGAGAGAAUUUGUAUUGUCAAAUGUCUUUUUUUUUUCUUUCUUAUUCUGGGUUGUUUUUUAUUCAUUAAUUGAGGCGAUGAGAAUGUCAUAAGGAAUAAAAUGGGUUGUUUAAAAAGGUUUUAGUUGAAUCUGGCAUUUUGUCUGGGAAAAUAGGAAUGUUUCUUUGGUUACUGAGAAAGUUUUGAAUUUUGAAUAUAAAAUUUCUUAAUUAGGACCUAAAUGGCUAAACUUUAUGGAACUAGCUCAAUGGAUUGAGUUAAAUGAAAGAAAAAAUUAAGGGGCAGUGUUUAGUGUUUGAUGGAUUUUUUUAUAGCAUAUACAGUAUUGAGUGGUCACAUUUGACACCAAAAGUUGUCUUGACUCCUCUUACUUUCACUAACGCAGGGUGGCUUUCAUAUCUGUUUUAGUGGAGGUUAGAUAGAAGAAGGAGAAUUGAUUAGUUAUUCUAUUUGGUGCAGAAAUUCUCAAGCUAAUAUUGAUGCCGGCUUGUUUUCGAAUAAAUUUUAACUGGUGGCUUUUAGGUUCAUCGUUCAGCACGCAUUCAUUUAUUUAUAUUAAAUCUGAGGAGUAAUGAUUUUAGGUGGCGGUGCAAUAGCAAGGGAGUAACUUGCUUAAAGCUGCUGUUUUUUUAGUUCUGUGGCUUAAGCAGAGUUGUUUGCUGGCAACAAUUCAAAACUUUGCUGUUUAUUCAUAACUAUGUUAAGUUAAUGCUCCUCCUAUUGCUACAUAUGUUUCCUCCCGUUGUUGUAUAUUGGAUUUGACAAGAAUUUAAUCUUUCAGGAGUUAAGCACACAGCAGAAUCAAGCAAUAUUUGCUUGUCCAGUAUGUUAUGAACCUCUAAUAAGAAAAGGUCCUCCAGGUUUUAACUUGUAAGUUGGGUCACAUGAUGGUAUAAAAGCCUUUUCUUCUUUUUGUUUCGAAUUGUCUGAUAUGGUAAUAACUGCAAAACCUGCAGGCCUGCAAUAUAUCGGUCCAGUUUCAAGUGUAAAAAAUGCACCAAAACAUACUCAAGCAAAGACAACUAUCUGGAUCUUACAAUUACUGCUGGAAUGAAGGAUUACACUGAAAUCAAUCCAGUUAGGACCGAGCUAUUCCGGUAUACAUCUGGUGAUGAUGAUGCCACGUAAUCAUGCUCAGUAUAUUGAUGCAUCCAUGAUGUACUUGAUCAAUUCAAAUUUGAGCAUUACUGCGCAUGCAUGCAUAAGCUUACAGGCCUUUCAACCUUGAAUUAAUGUCCAUCCCACGCCUAUGUAGCAUUUUAUGGAUCUGUUACUGUUAAUUAGAUGGGGUACCCAAUUUUGGUUUUGACUUAAGAAGGAAUAAAGAACAAUGGAAUGCAUUUUGAAAAUCGGAAUCAGAUUUUAUAGUAAAACUGAAUUGUUUGAGGAAAUGUUCAUGCUCAUGUCAGUUACUUUCAUCUUCUCAGGAGUCCACUUGUUUCAUUCUUGUAUGAACGAGGUUGGCGCCAAAGCUUUAAUUAAAGUGGAUUUCCUGGUCCUGAUGAAGAGGUUUGUGUUCCUUGGUUUGUUUCUAGGAAUUCAAAUACACCAGUUAGGCAUGAAAGUUUAAUUAAGCUUAUCUCGAAAGAUUAGUUUGAGCAAAUAUUACUUAUGGUUUUAUGAAAUCUUUCUAUGCAACUUGGUAACUUGGAACAUUGAAAAUCCCAUGAAAUGGCAUUGGCAUCUCCGAAAAUGGGAGUAAUUAAUAUCAUUCUCAUUCUUCUCCUCUUUUGAAACUGCUACUGAAUUUGAAAACAUGAACUUGACUUUGUGAUGGUUUCUCUAAUGCAGUUUGAAAUGGCUCAGGAGUACUUCAAACCUGCCAGAGGGGGUCUUCUAGUAGAUGUAAGCUGUGGCAGUGGCCUGUUUUCUAGAAAAUUUGCCAAAUCUGGAGCAUAUUCAAAAGUUAUUGCACUUGAUUUCUCUGAAAACAUGCUUCGUCAGUGCUAUGAUUACAUCAAGCAAGACGAUACUAUCUCAACAACGUAAGCUUCUUUUGCCUGACUUGAGUCUCAAAGUUACAAUAGCUGUUAUGUGAGAGUAAUUAUAAUUUCAUAACUAUGUUUCAAUUUGAAAUGAGGAUUGACAAUUUCUUUUGCUGGAGAAUGUGCAGAAAUCUUGGUCUUAUCAGGGCCGAUGUUUCAAGACUUCCAUUUGCAUCGGGUUCAGUUGAUGCUGUUCAUGCUGGUGCUGCCAUGCAUUGCUGGCCAUCUCCUUCCAAUGCUGUAAGUGAUCUUUCUUUCUUUUGUUUCUUUUGUGGAUUUGAUGGCAUAAACUUCCAGAUAUACCAGUCCAGUCUGGUUUGCAAGAUCCAAAUUCCACUAGAAUUUGGAAAAGGCACUGCAAUCUUUUGUCUAUCAUGAUUUGUGACUUUGAUGUCCUUAUCCUGAUGCUGGCUUGAUCUUGUCCCUCAUGCUACUCCCUUAGGGCCAUCUCUUAUGCAUUGACCAUUGACGUGUAAGACACCAUGUUAUUAUAUGCUGUGAGUUAAAGAAAAUUCUAACCUCAUGAUGUGGGAUUGACGAGAGGAUGAGUAAUACAAUGCUUAAAACUAGUCCUUUACAAGUUACAAGCUUGAUUGUGAUGUGGUCAAUUCCUGUCACGUCUAAACCAUCGAGGACUUCUUUUCCUAUCUUUGGAUUGAAACUUUAUCAGGGUUCAGGAAAUCAGUAGUUUAAUGUGCUUCAUUGCACCAAAAGUGGAAGCAAAAAGAAUAUGAAGUUCAAUACGCCACUUCUUACUUGACCAUAUUUGAAAAGGGUUUCAAGUCAUAACCUACCAAAACUAGGUGUAAAGAGGCAUGGAACACUGAGUAGAUUGAGUCUCCAGGAUAAGAGUUAAAAAAACGAAAGAUUGUAGUCGUGGCUUUUGCCUUGCAAAGAGCUGAAGUAAAGGACACCUUCUCUAGACCUCAGGAUGCUUGAGAUCUCUAUUACAGAUAUUUUCUCUAACAAUUACUGCUGCCACUGAAAACACACAACACACAGAUUGCAAAUGAAAAACAUUAUAACUUGCUGAAUAUGUAAGUUAUCACCUUUUGUUUCAGAAUCUACUAGAUAGUGUCAGACAACAGUAGUCAGCCUCCAAUCUUAAUACAUAAGGCGUUUACAUUUGUGGGUUUGUGAACAUAAUACUUGUAUCUAUAGUAUGACAAAGUCAACUACCUUAGGUGCCCAUCAUGUGGUUCUGCACUUUGGUCUCAUGGAACUGAUAACAACGUUCUACCAGUGGCAAGGCAGUGCCUAUAGCACAAGAUAUCAAAUUAUAUGCAAAACAUUUGCAUUGCUUUGAUCAAAUCCAGCAAUUAUCUUGGUUCACUGGCUAUGUUUUGGGAAAUUGCGAGAGGUGGUUUGUUAUGUCAUCAGCAAGUAGGUUCCGUGGCGUCUUGUCCUGAGAAGUACACAUCAUAAACCCCUCUCCCAAGUUCUGUGUUUAUGUGUGUUUUAAGUGCUUUCUCAUCAUUUGACUGUAUGUAGAAUUAUUUUAUGAACCUGCUGUUCAACUAGUGACGUAUCUAAUAAUGUCAGGUUUCUGAAAUUUGUCGUGUAUUGCGAAGUGGUGGAGUUUUUGUCGGAACCACUUUUCUUCGAUAUAGUUCAACCACUCCACGGAUAGAACAACCUUUCCGAGAGGUAAUAAGCUUUUUUUCCUUCAUUUGAUCAAAUCAUAGUCAUAGAGUGAUAAUAACUGGGAGGAUUAAUUACUAUGCCUAGGGUUACUUCCUUUUGGCUUUUGAUUUUAUGUGCACAUGUGUUUGUAUAUUUAAAUGUUAGUUAUUCAGAAUUGCUCUCACCCAAGCUGGCAACGGUGAAAGGAACUGUCCAAAUUGAAAUUAGUUUGUGAAUAUAGCAAAGGAAGCAGUAAAGCAAUGAAGAACUAGUGUUUUCAAGUUUCUACAAAUUUCGGGUUAAGUGAAACUUACCCAGAUUUGUUUGUUGAUUUUCACGCCACAAAAAGUUCACAUUUCAAUCAUAUCGUAACACAUUUCAUGGAGAUUUGUACACAUUUUUCAUGAAGACUUCAUUUAUCAUGAAUGUAUAUUAACUGAAGUCUUAUAAACUAUUAUGGUUUGGGUCUGCUAGUUUUUAAUCUUAACAUUAUGCUAUUCUUGGAAUGCUUGCUUCUUUGAGUUACAUGUAAAUUAAUAGGUGAUGUGUUAGCUCAACAUACAACAGAGAAAAUUGCACAUCCCAAUUCCUUGGAAAUUAGGUUUUUAGUAAUGAUAGGUCGUUGUGAGGGUGGAACUCCAUCCAAACUGGUUGCAGUUUGCACAGCCAGAGAAUUGUAGGGUAAUUCCAUCUACACUCACCAUUGUUAUAUGCUAUAAUUGGAUCUAAAGAUCUUCAUGUGUCUGACAGAGGAUUUCGCGGAACUCUAACUUCUUCACGGAGGAGGAAAUUGAAGACUUGUGCUCAACAUGUGGUCUUACAAACUACUCAAAGAAAGUUCAGCAAACGUUCAUAAUGUUCUCUGCUCAGAAGCCAUGAAGCAAGGUUUAGUUCAUUUAGACACAAUUCUCCCUGGACUUGACAUUGACAUAUCCGGUGCUGGUUUGGUAUAUAAGAUAUUUCAAUUGUAUAGACUUUUUAAAUAAACAAGACCUAAAAGGUGAUAUAACCUGGGGAGAUGCAAAGUGCCAUUGUUAAUAAAAAGAAGUCUAUAAUUACUGUCUGGUUUAUAUAUAUAAUGAUUCAACCCCUGCUUUGAACUUCAGCAGUGUCACUAAUCCCAGGGGACUAGCCUUUCUAUUUGUAGAUUUUGCUGGGAGUGAUCUGAAAGCAAUGCUUCUGAGAUAGUCCACAAACAUACACUACUAGCACCGAGUCUGUAGAAUGCGCUAACAAAUUCUUAGCUUUCAGCUUUAUCUGAUGAUUAGAUAAAAUUCAUACUUGUUUUUUUCAUGAAGUCUGUUUAAUCUGUCCGAACUUCUUGCUGGGAUUGGACUUGUCAAGGUGCUCUAUGAACAAUAUGCUAGACAUUUCAUGUCGACUGCUAUGCAUCAGUAUCGUCCUGCAACACAAUUCUUGUGACUCAAACGGACUCAUGGUUUUGGACUGAUAUCUGUGACCUAUAAUCUAUACAGACAGGGCUCAUGAACCCGCAUGAUGUGAGUUUAUUAAAUGAUAAGUCAGGAUCUGGUGGCGAGGCUUUGCACAUGACGAGUCCUCGAGGAUUUGGGCAAAGCAAAUAUAAUAGCCCCCGGGGAUGUGGCUGAGCCAAUAAAGAAACCCUUUUUAGCAGGGCAAAGUGUGUCUCUGAAGUAUCAAAUAUGGGCAGAGAGAGCCCCUCGUGCGGCUCACAAGCUGACCAGCUUUCUGUAUGUUCUUCUACAGUUCUACUACACUGUUUGCCCUAAAGGAACCCAUCAUUACAAACUCUGUUCACUUCUGGAUCCUUGACCUUUGACCAUCCAACAAGAUGCACAGCUGGACAAGAAAAAUAAGAGAGGAAUAUUUGAUCAGUCCAAGAACAAGGAGACCUCUUAGGGUUUAAUUUGGUUUAUUUUUCAAAGUGAGGACAUUGGAUCCCUUGCACGUGACCUUCUUUCCUCCUGCAAUCCCAUUUUGCUUUCCAUGGCACGUGGGGUCGGUCACCCUUUACCUUUCUUUUAUUUUUUUAUAAUUUUUUCUGCAAAUUCUUAUUUGUCUUCGUUUUUUCUUUAGAAUAAUGUUAAUCCAAUCGGAAAAGCUCACUCAGCAAUGGCUGGGAUUUUUUCCAAAUAAUUUCGAAAAAAAGUCUUUCAAUAAAAUUUGCUUUUUUUUUUUUUCUGAAGGAAGAAAUGGAGACUGGUUUUGCUAAUUGAUUUGAUUAUUAUUUGCCACGUGCAUUGUCUUACUGCAACUCUUAAUUAUGAUUACAGGAGAAUAAUGAAGAUUAAUGGGGUUGCUUUUAAUUAGCUGUUUCUUGAAUUCAAAAUAUAUUUUUCCUGGGUAAUUUGAAAAGAGGAAAGGUACAGGGGCAAAUGGUUUAAUUAAGAUGAUAUCGUGCAUCACAUUUCCUAUUGAAUUGUGCAUAUUUUUUGUUGUCACUAUUUGAAGGCUUCAUAAACUUUAUCAACAUUAAUUAGCAUAUUUAAAUCAACAUUAAAAAGAAUCAAUUUAAAAAAAACUAUAAAAAAACCCGAGUCAAUUGAAGUUAACUCGAUUAAUACACGACCUACGAUAUAAAAUUAGGAUAAAUUUUUUUUUAAAAAAACCUGGAAAAUAGAUCGAAGUUAAACAAAAAAACAUUAAAAAAAACUAGAGUAACUCCACAUAAAGAAAAGCGGAAAAAUCACAAAGGUCAAAGCUCAAUAAUUUAAUGUCAAAUAAUAAAAUUAAAAAAAUUAAUUUUAAAAAAAGAAACGUUGGGAAAAAAAAACUAAGUCAAUCUAGGUUACCUCGACUAACUUGCGAUAUGCGAUCGGGAUAAAAAAAAAUUAAAUUAAAAAAAAAAACCUAGAAAAAAAGACCAAAGUUAGGUCAAUAAAAAAAACAUCGAAAAAAACUUAAGUAAACCCGGGUUAACUUAACUCACUUGUGACCUGAGAUAACCCCAUUGAAAGGAAGUAGAAAAAAAUCACAAAGUUAAAGGCUCGAUAUUCUAAUGUCAAAUAAUAUAAUUGAAAAAAAUCAAUUAAAAAAAAACAUAAAAAAAACCCGAGUAAACCCGGGUUACUUAACUGACUCAUGACUCGGGAUAUAAUAAUCAAAUAUGGUAUAAAAAUAAUGAAGCAAAAUUCCUAAUCGUCAAAAGUUGAAAACAAAACAAGUACCAAUCAAAUAAUGAGAAUCAAAUCUGGCAUAAAAAAAUAAAUGAAAGAAAAUAACUAGGGAUUAAAUUAAAAAAUAAAAAAAAUUAAGAAAAUAAAAAAAAAAUAGUAAUAAAAAAAUAAGGGUCAAACUAGAUAUAAAAAUUAAAUGAAAUAAAAUAUUUAGAGAUGAAAUUAAAAAAAAAACUUCUAUAAUCACUAAAAAAAAAAUAGCAAUCAAAAGAAUAAGGACUAAAUUAAAUACAAAAAUGGAUCAAAUUUUAUUUUAAAUUAAUUUAUUUCGCCAAGUUAAAUUUGAGUGAGGCUUUAUCAGAUUAAUUCUAAGGAUUUUUUUAAAAAAAAGUUUGUCAAAAAUAAUAAUGUUUAAUUUUUUUAAAAAAAAUUGUUUUAGGAUUAAUAUAGAAAAUCUACAACCCGAGUCUAAUAAUUAUGGUUUUCUCAUGCAAUUGUAACCCGGUAUCCACCAUUUAUAAUCUCACACUUGCUAGGGCAGGUGUUGGACUUUUCAGUAAACAUGAUUCUUUCUCGUAGCUAAUUGAAAUAUUGUUAACAACUUAAUGAUUUAACUUCUUUUCACUAAUAUGUAUUUAAUCAGUUGUGAUUUAUAGUGAAUUGCAAAACCAAAACCAGCACUAAUGGAAAAUCUCUCUGCUAAAACAAAGUUCAUGCACCCAACCUGAUUUCCUCUUGCAAGUUGCAAAGAAUAUCUACUCGUAGACCUUUACCAAGUUUCAAGUAGAAAAAAUAAACACACAAUUCAAAAAAUAAAAUGGAAUUAACCAAUUCGUAUGCUUUGUGCUUGCAGCCUUUGUGAGGCAGUGGGAAUUAAGAAUAUUAUCCAACAAGCCGCCGGGGAAAAUAUUUCGGCCACCACCAUUUAUGCAGCGAAGAUUGGAUCUUUUUAUACAUGGAAUCAUGCUCAUACACAUUUUCUGUGGACUGCAGGCAGCAUAGAAAAGAGCAGAUAUUUCUAGGUAAGGGACAUGUCAAGCUUGGAAUUAUGCCAUGUGUAUCACCAGGGAAGACUUUGCAGAAAGGAAAUCAUAAAAACGAUUCAUGGUUCAUGCAUGGAAAAUGAUCGCCAGCCAAUAUGUUGAAUUCAAAUGUUGCCUACCUUGAUUCCUUCUAAUAAUGUUCAGAUCAUUCGACUCCCUAGCUUUGUGUAAAGAAAAAAAAAUACAGUAGCCUAAACAACUUUGUUUCUGGAUAAAUUACACGAAUCACCUCGAGAUUUGUUAUUGUUUAAAUACGUAGAUUACAUUAUGGAUUGUUUUUAAAUUAUAGCUCAAGUGCUCCUCCUUUCAAGAGAUUUUGAAUUUGAAAUCUUUACUUUAUAUACAUAUAUAUAUAUAUAUAUAUAUAUAUAUAUAUAUAAAUUUUAAUUCAAUAAUCUAAUUAGGUUGAUUGUAAAUUAAAAAAAAAAACGAUUCAUUAACAAAAACUAAUUGAGUAGGAAAAAUCAUAUCAUUACUCUUGUUCUCAUAAAGUAUUAUUCAUUAGAAUAAUAGUUUUUUUUUACUCUUUUUUUUAAUAUUAGAUUUAUUGGAGGAUUGAGCUUUAUAAUUUUUUUUUUUUUUUAAUGAGGUUGUUCUAGUCUCAUGAUCCGGAUCACAAGUUUUACAGAUUAACCUGGUUGACUCGAGGUUUUUAUAGGGUUUUUUUUAAUUAUUUUUUUUUAAUUUCAUCCUUCACCAUAUAGGUUGACUAGAAAUUAAAAUUCAUAAUUUAUUUCGAUUUGGUUUUUAUGAGGUUAUCUCAGUUUCAAAACUCAAGUUUAGCAUGUUAAACUAGGUUGACUCAAGUUUUUUUUUUUAUUGAUAUUUUUUCAAUUCUAUCAUUCAAUGUUGGAUUGAUUGGGAAUUAAGUUUUAUAAUUUAUUUUGAUUUGCUUUUUAUUGGGAUAUCAUGGUUUUAUGAUCCCGGUUUGACAAGUUAAUCCGAGUUAAUUCAAGUUUUUUUUCAUUUUUUUUUAAUUUAUUAUUUUCAAUUUAAUUCGUUUACAUUGGAUUGAUUGAGGAUUGAGUUUCAAUAUAUUUUUUGAACUGCUUUCUAUGAGAUUAUUAUAAUCUCAUUACCCGAGUCACGAAUUUUAUAUUUUAAUCUAAGUUGAUUCAAGUCGAUCUAAUAUGUUAUUGUUUCAAUAUUAAAAAAUAUAAUGUCAUAUCAUCUUAAAAAAAAUUUAAUUAAACUAUUUUUUCAGUUGUCUAAAUUGUUUUUAACUUGUCAUCAAAUUAAUCUCUCUGCACGUUUGAAUUUUAUUUUUCCUCCUUAAAAACACGUUAACAAUGACAAGAUAUUUCUUUUAACUUUUUUUUUUUUUUUGGAAAUAAUACAACUCAUAACGCGUUUUUGUUUUUCGUUUGGUUUGGUUGCGGCGGACGACAUUGUGGUCUACGAAACCAAGCUUGGAUUUAUCUUUCAAAGAAAUCAUCAUGGAUCUACAUCAUGUCAAAUAAUUAUCCCUGCCGAGGGGCCUCAAAACAAGCAUCAUUCGUUGAUGAUCGGAAUGGUGAAGAAAGCAUAAAUUGGCAGCACCAGGCUGGGCUGCACUCGAUCGAAAGUUUCUCAUUUGCCAUAAUAAUAGGAGAUAACAAGCAAUAAAAGGCAAAAUGAAAUCGGGCAUAGAGCUAAGGUAUCGUCCUUGCUCUGAGAAAUAUUAUUUGCCUUUGAAUGAGUAUUUAUUAAAAAAUAGGAAACAUAGCUUUAUACAAGAGAUUGAUCCAAGUACAAAAUGCAACUAAGCAAACAUACAAUUAAUACAGUAUAUUGGUCAAUGCAUGACCGAAUGAAGUGCCAUAUAUUAUUGUUAUUCUUAACAUUUUUUUUAGGUGUUUUUGAUAUUUUUGAUAUUCUGGUGUUAAAACAAAAUCUAAAAAAAAUUAUUUUAAUAUAUUUUUAAUUAAAAAAUAUUUUUAAAAAACACCAUACACUACAAUAUCAAAUACACAAAAUAAUCUAUCCUUCUUCCUGUUUUUGAGUAAAAUAUUUUACCAAAAGAAGUGUCAUGGUCUAGCCAGGCAUGAACUAAAAAAAGGCAUAAAGGAAAGAGAAAAAAAAAUACAAAGAAUGGCAAAAACCAAGAUUAGCUCUUGGCCAGAGCCUAAAGACAAGAAAAGCUCCCUCAAAAUUAGUAAAAGGGCUAAUAAAUCUUACUAACAAGUGCUUAAUGAGUGGUGUUUGUCUGUCUAAUGUUCGUCACAAGAGCACACAUUAUCGUUCAAAGCACAGCUCCUGGCUCUUUACUCUUUAGUGGAGUAGUUGGUUGAUUAAUGUUGCCACGUCUGAUUCCCAUAAAACCGAGUUUCCUCGUACGUGUCUGUUCAAAGUCCAAUUGAUACUGUGAUGUUAAGUCCGUAAAUACCGACCAGAUACGGGGAAGUAAGAAAUAGAUUUUCUCUAGAAGCUCCGGUCAUGAGUUAAUCUAUGCUGUUGAUAUUCCCACCGAGCUGCUUGUUCAUCGCUUGCUGUUGAAGUUAAUUUUAAACCAGAGAGAAAGAGAGAAAUUAUGUAAAAAAAAAAAACACGUGAUGUGAACAAAAGGCAAUGUUUAAGUUAAAGCUAAAUGAAGUUCUAAAGAAAAGGUGCAAUUUAAUAGCGAAUCCUACUUUAAUGUUGUGUUCUUUCAACUAAUUAACUUUUUGACGACUAAUUUAUAUAAGAUAUAGAAGGAAUAAGGACCUUGAUUCUAACCGUAUUUUAUACUUACGUUGAUAAAUUGGUAAAUGAAUAUAUAGUUUAUUGCAAAAAAAAAACCUUUAUUUUCUAUUUUCUUAUUAUUUUUAAUUUAGAUCGAUCUAAUAUAUUGUCAUCUAAAUAUAUAUAAAAAAUCAUCUUAAAAUUCUUUUAAAAUCAUACAAUGUUUUUUUUCUAGUUAUUUGAGUUAUUUUUUAACUCACUAAAUUGAUCAUGCCACCUUAUACCUUAUAUGCAUGUUAAUUUUAAAUUUUAAUCGAAAUCAAAUCAGGAGAAUUCAAAAUUGAAUCAUUAAAUUAAAGUUAAUACUAAUAUUAAAUAAUUUAUUUCUAAACAGUUUUUUUACGUAAAAAAACUUUAUCUAACCCCACAGUGUAAUGCAAGCUAGGAAAUUAGUAACUUUCUAAGAAAUCAUAUAUUGAAUGAAUGGAAUAUGAUUGAAAUUUUUCUAAAAAUAAUUUGGAGAAGAAUCUUUAAAUAAUAUUAAUAAAAAUAUUUUAAUUAUAGUUGAUAAAUUUGACUUGAAAUUUGUCUAGAAGAAAAAAAGCUAGAUAAACUCAGAUAAAUUAUUUUGUAUCAAAAUAAUAUUGUUGUUGUGUUCAUUUCAAAAAAAAUUUAAAUAUUAAUUUGACUAGAUUUAUCAAUCAACCACAUAAUUAAACAUACAUAAAUCAAUGUUAUUUUUUUAAAAAAAAAAAUUUUGGUGUUGAUUCAACUAGAUUUGGUCAAGUAAAUCUAACCACGUAAUUAAACAAACCUAAAUAUAUGUUAUUUUUAUUCAAAUUAAAAUAUUUCUAACUCAAAGUCAUAAAAUUCUUGAAAGUACUGAUUUUAAUAAGUAUGAUUCUAAUCACAUAUCUAACACUUAUCUAUUAUCGCUAGCUAUUAACAACUCGUUAAAAUGACCAUUUAUGAACAAAGUAACCCAUAUAUUGAUAACCUACCACAGUAACAAGCACAGACAUAAAACAAAUUGCAGCGUCUCCCUCGUCUCCAUCUCCAAGUCCAAAUUCAAAUAUGUAGCUCAACUAAUUUAAAAGAUGUUGAUAAUUUAAUAAAGAAAUAAAUGGGCAAAAAAAUAUACAUGUUAGGGCAGCUGCUCCAAGAAGAGCUUAGUAAGUUUAGCAUUAGAGCUCUUAAGCCAAGAAGAUCAGGAAAAAAAAAUAGUUUAUGGAGGUGGCAGAGAAAGGGAGACACAGAAACAGCUCCCACGUUCUCCUCAUACCUGACUUCUUCUCUUUAAUAAUGCUCUCUCUCUCUCUCUCUCUCUCUCUCUCUCUCUCACACACACACACACACACACACGCUCACACACACACACACGCUCACAUUCACACUUAUAAGUAGAAGCCGUCCCUAUUGACAAAAUGAUGCCUAUUUCUCAAGGGAAUAAAUAUAUACCCGUUCAUCUCUUGUGAACCUCCAUAAAUACUCUUAUCUCCAUACCCUAAUCUCUCUCUCCUCUCUCUCUCUCUCUCGUUACACCACUAUCUUGAUAACAGUUCAAGAGGGCUCAUCAUCUCUCUCUUUUUUUCUGUGAUCAUGGUGAGUGUCACUCCCCCUUCCCUCGCUUGAUCGCCAAUAUCUAUUGCAAAAUUCUGUUUGAGUUUUGAUUUAUGUGUUGAAUUUUUAAGUGUCUCUUUUGCUUAAUUCUGGUUGGUAUUUGUGAUCAUGGUGUUUUUCAGGGAAUUCAAAAGCCUGCAUGGUUGGGAGCUCUUUACACACAAAAGUUUUUUGCAGGGUGCUCUUAUCAUGAAGCUGCAAAGAAGAAUGAAAAGAACGUGUGUUGUUUGGAUUGUUGCAUCAGUAUUUGCCCUCACUGUAUACCAUCCCAUCGCUUCCAUAGGCUUCUUCAAGUUCGUCGUUAUGUUUAUCAUGAUGUUGUCCGAUUGGAAGACCUCGAAAAGCUGAUUGAUUGCUCAAAUGUUCAGGUUAGUGGCUUAAACAAUCUUAAUCUUCUUGCCUCAUAUGUUGCUCUAGCAAGAUUCAGUCUGUAGUUUGCUAAUUAACUUAGCUUUGAUUAUAGGCCUAUACCAUCAAUAGUGCGAAAGUGGUGUUUAUCAAGAAGAGAGCUCAGAACAGGCAAUUCAAAGGGGCCGGAAACUAUUGUACUUCCUGUGAUAGAAGCCUUCAAGAACCUUUUAUCCAUUGCUCUCUUGGCUGCAAGGUACAAAGCAAUUUUCAUGCUAAAUUCCAAGAAGGGUGACUAAAAGUUUUUUCCACAUGCAAUUACGACCCUUUUAGUCAAAAGAGCAUAUCACGAUAAAGUUGCGCUCAAUUAUGAUCAAAUCUCCAUGGACCGCCUUCAAAAAAAGGAAGAAAUUGUUGUAAUCAUUUUGUCUUUUUAUUUCAAUCGUUAUGUCUUGAUAUCAAUUUAUAUGUUAACUAAACUAACUAAGUGCGUAUAUUUAGAAAAAUAAAUUCAUGUGUAAAAAAAGAAAAGAAGCAAACAUCAUUAACGAUCAGACCAUCAAUACAAGUGAAUUUUACUCGAAUCAUGCACAAUUAAGAAAACCAAGAAUUGUGUAUUGAAUUAGCCAGAUUAUUUCUAGGAGGGGUGUCUUAAUUAUGACCAUCAUUCUUAAGAUCGAUCCUAUGAUCAUAUUUAACAGAAAGAUUUCCUUCAAUGUUUUCUGCAGGUGGACUUUGUGCUGAAACAUUACAAGGACCUUUCUCCAUACUUGAGGAGAUGCAACGCAUUAACUCUUGGUCCUGACUUCUUUAUCCCUCAAGAUAUGGCAGAUGAUGAGAUGACCAAUGAGACGCCUCACUCGACAAUUGUGGACUCCGAUGAGCCGAUGAGCUGGUCUUCAAGUUCAUCGGGUUCCGAAAACAUGAGCAUCGCUAGCACUGGGAUUGUACGGAAGAAGAGGAGUGGAUUAUACGUAUGUGCAAGAUCAUUGAGCAAGGUUUCUGAUGAGGACAUGGCUUCAAGCAUGAGUAGAAGAAAAGGCAUCCCUCAUCGAUCUCCUCUAUGUUAGGAAAACAAAUUAAACCAAAAAAACUUUUAUUUCUUACUAUAAUUAUUAAUUAGUUUUACUUGGAUAUUUUGACCGACCUUCAAAUUCAAAGUGUUCUCUCUCACAGUCACAUCAUCUCUCUUCACUCUUCAACUUGAGUUAAUUAAUAACUUGGUCGGGGGGUUUUGUCUUAAUGGCAUCACGUGAUUCCCAAUUCCAAGUUAUGGUUUUGUACAUUUUUCUAUUUUUUCUAUGCUCAUAUUAAUAAUUCAAGCCAUCAAUCCGAGGACUUUAUUGUUCCAAACUUGUACACCUCUGGGAAUUACACAGUACAUUUAUGUAUUUGUUAAUUUCCUAUGCAUUGGUACACACACUUGCUUUUACCGGGUAAUUCAAGAUUCUGUUUACGAGAAUAUCAGGGUUAUGUUUUACAAUGUUUUUUAUUUUAUUUUUAAAUAUAUUAAAAUAAUAUUUUUUGUAUUUUUUAAAAUAUAUUUUUGAUAUUAACACAUCAAAAUAUUUUCAAAACACUAAAAAAUUAAUUUAAAAUAUAAAAAUAUUCAAAAAUAAUAAAAAAACUAUGGUUCAACCACAACACCAAAUAUAUACUAAGAGACCAUUUGGGAACAAGAUGCAAACCACGUUCUCUCAAUUUUUUUUUUGUUUAAAAUUAAUAUUUUUUGAUAUUUUUAAAUUGUUUUGGUGUGCUGAUAUUAACAAUGAUUUUUAAAAAAUAAAAAAAAUAUUAUUUAAUACAUUUCCGAGUAAAAAUAUUUAGAAAAAUAAUCGCAACCACACCUCAUACACGCUCUAAAAAGAAAAGGUAGCUAUAUAUGGAUUUUGCAAGCAAAAAUACUCGAACUCCAACAAAGACAAAUUGGUUUCUUGACAACAAAAGGAGAAGGGUGGGUUUCGAUUAACCAAAUUACCGUAAUUUCUUUAUGGUUGUUGGCAAUUGAGAAUUGUAGACAUUUCUCAUCCUCCUAUACUAUAUAUAUAUAUAUAUAUAUAUAUAUAUAUAUAUAUAUAUAUAUAUAUAUAUAUAUUUUGUAUUUUCAUACUCUUAAUGCAUGGCUAGAGUGCUCAAAACCAUGUUAUGAUGAAAUAUGAAGCUUAGAAGUAUGAAUAUAGUUUACUUGGUCUUAAAGUUAUUCUUGGCAUUUAAAAUGGAAGAAUAAAUCCCAAAUUAGUAAGAUUUAUUGGCAUUAAAAACCAUAAGAUUUUUAGCACCAUCUCAUGAUGAGAAGGGAUUCGUUUGACUAUUAUAUGUCUACAUCUACAGUGUACUGUCUCUUCUCGGAGAGAGUGCUGGGGUUUGAGAUUUAACCACUAUUUUUGACCGGUCAAAUUCUACCCCAAUUGACAAUUUAAAUCAGAUAAAUAAUCACUAUUAAAUUAAGGGGCAAUUUAAAAUUGUGGUGCAAACGGAGUUUUUAAAAAGUUUGAUUUUAAAAAAUAAAUUAUUAUAUUUUUUUAUUUUUUUAAUAUAUUUAUAUCAAAAAUAAUUUAUUAAAAAAAUAUAUUUUUAAACAAAAAAUAAUUAUAUUAACACAUUCUUAAACACAUCUUAAAAUAUAGUUCGUGGGGGAUAAAAAAUUAAUUCAGUGAGAAUUAUAGUUACAUGGAGCCAGCUCAAUCUGACAAUGAUAUCACCUUUUUAGACAAGUGGUGUUAUAGUAAAAAAUAAAUAAAAUUGAAUGCUAUUUUAAUACACUGUGUUCUAUAAAAAUAUAUAUAUUUUUAAAAUAUAUUAAAAUAAUGUUUUUUAUAUUAAAAUAUCAAAACCAUAAAAAACAAUAAAAAAAAUCAAUUUGAUAUUUUUUUCAAGCCUUAUAUAUAUUUAAAAUGCAUUCAAACACAGUUUCAAAUCUAAAAAUAAAUUUCCCAUGAACAAUGAUAAUUUAUAUAUCAAAGUUGAAAAUUUUAGGAUAUUUACACUCACUAUCAAAUUUAAUUGUAUAUUGUCUUAACAAAUUUGGAAUAAUAAGAAGUCUCAAAUCAAAGCAUCGGGAUACCAUGGAGCAAGUUAAUUCACUGUUGGUGCUUUGUAAAAUUUUGUGAGAUGGAUUAUCCCAAUGACGGCACCACAAGCAGUUACUCAGGUGAGGAUUCUAGAGGAGGUUUUCUUGGUAACUAAGUAGGCCAAUAAUUUGUGGUGGCCUACAGUCGAAAUUGGGCCGAGAAAUGCUGGGCCCACCAUUUGGGUAUUUACUGGGCUCUAGAGCACGGGCUUUUGUUGCCGAAAACAUGUAAAUUAAGCUAAAAAGGGAAGUGCUAUUCGGCGUAUUCGCUAUUCGCACGAGAUGGCAUGGGGUAGUUCAUGAAAUAAAAUAUUUCGUGUAGGUGGCCCAAUUUAUAUUUCAGGCUAGCCCAGUAACAUGACUUCUAAAACUAAGCCCACAAAACAAUCAUCAUUAAAAAUAAAAAUAAAAAUAAAAACUGAUAGAAUUAGAGGAGGGAAGAAUAUAGUAGAUAAAGGAAAAACUGAAUUUAGAUCUUUCUUAGUUGAAAUGUCUUGACAAUGUCUAAGCCCACUCAACAAUGGCAAAUAAAUAAAAUUUCUAAAAUCUUUUACUAUAAAAUUAUUUUUAUAUUUGUUAAUGUAGUAUACGUUGCUUUUCAAUUAAAAUGUAUUAACAUAAUUUUCUUAUAUUUUAUUCUUUUUAUCAAUGGAUCAAAAUUAUCAAAAAAUACAUAAUUAAAAACAUCAAUUAAUGUUUUUUUCAAAUAAAAAAUAAUUUAAAAAUCACUUUGAGAAACAAAUAGCAUCUAAUAAAAUAUUUAUCACCAUUAAAAUUACAAAUGAAAAAUUUAACCUUUUAAGAUUAAUUAUUAGGUGUUUGAGAUUAUUUGGCUUUGCUAAAAAAAUAUGAGCAAAAUACGAGUUAUUUUGUAUAAAGACAAAUACGAGUUUAAUUGGGAAUUUGGAUAAGGGCAAGAUCCAGAAAAUUACAAAGAAAAAACAUGUCAUUAACCCUUGUACAUAGAGAUUGUUCUAAGUGUAGUUUAAGCAAGUGGAUGCCUCAGCCUUUUCUUUUUAAUCCCUAAUGUUCAAUGUUCAUCUUCAAACCAUGGCUUAGACAUUUGGGUUAGCCUUUAUUUGUUAUCCUUAUAACUAGAUUUUUUUUGGUUCAUCAGAAAUUCUCCUGGCUUAAGUGUUGUAUUUACAAGGAUUUGUUUCUUCACUGGUGAAGGUAUAAAAAUUUGUUCGUUAUUAGUUUUAAUGAUUAAGAGGUAUUUGAGAUAAUAAUAAAUAUUGUUUUUUUAUUUUUAUUUAUUUGAAAAUGUAUUAAAAUAACAUAUUUUUUUAUUUUUAAAAAAUAUAUUUUUGACAUUAACACAUCAAAACGAUUAAAAAACGCUAAAAGAAAUUAAUUUAAAAUAAAAGGAAAUUCAAUUUUUAAAGAAAAGUUGUCCAGCAACGGAAAUUUUGAGCGAAAUUGAAUUUUUUUAGAAAUCCAAUACUACUUGAGAAACCCAAGUCAGUAAGUUUACAGCCUCGAUUCAAUGCCUUUGAGGUGGAUAAUGAUAGAGCUGAAGCUUUUGGAAGAGAACUGCUUAAUUAUAUUAUUAAUAGACGACAUUUAUAUAGAUACAAACCUAACAGAGUUCUCUACGUUGCAGGAAGACUAAUCCUUUAGAAAUACAAGUUGUUGCAGUAAUGGAGUCCUAAUGAAUAACAAACUGUAAGAGCAGUAAUGAAGUCCUAAUGAAUAACAAACUGUAAGAGCUAUACAUUGAUUUAUCAUGCCCCCUCAAGAUGGACCACGAUCGGAGAGGCCAAUCUUGUCACGAAACAAAUGAAAUGUAGACGUAGACAGGGGUUUGGUCAGAAGGUCCGCAAGUUGAUCAGCAGAUGAAACGUGAGUUACACGUAACUGACCAGAUUGAACUUGAUCGCGAAUGAAAUGGUAGUCGACUGCAACAUGUUUCAUGCGAGAAUGAAAAAUAGGAUUGGAACUUAAUUGAGUUGCUCCUAUGUUAUCACAGUAUAUCACAGGUGAGGAAGACAGAGCAACACCAAGUUCAUGAAGUAGAGAUUGUACCCAACAGAGUUCAGCAGCAGUGGCAGCAACGGAGCGAUACUCAGCCUCUGUUGAAGACCUGGCAAUGGUCUUUUGUUUCUUUGAACUCCAAGAAAUUAAAUUACUUCCAAGAUAAACUAGAUAAGCACUAGUGGAUGAAUAAUCAUCUUUAUUGCCAGCCCAAUCGGCAUCUGAAAAGGCAUGAAGUUGAUCAGCGAAGUCAUGAAGAUUGGAGGGCGAGUCACGGUGCAGAAGAAGGCCUUUGUUUAGUGUACCAACAAGGUAUCGCAGAAUUCGUUUAACAAGUAUCCAGUGAUCAUCGGUUGGGCUGUGCAUGAAUUGAGACAGUUUGUUCACAGCAAAGGACACAUCUGGUCUUGUAAGUGAAAGAUACUGAAGGCUCCCUACCACUUCACGAUAAAUUGUGGGAUUCUGUAGCGGUGAACCAGACAACAAUGAAAUAGCAGAGGCAGAGCUUGGAAUCGGAGUGAGCACUGGUUUUGCGUCCAACAUGUUGAGACGAGUUAGCAGGUCAGUAAUGUACUUGCGUUGAGAGAGUAGAAUACCAUGUUUGUGAGGAAGAACUUCAACACCCAAGAAGUAGGACAAAUUGCCAAGAUCUUUAAGAGAAAAACGUUUGGCAAGACUGGAAACAAAAACUGAUAGAAUGUUGUCACUGCUGCCUGUGACAAUAAUGUCAUCCACGUAAACCAGCAAAAACAGAACAUGUUGAGCACUGUGAAAUGUGAACAGAGAAGGAUCAGAGUAGGAAUUGCAGAAACCAGAAGCCAACAGAAAUGUGCGCAAUUCAUGAUACCAAGCCCGGGGCGCCUGUUUGAGUCCAUAAAUGGCCUUGUGAAGUUUGCAGACAAAUGACGGUUUGUCACGAUCAACAAAUCCAGGAGGUUGCACCAUGUAAACGGUUUCAGAGAGAUGACCUUGAAGGAAAGCAUUGUUGAUAUCCAGCUGUUUAAGUGACCAUCCGCGACUGACAGCAAGACUGAGUACCAAGCGGACAGUGGUUGGCUUCACAACGGGGCUGAAAGUCUCAUGAUAGUCUACACCGGGACGCUGGUGGAACCCUUUUGCAACAAGUCGUGCUUUAAAUCUGUUUAUGGAUCCAUCAGAAAGUCUUUUAAUGCGGUAAACCCACCUGCAACCAACAACGUUAGUGAUACCAUCAGGAGGAACAAGUUCCCAUGUGCCAUUGCAGACUAAAGCAUCAUAUUCCUCAGACAUGGCAGCUCGCCAGUUUGGAUCUUUAAGUGCCUGAGAGAGGAUGGAAGGUUCUGUUGGAGAGAUGACCGGUUUAGUAGUGUGAAGACUGAGUUUCUGGAUUGGUUUGUGGAUAUUAUUCCGGGACCGAGUGAUCAUGGGGUGUAGGGAAUGUUGUGGUGGUGGUGGAACAGGUAGAGAUGGAUCUUGAAGUGAAGGAUUAUGGUGAGAGGAUGAAGCAGUUACCUGUGAAGUAGAUAUGAUGGAAGGGAUUGCUCCAGCAUGUGUGGAAGGACUUGAUGAAGGGACCAUAGGAGGAGAUGCAUCUGCAUGGCAUUGUGAGGAAGGAGCAGAAGGAGCCAGUUGCUGUGGGGUUUGAGAUGAGACAGAAAUAGGUGAAGGCAUCCAGUCGGAAACGGGGGAAGGAAGAUUUGAAGGUGCAGUAGGAUAAGAUUUAUAAGGAAAAACUGACUCAACAAAUUGUACAUGCCGUGAAAUAUGUAGUUUGUUAUUGGAUUUGUCAAGGCAUAGAUAUGCACUUUGAGAAAGGGAGUAUCCAAGAAAAACACAGGGUUGAGAUUUCGACUCAAGUUUAUGAGAUGCAUAUGGACCUAACCAAGGAUAACAUAAACAACCAAACACUUUAAGUUUAGAAAAAUUGGGACUCUUGUGAAAAAUUGACUCGUAUGGUGAAGACAUGUUUAAUGUGGGAGUAGGCAUCCUGUUAAUUAGGUAAACGGCAGUGGUGAAGGCAUAAGUCCAAAAAGUAGUAGGGAUUGAGGCAUGAGAAAGAAGGGCAAGUCCAGUUUCGACAAUGUGAAGAUGUCGCCGUUCAGAAUAACCAUUAUGUUCAGGUGUAUGUGGUGGGGACGUGAGAUGACUAAUUCCAUGUUCGGAAAGAAAUGGUUUGAGAGCAAUGUAUUCACCACCAUUAUCAGAAUAAAGAGAAAUAAUGGUUUGUUGAAAAUAUUUUUCAACAAUUGCUUUGUAGCGUCGAAACACUAUUUGGACAUCAGAUUUGCGUUUUAAUGGAUAAAACCAAAUGUAUUUUGUAAAAUGAUCAACAAAAAUAACAUAGUAUUUAUAACCAUCGUGUGAAAUAAUAGGAGAAGUCCAAACAUCUGAAAAUACAACUUGAAGAGGACGCGUAGUGUGCAAAGUAGACACAGAAAAUGGUUGUUUAUGACUUUUAUUACUUAAGCAAGCAUCGCAACAAAAAUUCUUUUGAGAAGAAAAAUUUAAAUGAUAGAAGGACAUGAUAUGUUUAAGAAUUGUGGAGGCUGGAUGACCAAGGCGCUGGUGCCAAAUGGACAUUGUUGUUUUGACAGCAGAGAAGGCUAGAAUGGGAGGAGUAGAAGAGGUCGCAACUGGCCAUUCAUAAAUACCAUUCUUAGUGCCGCCCUGCAGAAGAAUGUCCCCCGUUUGUAGGUCCUUCACAUGAAAACAAUGAGGAAAAAGUUCAAUCGACACAUUGUUGGUGAUACAGAAUAAUGCAAUAGAUAUUAAAUUUUUUUGCAUUUUUGGAACACACAAAACAUCUUGUAAGUGGAAAGAAGAGUUAGAUGUGGGAAGGGAUACUGAACCAGUGUGACUUAUGGGAAGGUUGGUACCAUCGCCUAGUAUAACAUCAUCAUGACCAGUAUAUGGUGUAUGGAGGGAAAGAUUAUUGAGGUCGGCAGUAACAUGAUGGGAAGCACCACUAUCCAGUAACCAUGACGCAGCGGUGGAUGGUGAUGAAGAAGAAAAAUUGGCUUGAGGAUUCCAGGAGGAUGGCAUACCAUUGGAGGAGCUGGCAGAGUUAGAACCAUGAACAGGAACUAAUUGAAAAGAAGGACAACGUUUAGCGGUGUGUCCUUGAGUGCCACACAUCUGGCAGUAAUAGGACCAAGACGAGAGGAUUGUGACCGUGUUUGAAGUGAUGCUUCAAACAAGAGAAGUUUCUCAUGGAGUUCAUCAAAGGAGAUAGCAGCUUCGCGAGCUUGGACAGCCCGAACAAGUUCUGUGUAAUCUUCAUCUAAACCAUCAAGGAUCUGUUCAGUAAGAUCAUCAGUAUCCAUAGGAGCACCAAGAACAGUAAGUUCGUCAGAUUUUGCUUUAAUGAAGUGGACAAAAUCUGUGAUACUCAUAGAACCUUUUGUGAGAUUCUUUAACUGGUUUUUCACCUGGCGAAUACGUCCACGUGAUGGUUUAGCAUAUGUUGUGGCAAGAACAUGCCAAGCAUCAUAAGAAGAAGUGGUGCGGGCUACAAAGGAAAUAAGCGAAGGAGAAAGACUGCCAACAAUGGCAUUCAAGAGAAGUUGAUCUUGCCUUACCCAGAGACUAUAGGCAGGAUUAGGGACAGUGAUAUUAUCUGUUACAAGGGUUGGUGAGGGACACGGCUUGGAGCCAUCGAUGUAACCAAGAAGAUCGUAGCCAAUAAAUAGUGUUUCAAAUUGAAUUUUCCAAGAAGCAUAGUUGGAAGAGGUGAGUUUGAGAAGGGCUUGAGCAGCUGUGUUUAUGGUGAUAAGAUGGUUUUCUGUGUUUGAAGGAAUGGAAGUUGACAUGGUGAUGGGAAGAGGGAAGAAACAGAAUUGAAGAGGAAUGGAGAGAAAAAAGAGAAAAAAAAUAAAGGAUCAGAGACGCUCUGAUACCAUGAUAGAGCUGAAGCUUUUGGAAGAGAACUGCUUAAUUAUAUUAUUAAUAGACGACAUUUAUAUAGAUACAAACCUAACAGAGUUCUCUACGUUGCAGGAAGACUAAUCCUUUAGAAAUACAAGUUGUUGCAGUAAUGGAGUCCUAAUGAAUAACAAACUGUAAGAGCAGUAAUGAAGUCCUAAUGAAUAACAAAUUGUAAGAGCUAUACAUUGAUUUAUCAGAUAAAUCUUGAUCCCCGAUGAGAUUAGCCUUGGUAUAAACAUGCAUGAUAUGCACAAUGGGAGUUUCUUUCUUUCCUUUUCCCUUAAGGAUCCUCAAAGUACAUUCUUGUUAUAUAAGAAAGAAAAAGAAGCAAAAAAUGUUUUCGUGCCGGCACAUCGCAUCAAGCAUAAAGGCAGCAGCACAGUUCUGCCGCCUUAUAUUAUUCCCAAAGGGGCCAGCCUUGCCGAUCGAUAUGUUUCUGAAACUACCUAGCAAGGGCACCACUAUCUAUUCAACUUUUCUAUUAAUUGAUGAAAGUGUACGUAUAUAUAUCAUAAACACUUGAUUUCUUCAACACAGCUCUUGAUGGACCUGCCAUGCCAGGCCAUGAGAAACAUGAUUAAAAGAUCGGUAGAAGAAAUGUGCCCAUCACUUGGAAAUUAGAUUGGAAAGUUGAUUUGAUGAAGCAUCAGCAAGUGGCAAAUGCUAGCUUUAUGUCUACGUAAACAUCUACUACAUAACUAACCAUUCUCAUUACCUACCAUAUAAUUAAGCUGCAAGUUUUCUACUUUCUUUAUGAGUUGUGUGUACGCUUAACAGAUUAGUCCCCUCUUUCUUCAAGUGAGGAUCACUCCACCGUUCGGCGUCUAGCAAAUAAUUUCAUAUGUUUGUACAUGAUAGGAGACAUGCCUUGCAUGUCUGUGUGUCUGUGUCUUCACUAAUUGAUAAUCUUUUUAUUGAUAUAAAUUAUUAACUUUAGACCUAAUUAAGGUUAAGACUUGAUUGGAUUGUACGUAAUUUGAUAUAGAAAAUGCUGUUGUUGAAUAUUAUGAAGGAAAUCCUUUCUCUUGGUUUUGAAAUGCAAUUCUUUUCCUUUUCAUUUUCCACAUCUAUAUAUACAGAAGGUUUCUAUGACUGCAAGACUACAAAAACGCAGGUCUCUGUGUAUAUAUACGAGUAUCAGGUGUCUGUAUAUAUUCUCUGUACGUAUAUCAUACGAGUAUUAAUAUGAUCAAAAGACUUGCUUCAGACUUUUGCUUGCAGCAGUACUAGCUUAGAUAUUAGAACUUGUUCAUCGUCAAAACAAGCCAACAUGAAGCUUAAUUAAGGUGUACGUAAAUUUGCUUCAAAAUCAAGCGGACUUAAUUUACAGUUUUUAAAAUAAAUCAAUGCUUCAUUUAUGUCUUCUUUUAAAUGAAGUACUCAUGUUUUUCAUGAGAACAAUUAUUUCUUAUUUACUUUGUACCAAUAUAACGCUCCAAAAAUUAUUGCUGUUCUGCUUUUAUUACAAAUUAAGUCUUAGAUUUAAACCGUAAAAGAUCCGUUGUACACUUAGAAAAUAAAGGAAGAAAAUCAUCCUUUUCGUAUUAUUAUAUUUUUCAAUCCGUCUAAUUAAUUUAAUUAACAGGAUUAAUUAUGACCCUAGAGAAAAUGAAAAUUUGAGUUGGAUCUUAAUCAUUUGCUAACGUAUCUGAAAAAGUAAUCAUAAAUUAGCAAGCAAACAGUCAUAAUUAUACGUUUAACCUUGCUCUCUCUGUUAUUUGCCCGUUCCAUAUUGAUUUUUCUUACUGUCCAAUUCAUUGUCUUUGCUCUCUGUUUUUUUUACAAGGAUAUAAUUCUCAUUUACAUAAAAAAGAUAAGAAUUUUUACAUUAUGAUCACUUGAAAUUAAUCCAAGGAAAAACUUCUUAUAAAUAAAAACCUGAGGACACCUAAUAACAUACAAAAUAAAAAAAAUACAAAAUCAUAUCUGAAAUUGAAAAUUAAAUUACAAGAGAAAAGAAGAACAAAUUAAUUAUUAACCUCGGGAAUUUAUUUAUCAUAUCAGGUGUUUUUAAUUUAGUGAGGUGACAGAAAAUAUUCCACAAAUCAUUUUGCUCAAAUAUUGAUACACAAAUUAGUCAGCAUCAUGGUGUUGUUAGGUUAAACUACUAGGUUGAAUACUUUAAACAAGAGAUCGAAGAGAGUUCCAUUUUUUCUAUCAAAAGAAAGCGGUCCAAAACAAUUUUCCACUCAUGAACAACUCUUGACCUCUCUCCUCCUCUCCUAAGUAACGUUGGUAGGUCAAGAAAACGAUCAAAUUCAAGAAAACAAACCCUAUUAAGAAUCACAAGCUCCAAACCCUAAAAUAGUAAGAUUCAACAUCAAAACAUAAAUUAAUAAACCCGUAAAUAAAGACCUUUCUGAAGAAAAUGGGGGAAAGGUGGUGGGUAGGCACGUUUGUUAUUUGUAAUCAGUGAGAUUGACAACUGGGGUCACAAUGUGACAAGCAUUGACAAGCAUUCGCAUAGGAUUUGAAGCACACCCUGCCACGUUCUCUUUUGUUAACAUCAAAUAUAUAUAUAUAUAUAUAUAUAUAUGGUUUGUCAGUUUGUAUGGUGGGCUUAUGCCCUUUUUUUUAUUUUUAUAUGGGUAAAAGUAUAGUUUCCUACUAUAGAUUAAGAAAUUUUUCAUUUUGAUCUCUAUAAUUUGAGUUUUUCCUUCUUUUUUUCAAUUACGGCUUCUUUAUUUUAUUUUGUUUGAUUUCUUGCUGAAAUCUCCACAAAACUGGCAGUUUCAAAAAGGAUAAAGCUUUUGUCCAAUAAAUUCUCAAAUGUAUAUCGACAAUAACACUACUGUCAAGUGGGUUUGUUUAUUAAUAAUACAAUGAACUGAUGAAAAAAAAUUACACUGUGAAAAGACAGAGUGCACCUUCAUUUUUUAUAGAUUAAUGUUGGUGUUCGGGUUAGUUUAUGUAUAUCUUAAUUGAUCCUGCGAGUUCUAAAACUAACAAGGCAUGAAAUUAACCGGACAAGAAAUUUUUGCCCUAAAAUGUUUUUUAAAUUAAAAUAUAAUUAUAUAUAAGAUCUAGUUUUAAAAACAAAAAAGAAGCAAUUUUUAUAAAUUUAUUAAAAAUUCAAAAAACAAUCCUAACAACUUCAAGAAAAAAAAAGGCAUGAAAACUUCCUCAUAACAAAAACGUUGUAACCCAAAAAAAUAAAAAAGAGAAAUAAUAAUAAUAAUAAAGAAAGCAACACCAUCACAGCAAAGGGGUAUUCUUGUCCAUAUAAUAAUUACGGACAAAUAAACGUAUAGAGAAGAACUUAAAACUUUUUUACAAAUUCAUAAAUGUGUUUUUCUUAACCGUUAAGACUUAAUAUCUCACAAAUACCCAUAUAAAUCACCUGUAUUUAGUAUUUACACACUGGCUCGACACUGCUCUGUCUUUGUCUCUCGUAGAGACGAACAUAAAAACCAGGCAGAGCCGACGGCAACGCCUAGAAACAGAGAGAGAAACUGAAACACAAACGAAAACAUAACAUGUCCUGUAAUAACAGAUCAAACCCACCAUUGUUUUUUCUCCUAAGCUUUCUUUUCUUUUUCUUUAUCUUUACUUCUUCAACAGCAACUCCCAGUUCUUUAACUUCCCAGUUUGAAUCUUUUUCCGUUCCUGGUAGUUCAUUUAUUAAUUAAAGAUUUUUUUUUUGUCUAAAAAUUAUGAUUUUUGUGAAAAAUAUGAAAUCUUUAUGUGCUUUUUUUUUUUUAUAACAAGAGUAAUUUGUUUUUUUUUUUUGUCAAUGUAGAUGUUGUGGUUGGUGGGAGAGAGAAUGAUGGUGUGGUGGUUUCAUGGGAGAUAAGGAGGCAUCUUGCAGAGGAAGAGAACACAGCAUCUUCUUUGAUAUUGGCUGCAAAGAAAACAAGAAGAAGAGACCCUUUAGAGAACUUUAAAUUCUACACUUCUGGUUACAAUAUCAGCAAUAAACAUUAUUGGGCUGUGAGUUCUUUCUUUAUUACCUUUUUCUGGUUUAUUUGACCAUAUUAAUACAUUUUCUUGUACUGAUUGUCACUUCAAUGAUGCAGUCUGUUGGUUUUACUGCGGUUCCAUUCUUUAUCUUAGCUUUGGUUUGGUUUGUGAUAUUUGGACUCUGUUUGUCCUUUAUCUGCCUCUGCUAUUGCUGUUGUCCAACAGAGCCUUAUGGCUACUCUAGAGCAUGCUAUGCCCUGUCUCUCAUUUACCUCAUCCUCUUUACCAUUGCUGCAAUGUAAUGACCCCUCUUUCUCGCUUUGGCUAUGUGUUUUGAUUAAUAAUUUUAUGACACCCUCAAUGUUCCUCUGCGAUUACAGUGCUGGAUGUGUUGUUCUGUAUACUGGUCAAGGGAAGUUUCACAGUAUUACAACACACACAUUGGAGUAUGUAGUCAAUCAAGCAAAUGUUACUGCCAAAAACCUCAGGCAUGUGUCAGAUUAUCUUGCUGCGGCUAAGAAUACUGGUGUAGAGUCAGUUUUUCUGCCACCCAGCGUCCAAAAUGACAUUGAUAGCAUUCAAAAAAAGAUCAACUCCUCUGGUACUACUCUUUCCAGCACUACACAGGAUAAUUCAGAAGGCAUACAAAAUGUUUUGGAUAGCAUGUGAGUAAAAGCUCUUAAAACUUCUUCUGGUGCUUGAUUGGUUUUGGAAUUUUUCAUAAUUGCUCUUAUUUUUUUGUUGUGCAUUGCAGGAGACUGGCCCUCAUUAUCCUUGCUGCUGUAAUGCUUGCUGUGGCAUUUCUUGGAUUCUGUAAGUGUUAUUUUCUUGCAUUAGAGGUGCAAAUUUAUAAAUUGUUUGAUUUAUUAUAGCUAAAUUAUUUGCUUAUAUUAUUUAUAUGAUGACAUUGGUUGCAGUAUUCUCCAUUUUUGGGAUGCAGUGCCUUGUUUACUUGUGAGUGACCUGAUUUUUGAGCCGUUAUCUGUUAACUAUUUUGAACUUGAAAACAAGUACAUGUUAUGGUUAUGAUUUGGCCAAUUUUACUGUUUAAAUUCUGUAGUCUGGUGAUCCUUGGCUGGGUUCUUGUUACGGGCACAUUUAUUUUGUGCGGUGUAUUCCUUCUCCUUCACAAGUAAGUUCUUCCUCCUGUUCUUUUUUUAUUUUUAACUUUUCUGAUAUAGGGUCAUAAAAUGCAUAAAGGAUUUUAUGCUUGAUGUUUAUUUUUUUAAAAAAAAAGGUGUGUUGAAUUAAAUUUAUGUUUUGGAUGCUUUGUGCACACAUUCUGGUGUAUAGAUGCAUGCAUAUACACAUGCAAGCACACACUUGUGGUUGUGUUGUUUCAUUGUGGCAUAUAGAGCUUUCAUGGUCUUAAUUGUUGAUGUCCAUACACACUCGCAAACACU
RNAcentral lists this long non-coding RNA (145063 nucleotides) under Populus trichocarpa (black cottonwood). RNAcentral's name for it is "long non-coding RNA (PTRI_LNC004072)". Lineage: Eukaryota; Viridiplantae; Streptophyta; Magnoliopsida; Malpighiales; Salicaceae. The record is from RNAcentral.